GAACCAUCAUGAGAGGGAAACUUCGCCGUGCAAGCGGUUGUGGCGACCAGUAAGGCGGGGCAGAGGCCAUGAAAGAGAGGAGAGGUCGCGAGGUAGAGGAGAGGCGGCGCAGUGGGUCAUGAGAGAUGGCGACGCCAGGUCGCCGGAGGAGACGAAAAAUCUGACGGAGGAUUGGCAUCUGAGCGCGCGGCGGCGGCAGAGGUGGGGUGUGCCGGUGUGGAGAAUGGGGAGAGGAAAGGGCUGAACGCACGGGGCGGUCUUCUUUACUCUCUUAUAUCAGAAUAGCACACAUAUGCCCGUGCGUUUGCAACGGGAGAGAUAUUUUAUUUACGACAAGCAACAAAAAGAUAAUUAAUUGUGUUAAAAAAUGGUCUUCACAAUGGUAGGCGAGAGAGCAAGGAGUUGCGGCCUUCUCACUGGACAUGUUUGGCUCGUGAAAUCUUAAUAGUGGUGGAGUUGGUAGGCGUGGUGGCGAGCACCCAACUCGUCCCUUUUUCUUUUGCAUGCCUCCUCAUUUGGUGGAUGUGUGACGACCAUCGGAACACGGUUGCUUCGACCACUCUCCUACUACAGUGUAACCAGAUGGAUUACUAAUUGCAGUGCAUAAAUCCUCUUACACAAGUAUAAUCAAGCAUGAAUGUCCCUUUAUUACGAAGGUUUAUUCCCUUUGAUUUUUUUAGCACUUAUGUUAAAAAAUUGAAAGCCCGGACAGUUAAAAAAAUGUGAACAUUUAUUUUUAGAAAAUUCCAUAUAAUUAAGAAAACAAAAAAAUUAGAAAGAGGAAUAGUUAUUUAAGUUCGAAAAAACAUGUUGAAACCAUGAACAUUUUAUAAAAACACAAAAUUAAUAAUUUUUUUAAAAGGGGGACAUUCAGAAAAAAAUUAAAAAUGUUUUCUUAGACGCAAACAUUAUUUUGUUUUUGUGAACUUUUCAAUAAAAUAGGAAUAUUUUUUGGAAUAUGGAACAUUUUAUAAAAUAUUAACUUUAUAAAAAAAUCUAUAAAAAUUCUAAAACAGAAUCUUUUUUAAAUGGCAACAUUUUUUAAAUGUUGAGAAAAUUCCGAAACCAGUUUUUUUAAGUUUAUAAUAUUUUUCAAAACAAUAAUAAAAUUUUAUAAUGCUGAUUUUUGAAUAUUUGAAUAAAAAAUUAAAUUGUGAAUAUAUUUUGUAUAUUUUUAUUUCACGGCAAAAUAAAAAAAGUGAAAAGGAAAAUGAAACAUUUAAAUGGCCCGGCCCAGUCUUGGGCGACCUGUGCGUUCCUUGAACUAUUUGUCGGUAUGUGCGACAAAUAAGGUCUUUUUAACGUCUGGGCAGGAUAAUUACUGGGUUGGCUUUGUUGGGCUGGAGUGCGCCCGGCCCAAUUGCGGAAUUCUGGAGAAACUUUUUGUCUUUUCUAGUAGAUGCACAAAAAUUUAGUACCACCUUGGAUAGAAAAAAUAUUUUCAACGAUGAAUGGAUGAAAAUAUUGGAGAAACGCACUUUGCUUUAUUAGUAGGUAUAGAUUUUCACUUUUGCAGAAAAUCCCAGAUAAUUAUUGAUAAUCAACCCACAUGACAGUUUUAAGUCAGAUUUUUGUUUUGUUAGGAAACUAGCGGUGUGACCCGCGCAUUUGCGCGGCUAGAUUAGUUACACAUUGUUAUGAUUAUUUCUUUAUUUGUAUUUUAUUUAUUUUUAUAAUUGCAAAAUGUUUAUUUUUAUUUAUUUAUAAUAGAAUUUCUAAAUGUUAUAAAAUUAUAUAGCCAUAUUACCACAUGACUAUGAAUUAUUUGUCCCACAUAUAUUAGCACAUGACUAUACAAUUUUUGUUUUACAUGAUCUACUGUCUUAUCUUAUUCAGGUGCACAACUGAACAAUCUAUUAAGUCAUCAAUAGUGAUGUUUCUGUUUAAGAAUGGAAGUUAAAGAUCCCGUGGGUUGCCAUGCAAAAACAACACUUUCAUACUAAUAUGUAAGUUCCAGUUUACACUCUAGUGAUCCCGCAAAAAAAAAAUUUACACUCUAGCUCCCAUCGUUAGCUAGGAUUAAGUAGAGUUCUUUUCUUUAAUCUAUCUCAUCAUUAGACAUAAUUNNNNNNNNNNNNNNNNNNNNNNNNNNNNNNNNNNNNNNNNNNNNNNNNNNNNNNNNNNNNNNNNNNNNNNNNNNNNNNNNNNNNNNNNNNNNNNNNNNNNNNNNNNNNNNNNNNNNNNNNNNNNNNNNNNNNNNNNNNNNNNNNNNNNNNNNNNNNNNNNNNNNNNNNNNNNNNNNNNNNNNNNNNNNNNNNNNNNNNNNNNNNNNNNNNNNNNNNNNNNNNNNNNNNNNNNNNNNNNNNNNNNNNNNNNNNNNNNNNNNNNNNNNNNNNNNNNNNNNNNNNNNNNNNNNNNNNNNNNNNNNNNNNNNNNNNNNNNNNNNNNNNNGGGGCAUUAUUUAUUUUAAUUGUUUGUCACUUCUGCAUAUGAGGUAAUACCAUCCCUCCAUUGUACAUUUUUGCACAAAAAAAUAUAUAAAAUGGCACAAUAUGUGUCUUCCCUACUAUUUUUGCUAUUAAAAACAUAUUGUCAUACUUUCCUUUGUGCUCACUCUUGGAGUGCCUUGUUCUUUCUGGUCAUUUUCAUGUCUGUUUUAGGUCGAUUUAUGCCGUUAGAAUAUUAGCAUGAUUUCAAUUUGCGAGGACACUGUUUUUUGUGUCAUGCAAUUAAUACACUUAUUGACCGCACACAUAGUAUAUUGUCAUUGUUUUUAAUCACCCAAUUUCAUCUAUCUCAUAUACUAAGUGAUUCUUGUCCAUUUAAUACUUGAGGUAUAAGAUGUCGCCUCUCCACCACCUGAAUUGUGUGAAGCCUCGGAGUAACCAAUGGUUCACACACGCAUAGUGUUUGUCCAUACAAUGUGUACUCAACAACUAUUUUAACCUCACCUCUAUGCAUUUAUCCAUUUUUAAGAAACCCAUGCAUGUUGAUAGAUAUCACCCGAGAGAUGUUCCCCUAUUGUUGGUCCAAUAACUAUAUAUAUUGCAUGCUGCCAAAUCCAGAUUAGACUGUCAAAUUUAUUUCAGUUUCACCCAAGACACUAAAACUUGGGAUCGCUAUUUCUCUAACAAACCCGUACUGCUCCUUUAUUAACUGUUGUUCUGAUCCGACUCAAAUUUUCUAACUAACUUGUACUACUCUUUAUUUACUAUUGUUCAGAUCCGACUCAUAUUUUCUUUUCUUCGUGCUUUAACAGCCAUACAUAUUAUCUAAAGCGUUAAAAUUAUUAAAUCAACGAUAAAGUAACGAUGCAAUCUAUUUGUUCAUUGUUUUAAUUACGAAAUAAAUUAGAUAUAUAUUCUGGGCCUUUUUUGCGGGAAUAUAUAUCAAAAGUUAGCUUCAUUUAUGUGGGUCGCAUGUAUAUUAAGUUGCUUUUUUCCUUAUCCCAAAUUUCAUAACGUAUAAUAUAGUAUUAAAAAUUUAAAUGACGCAAGAGGUUCAUAUAUAAAUUUGAUUGUAUUGUUUGUCCACCUAAUAGUAUAUGUAUCUAGUAUGUUUAUUUUGAACAAUCUGACUCAAAACCUCGAUCAUCUGUGAUGAACCACAUUCUUGUAGAUUCCAACUUAAAAUGAUAAAUUCAGUGGCUUUGUUUGUACAGGUUGAAUGCUUGUUUGCUUGGCCCGAAUAUUAUCUCAGCGGCGUUGAUCACCAAUUCCUUUUUUGGGAAUUGUAUGUAUAUUUUUAGAUGAAUUGCAUGCAUGUUCUUUCUGAAAGACUUGCACCUAUAUUUUCUUGGAAAGACCCACCUGUACAUUUUUUAUAUGUUCAUGACUAUUUUUUUUAAUAUCUACGCAUGGCUCAAGUUGUCUGAUGUUGGAUGCAUGUUUUUGUAAAGACUUGCAUGUAGUUUUUUCACAUUGGUACAGGACCUAGAUGGGCAAGUGCGCUUGUUGUAGAUUGCUUGGACUCACCCAAGCGGCAUGUACGUAGAUGUCAUAUGCUUGUGCGUGUCAUGGCCGACGUAGGCCCCUCUUCUUUUCUCUUUGUUUCAGGAAACUAACCUAAUCGUUUGUGUCCGACGAUAAACUUUGUAUACGUGAUAGGUUGUACAUGCAAGGUACCGGAAUUGCUUUUUUAUUUUUGACCGACCCGUACAGCUUCUUCAUUAAAUAUUGCUUUGAUCAGACUGAUAUUUCCUUUUCCUUGUUCUUUACGCCCGAACAUAUUAUCUCCAGCGUGACACAACGUACAUAACAAUAUUGUACAUUCCAUGAUAGUUGGGUUAAUCAACCUGCAGUACAUAUAAAAUGUUUUCUUAAAAGUAUCCGCAUCUUUUAAACCGUGACUUCAAAUUUAAUAUGUUAUAUAAAAUUUGAUUAGAAAAACUAAUCAUCAACCUGUGCACCAGCACGGGCUAGAACGUUUGUAGUCACUGCACUUGCUACUUUUGUACAAAAUAGUGUCUAAAUUUAUUUUUCACAUAUUAGUUACAUAUAGGGACACAUAUUUUUUUGAUGAUGUUUUACUUGUCAGAAAAUAUGAUAAAUCCUCAAAGUCUUGCAAAUCCAAAAUGCAAUCAUAGUCUUAUAAUAUUUUGAACGAACAUGCAAUUUUAUCUACUAAGAUCCCAAUAUACAAUUCAUAUAAAUAGACGCAUGUAUAUGCAAAGCUUAAAACCAAAUUGAAUAAUUGAUAUUUCUCUUCAAAAAAAUACAAUAAUGCAACCGCAAGUUCGGGGACCCAUAAAAGCAAAAUACUGCUUCACCAUAUUUUAGAACAAUAUAAUGAAUAUGUAAAAAAACUGAAUGGAGUUGAAUAUCCCAUGUUGAUUCCUAUACAUAACAAAAAGUAAGUAUUAAAACAUUAUUGUCCAAACAAAAUGUUAAUUGACAAUGCUUUGGCUUUCAAGGUUAAUCAUCUAGUGCAUUGCACAUUUCAGAAUGAACAUCCUCUACAAAGCAACAUAGCUUGGCAAAUAUGCAUGCAAAUAUCAAGGAUUUCUGCAACGCGGAAUUAUGAAAAAAAAUUGUAUGCCAGAAUAUGAAACUUAACACCGAAAAAUCCCCCAACCAAGAGACAGUCUAACACUAGUAGAAAACAGGGUUUUGAUCCAGGCCUGAAGAGGGCAUUAAUCCCGGUUCUCAUACGAACCGGGACCAAUGGGAGCAUUAGUCCCAGUUCAUGAGGCCAGGGGGCCGGCCGGGCCUCGGGGGCCAAUGGUCCCGGUUCGUCUGACCCCUUUGGUCCUGGUUCCAGACACAAACCGGGACCAAUGGGCCUUGCUCCUGGCCCAUAACCUUUAGUCCCGGUUUGUGUCUGGAACCGGGACCAAAUAGAGGCCUAUAUAUACCUUGCCCGCGAGCAGAGCAGUGCACUCUUUGUUUUUUUGGCUAGCCGUGGGAGAGCUUUGUGGUGCUCUAGCUCACCUCCUAUGCACAUGAGGUGUUCGAUGAAAUACCCGAGCCACACUUUAUAAGCUUUCUCCUCUCGAAAUUCCUUGUCCCAACUCCAUUUUCCUCAAGAUUUGUCUAGGUUUGUGAUACGUCUCCAACGUAGCUAUAAUUUUUGAUUGUUCCAUGCUACUAUAUUAUCCAUCUAGGAUGUUUUGUAUGCAUUUAUGUGCUAUUUUAUAUGAUUUUUGGGACUAACCUAUUAACCUAGAGCCCAGUGUCAGUUUCUGUUUUUUUCCUUGUUUUUGAGUAUCGCAGAAAAGGAAUACCAAAUGGAGUCCAAUUGACGUGCCAAUUUUUGAUGAUUUUUUAUGGACCAAAAGAAGCCCCCGGAGUAAAAGAGUUGGGCCAGAAGAGUGCCGAGCUGUCCACGAGGGUGGGGGCGCGCCCUACCCCCCUUGGGCAUGGGCCCUAUCUCGUAGACGACUCGGAGACCCCCCUGACGUGAGACCGACGCCAAAAAUUCCUAUAAAUAUAGAAACCUCCAGAACAUAACCUAGAUCGGGAGUUUCACCGCCACAAGCCUCUGUAGCCACCAAAAACCAAUCGGGACCCUAUUCCGGCACCCUGCCGGAGGGGGGAUCCCUCACCGGUGGACGUCUUCAUCACCCCGGUGCUCUCCAUGAUGAGGAGGGAAUAGUUCACCCUGGGGCUGAGGGUAUGUACCAGUAGCUAUGUGUUUGAUCUCUCUCUCUCUCUCUCUCUCUCUCUCUCUCUCGUGUUCUUGAUUUGACACGAUCUUGAUGUAUCGCGAGCUUUGCUAUUAUAGUUGGAUCUUAUGAUGUUUCUCCCCCUCUACUCUCUUGUAAUGGAUUGAGUUUUCCCUUUGAAGUUAUCUUAUCGGAUUGAGUCUUUAAGAAUUUGAGAACAAUUGAUGUAUGUCUUGCGUGGGAUACCCGUGGUCACAAUGGGGUGUUCUAUUGAUCUACUUGAUGUAUGUUUUGGUGAUCAACUUGCAGGUUCAGUGACAUUGGGAAUCUAUGCAUAGGGAUUGGCACACGUUUUCGUCUUGACUCUCCGGUAGAAACUUUGGGGCACUCUUUGAAGUACUUUGUGUUGGUUUGAAUAGAUGAAUCUGAGAUUGUGUGAUGCAUUCGUAUAAUCAUACCCAAGGAUACUUGAGGUGACAUUGGAGUAUCUAGGUGACAUUAGGGUUUUGGUUGAUUUGUGUCUUAAGGUGUUAUUCUAGUAUGAACUCUAGGAUAGAUCGAACGGAAAGAAUAGCUUCGUGUUAUUUUACUACGGACUCUUGAAUAGAUCGAUCAGAAAGGAUAAUUUUGAGGUGGUUUCAUACCCUACAAUAAUCUCUUUGUUUGUUCUCCACUAUUAGUGACUUUGGAGUGACUCUUUGUUGCAUGUUGAGGGAUAGUUAUAUGAUCCAAUUAUGUUAUUCUUGUUGAGAGAACUUGCACUAGUGAAUGUAUGAACCCUAGGCCUUGUUUCAACGCAUUGCAAUACCGUUUUCACUCACUUUUAUCAUUAGUUACCUUGCUGUUUUUAUAUUUUCAGAUUACAAAAACCUAUAUCUACCAUCCAUAUUGCACUUGUAUCACCAUCUCUUCGCCGAACUAGUGCACCUAUACAAUUUACCAUUGUAUUGGGUGUGUUGGGGACACAAAAGACUCUUUGUUAUUUGGUUGUAGGGUUGUUUGAGAGAGACCAUAUCCAUCCUACGCCUCCCACGGAUUGAUAAACCUUAGGUCAUGCACUUGAGGGAAAUUUGCUACUGUCCUACAAACCUCUGCACUUGGAGGCCCAACAACAUCUACAAGAAGAAGGUUAUGUAGUAGACAUCAGUUUGGCGGUCCUUCCUGUCCCGUCCCCGUCCUCACUACCGUCCAUCGCCCGCGCCGAUCUCGUUGCCGGCGCCACUGUGGUGAGCCUCUUGUUCUUAUCUUCUUUCUAAAAGAAAAAAUUCUUACUUAUAUGAUUUAGAUUGCUACUUGUAUAAUUUUCUUACUUUUAUUAGUGUUUGAAUGUUUGUUAUUAUAUAGUGCGAUGGUUUUGGUAUUCGCCCCCGUCGACCCUCAUCCUGUCUAUGAUUCGGAUGUGGUAUAUACUAUCUUUUAUAACUAUUUCUUUCAUUUAGUGUUUAUGAUAAUUAUGCCGACCAAUGUGACAUAGAUGUUUUAUGUAGGAGGUAUGUGGACCGAAAAUUCCAACUGACCCUCUUGUCGAGAGGUUAAAAUUUAGUUGAAAAAGAAAAUGAUUACUUGAAGAAAAAAAAUGAAAAGAAUUGAGGAGGAGAAGAUGGCAUUGGAGUUGCAUGUUGUGGAUAUCAUCGAUGAUCACAAGAUCAAGAUGUAUAAAAUGUGCUUGAAGAUUAGAAAAUUUUAAAAAUAUGCCAUUCAUACUGAGGCUUGGUAUCAUUAUGCAGUUGGAUCAAUUGUUACCUUAGUUGCGAUUAUGAUCGCAUAUGUUGUUGCAUUGAAAUGUUUUACAUAGUUUCAAUGUAUGGUUUAAUUAGAUGCUCACGAGAGCUAUAUGUUGUUCAAUGAGAACUAUGUAUUAACUUUAUGUAUCUAUUUUUUCAGUAAUAACAUUUGAUCACUACUGUACUUUGGUUUUAAUGUGAUGAUGAAAUCCCUUUGUAACAGAUGAGUUUUCGCCCGAAGCCCUGAUACUUCGAAAGAGAUUGUCCGUUUUGCACACGAAGUGCAUCCAGUUUUUGCCGUAACCCUCUCAGCUUUUUAGAACAUGCUAUGUGGGUGAAAUGAUGAUACCAUGCCAACUUUCAACCUUUUCAGAGUUCAUUUUAAGUGCUUUUCAAUUUCAGGGUCAUUGUGACGCACUCGAUUCAAUCGUACACUAAUCAUACACGCAAAUGUGUACGAUCAACAUCAAGGACUCACGGGAAGAUAUCACUGUUGGAAAUAUGCCCUAGAGGCAAUAAUAAAUUGGUUAUUAUUAUAUUUCCUUGUUUAUGAUAAUCGUUUAUUAUCCAUGCUAGAAUUGUAUUGAUAGGAAACUCAGAUACAUGUGUGGAUACAUAGACAACACCAUGUCCCUAGUAAGCCUCUAGUUGACUAGCUCGUUGAUCAAUAAGAUGGUUACGGUUUCCUGACCAUGGACAUUGGAUGUCGUUGAUAACGGGAUCACAUCAUUAGGAGAAUGAUGUGAUGGACAAGACCCAAUCCUAAGCCUAGCACAAGAUCGUGUAGUUCGUUUGCUAAAGCUUUUCUAAUGUCAAGUAUCAUUUCCUUAGACCAUGAGAUUGUGCAACUCCCGGAUACCGUAGGAGUGCUUAGGGUGUGCCAAACGUCACAACGUAACUGGGUGGCUAUAAAGGUACACUACAGGUAUCUCCGAAAGUGUCUCUUGGGUUGGCACGAAUCGAGACUGGGAUUUGUCACUCCGUGUAAACGGAGAGGUAUCUCUGGGCCCACCUGGUAGGACAUCAUCAUAAUGUGCAUAAUGUGACCAAGGAGUUGAUCACGGGAUGAUGUGUUAUGGAACGAGUAAAGAGACUUGCUGGUAACGAGAUUGAACAAGGUAUCGGAUACCGACGAUCGAAUCUCGGGCAAGUACAAUACCGCUGGAGAAAGAGAAUUGUAUACGGGAUUGAUUGAAUCCUCGACAUCGUGGUUCAUCCGAUGAGAUCAUCGUGGAACAUGUGGGAGCCAACAUGGGUAUCCAGAUCCUGCUGUUGGUUAUUGGCCAGAGAGUUGUCUCGGUCAUGUCUGCAUGGUUCCCGAACCCGUAGGGUCUACACACUUAAGGUUCGGUGACGCUAGAGUUGUUAUGGGAAAUAGUAUGUGGUUACCGAAGGUUGUUCGGAGUCCCGGAUGAGAUCCCGGACAUGACGAGGAGCUCCGAAAUGGUCCGGAGGUGAAGAUCAGUAUAUUGGACGAAGGGUAUUGGAGUCCGGAAUUGUUCCGGGGGUACCAGGUGAUGACCAGCGUGUCCGAAAGGGAUUUCGGAGGCCCCGACAAGCGUUGGGGGGCCUUAUGGGCCAAGGGGAGAGGGCACAUCAGCCCACUAAGGGGCUGAGCGCCCCUCCCACCACAUCUCACGUAACCAGGAGAGGUGGGGGCGCCACCCCUAGGGCAGCCGCCCCUCCCGGCUUGGGGGGCAAGUUUCCUAGGGGGUGGGGGCGCCCAAACCCAUCUAGGGUUUCCUCUAUGGCCGCCGCCCCUCCCCUAGGGAACCCUAGGGCGCCUCCCCCUCCUCCCUCCCCCCUAUAUAUAGUGAGGGAGAGAGAGGGCAGCCGUACCUUUCCCCUGGCGCAGCCCUCUUCCUCCUCCAACACCUCAUCCUCCUCCGUAGUGCUUGGCGAAGCCCUGCCAGUGAACCACGAGCUCCAUCAUCACCACGCCAUCAUGCUGUCGGAGUUUUCCCUCAACUUCUCCUCUCACCUUGCUGGAUCAAGAAGGAGGAGACGUCUCCCAACCGUACGUGUGUUAAAUGCGGAGGUGCCGUCCGUUCAGCGCUAGGAUCAUCGGUGAUUUGGAUCACGACGAGUACGACUCCAUCAAUCCCAUUCACUUGAACGCUUCCGCUUAGCAAUCUACAAGGGUAUGUAGAUGCAAUCUCCUUCCCCUCAUUGCUAGAUUACUCCAUAGAUUGAUCUUGGUGAUGCGUAGAAAAUUUUGAAUUUCUUCUACGUUCCCCAACAAUGGCAUCAUGAGCUAGGUCUAUGCGUAGUUUCUAUGCACGAGUAGAACACAAAGCAGUUGUGGGCGUCGAUAUUGUCAAUUUACUUGCCGUUACUAGUCUUAUCUUGAUUCGGCGGCAUCGUGGAAUGAAGCGGCCCGGACCGACCUUACACGUACGCUUAUGUGAGACUGGUUCCACCGACUGACAUGCACUAGUUGCAUAAGGUGGCUAGCGGGUGUCUGUCUCUCCCACUUUAGUCAGAUCGGAUUCGAUGAAAAGGGUCCUUAUGAAGGGUAAAUAGAAAUUGGCAUAUCACAUUGUGGUUUUCGCGUAGGUAAGAAACAUUCUUGCUAGAAACCUAUAGCAGCCACGUAAAAACUUGCAACAACAAUUAGAGGACGUCUAACUUGUUUUUGCAGCAUAUGCCUUGUGAUGUGAUAUGGCCAAAAGGAUGUGAUGAAUGAUAUAUGUGAUGUAUGAGAUUGAUCAUGUUCUUGUAAUAGGAAUCACGACUUGCAUGUCGAUGAGUAUGACAACCGGCAGGAGCCAUAGGAGUUGUCUUAAUUUAUUUAUGACCUGCGUGUCAACAUAACCGUCAUGUAACAACUUCAAGAAGACACGAUGAUGGAGAUCAUGAUUGAAAGGAUCGAUAUGGUUGACUAGAGGGGGGGGUGAAUAGGCAACUAACAAUUUUUAGCUUUUCUUUAACAAUUUAAACUUUGCAUCAAAGUAGGUUGUCUAGAUAUGCAACUAGGUGAGCAACCUAUAUGAUGCAACGAGGAUAGGUGCACAAGCAAGCAAGAGAUAUGAAACAAGUAAGCUUGCUCAAAUAAAGGCACGAGAUAACCAAGAGUAGAGACGGUGGAGACGAGGAUGUGUUGCCGAAGUUCCUUCCCUUUGAGAGGAAGUACGUAUCCGUUGGAGCGGUGUGGAGGCACAAUGCUCCCCAAGAAGCCACUAGGGCCACCGUAUUCUCCUCACGCCCUCACACAAUGCGAGAUGCCGUGAUUCCACUAUUGGUGCCCUUGAAGGCGGCGAACGAACCUUUACAAACAAGGUUGGGGCUCUCUCCGCAACUUAAUUGGAGGCUCCCAACAAAAACCACGAAGCUUCACCACAAUGGAAUAUGGCUCCGAGGUGACCUCAACCGUCUAGGGUGAUCAAACACCCAAGAGUAACAAAAUCCACACAAGAAAGUACGGGGGAAGCAAGUAUCCUUUGGUGGAAGUGUAGAUCUAGGUCUCCUCCUUCAAUCCCUAGCAAAUCAACAAGUUUGAGUGGCUAGAGAGAGAGAUCGGGCAAGAGAGCUUGAAGGGCAUUACUGGUGGAGUGAGAGAGGUCAAAGGUGGGAGUGGUAGGUGGGAGAAGCUCCCUUAAAUAGUCACCCACAUUUCCAACCGUUACUGCGUUUUUUGCACUUCAGCGGUACAACCGGUCCUCGUCCCGGUACAACCGGGACUCACGGUGUAACUGCAGAACCCUACCAAGCGGUACAACCGGACAGGCGGGCGGUAGUACCGGCUAAGAAAAAUAACCAGACUAACCGCCUGGCUACCGCACAACCACCGCAUCAAAACAGGAGCUUGACCGGUACUUGGGCGAUGCCUGGCUGGAACAACCGCAUGGCCUUGAGCUCUUGGGUAGCUAAGUUCUGAGCGGAAGAACCGCUCGGACCACCCGUGGUACCGGUCAUCGUGGAACGACCGGACCAACCGGGCCACUACCGCCCAAGAACCGCAUCAAACCAGAAGCGAGAGCGGUACUUGAGCGGUGCAUGGACGGAACCACCGCCCCCGCUGUUGCAGAGCAUGGUGGCGGUACCACCGCCCGGAGGCAGCGCUACAACCGCUCGAGCGAAGCUGGUGAGCAACAAGACCCAGCGGUACAACCGCUCCAGAGAGCGGUACACCGCUGGGAAGAAACAGUGAGCAGGAAAGAGGGGAAGAGGCAAGGAAAACUUGAAGGAAAUAUGCCCUAGAGGCAAUAAUAAAGUUAUUAUUUAUUUCCUUAUUUCAUGAUAAAUGUUUAUUAUUCAUGUUAGAAUUGUAUUAUCCGGAAACAUAAUACUUGUGUGAAUACAUAGACAAACUAAACGUCACUAGUAUGCCUCUACUUGACUAGCUCGUUAAUCAAAGAUGGUUAUGUUUCCUAACCAUAGACAUGUGUUGUCAUUUGAUUAACGGGAUCACAUUAUUAGGAGAAUGAUGUGAUUGACAUGACCCAUUCCAUUAGCUUAGCACCCGAUCGUUUAGUAUGUUGCUAUUGCUUUCUUCAUGACUUAUACAUGUUCCUAUGACUAUGAGAUUAUGCAACUCCCGUUUGCCGGAGGAAUACUUUGUGUGCUACCAAACGUCACAACGUAACUGGGUUAUUAUAAAGGAGCUCUACAGGUGUCUCCAAAGGUAAAUGUUGGGUUGGCGUAUUUUGAGAUUAGGAUUUGUCACUCCGAUUGUCGGAGAGGUAUCUCUGGGCCCUCUCGGUAAUGCACAUCACAUAAGCCUUGCAAGCAUUACAACUAAUGAGUUAGUUGCGAGAUGAUGUAUUACGAAACGAGUAAAGAGACUUGCCAGUAACGAGAUUGAACUAGGUAUUGAGAUACCGACGAUCGAAUCUCGGGCAAGUAACAUACCGAUGACAAAGGGAACAACGUAUGUUGUUAUGCGGUCUGACCAAUAAAGAUCUUCAUAGAAUAUGUGGGAGCCAAUAUGAGCAUCCAGGUUCCGCUAUUGGUUAUUGACCGGAGACGUGUCUCGGUCAUGUCUACAUUGUUCUCGAACCCGUAGGGUCUGCACGCUUAAGGUUUCGAUGACAGUUAUAUUAUGAGUUUAUGAGUUUUGAUGUACCGAAGGAGUUCGGAGUCCCGGAUGAGAUCGGGGACAUGACGAGAGUCUCGAAAUGGUCGAGACGUAAAGAUCGAUAUAUUGGACGACUAUAUUCGGACAUCGGAAAGGUUCCGAGUGAUUCGGGUAUUUUCGGAGGUACCGGAGAGUUACGGGAAUACGAGGAGGAAGCAAUGGGCCUUAAUGGGCCUUAGUGGGAAGGACCAGGAGGUGGCGCGCGCCCCUCCCAAGCCCAGUCCGAAUUGGACAAGGGGUUUGGGGCGCGGCCCCUCUCUCCCUUCCUUCCCCUCUUCCCCCCUUUCCCCCCUUCUCCUAGUUGGACUAGGAAAGGAGGAAACCUACUCCAACUAGGAGUAGGAAUCCUACUCCCUAGCACGCCCCUCCUAGGGCCGGCCUCCUCCCCCUUGCUCCUUUAUAUACGGGGGCAAUGGGGCACCUCUACACACACAAGUUGAUCCUCGUGAUCGUUUUCUUAGCCGUGUGCGGUGCCCCCUUCCACCAUAUACCUCGAUAGUAUUGUAGUGGUGCUUAGGAGAAGCCCUGCGACAGUUGAACAUCAAGAUCGUCACCACGCCCUCGUGCUGACGGAACUCUUCCCCGACACUUUGCUGGAUCGGAGUCCGGGGAUCGUCAUCGAGCUGAAUGUGUGCUAAAACUCGGAGGUGUCGUAGUUUCGGUGCUUGAUCGGUCGGGCCGUGAAGACGUACGACUACAUCAACCGCGUUGUGCUAACGCUUCCACUGUCGGUCUACAAGGGUACGUAGAUCACACUCUCCCCUCUCGUUGCUAUGCAUCACCAUGAUCUUGCGUGUGCGUAGGAAUUUUUUUGAAAUUACUACGUUCCCCAACAGUGGUAUCAGAGCCUAGGUUUUAUGUGUUGAUGUUAUAUGCACGAGUAGAACACAAGUGAGUUGUGGGCGAUAUAAGUCAUACUGCUUACCAGCAUGUCAUACUUUGGUUCGGCGGUAUUGUUGGACGAAGCGGCCCGGACCGACAUUACGCGUACGCUUACGCGAGACCGGUUCUCCCGACGUGCUUUGCACAAAGGUGGCUAGCGGGUGUUAGUUUCUCCAACUUUAGUUGAACCAAGUGUGGCUACGCCCGGUCCUUGCGAAGGUUAAAACAACACCAACUUGACAAACUAUCAUUGUGGUUUUGAUGCGUAGGUAAGAUUGGUUCUUGCUUAAGCCCGUAGCAGCCACGUAAAACUUGCAACAACAAAGUAGAGGACGUCUAACUUGUUUUUGCAGGGCAUGUUGUGAUGUGAUAUGGUCAAGACAUGAUGCUAAAAUUUUAUUGUAUGAGAUGAUCAUGUUUUGUAACCAAGUUAUCGGCAACUGGCAGGAGCCAUAUGGUUGUCGCUUUAUUGUAUGCAAUGCAAUUGCGCUGUAAUGCUUUACUUUAUCACUAAAGGGUAGCGAUAGUCGUGGAAGCAUAAGAUUGGCGAGACGACAACAAUGCUAUGAUGAUGAUCAAGGUGUCGCGCCGGUGACGAUGGUGAUCACGACGGUGCUUCGAAGAUGGAGAUCACAAGCACAAGAUGAUGGCCAUAUCAUAUCACUUAUAUUGAUUGCAUGUGAUGUUUAUCUUUUAUGCAUCUUAUCUUGCUUUGAUUGACGGUAGCAUUUUAAGAUGAUCUCUCACCAAUUAUCAAGAAGUGUUCUCCCUGAGUAUGCACCGUUGCAAAAGUUCUUCAUGCUGAGACACCAUGUGAUGAUCGGGUGUGAUAGGCUCUACGUUCAAAUACAACGGGUGCAAAACAGUUGCACACGCGGAAUACUCAGGUUAUACUUGACGAGCCAAGCAUAUACAGAUAUGGCCUCGGAACAUGGAGACCGAAAGGUCGAGCGUGAAUCAUAUAGUAGAUAUGAUCAACAUAGUGAUGUUCACCAAUGAAACUACUCCAUCUCACGUGAUGAUCGGACAUGGUUUAGUUGAUUUGGAUCACGUGAUCACUUAGAGGAUUAGAGGGAUGUCUAUCUAAGUGGGAGUUCUUAAAGUAAUACGAUUAAUUCAACUUAAAUUUAUCAUGAACUUAGUCCUGGUAGUAUUUUUGUAAAUCAUGUUGUAGAUCAAUAGCUCGCGUUGUUGCUUCCCUGUGUUUAUUUUGAUAUGUUCCUAGAGAAAAUUGUUUUGAAAGAUGUUAGUAGCAAUGAUGCAGGAUUGGAUCCGUGAUCUAAGGUUUAUCCUCAUUGCUGCACAGAAGAAUUAUGUCCUUGAUGCACUGCUAGGUGACAGACCUAUUGCAGGAGCAGAUGCAGACGUUAUGAACGUUUGGCUAGCUCAAUAUGAUGACUGCUUGAUAGUUUAGUGCACCAUGCUUAACGGCUUAGAAUCGGGACUUCAAAGACGUUUUGAACGUCAUGGAACAUAUGAGAUGUUCCAGGAGUUGAAGUUAAUAUUUCAAGCAAAUACCCGAGUUGAGAGAUAUGAAGUUUCCAACAAGUUCUAUAGCUAAAAGAUGGAGGAGAAUCGCUCAACUAGUGAGCAUGUGCUCAGAUUGUCUGGGUACUACAAUUGCUUGAAUCAAGUGGGAGUUAAUCUUCCAGAUAAAAUAGUGAUUAACAGAAUUCUCUAGUCACCAUCACCAAGUUAGUAAAACUUCGUGAUGAACUAUGAUAUGCAAGGGAUAACGGAAAUGAUUCCCAAGCUCUUCGUAAUGCUUAAAUUGACGAAGGUAGAAAUCGAGAAAAACAUCAAGUGUUGAUGGUAGACAAGACCACUAGUUUCAAGAAAAGGGCAGAGGGAAGAAGGGGAACUUCAAGAAGAACAGCAAGCAAGUUGCUGCUCAAGUGAAGAAGCCCAAGUCUGGUCCUAAGCCUGAGACUAAGUGCUUCUACUGCAAAGGGACUGGUCACUGGAAGCGGAACUAUCCCAAGUGAUUGGCGGAUAAGAAGGAUGGCAAAGUGAACAUAAGUAUAUUUGAUAUACAUGUUAUUGAUGUGUACUUUACUAGUGUUUAUAGCAACCCCUUAGUAUUUGAUACUAGUUCAGUUGCUAAGAUUAGUAGCUCGAAACGGGAGUUGCAGAAUAAACAGAGACUAGUUAAGGGUGAAGUGACAAUGUGUGUUGGAAGUGGUUCCAAGAUUGAUAUGAUCAUCAUCGCACACUCCCUAUAAUUUCGGGAUUAGUGUUGAACCUAAAUAAGUGUUAUUUGGUGUUUGCGUUGAGCAUGAAUAUGAUUUGAUCAUGUUUAUUGUAAUACAGUUAUUCAUUUAAGUAAGAGAAUAAAUUGUUGUUCUGCUUACAUGAAUAAAACCUUAUAUGGUUACACACCCAAUGAAAAUGGUUCAUUGGAUCUUGAUCGUAGUGAUACACAUAUUCAUAAUAUUGAAACCAAAAAGAUGCAAAGUUAAUAAUGAUAGUGCAACUUAUUUGUGGAACUGCCAUUUAGGUCAUAUUGGUGUAAAGCGCAUGAAGAAACUCCAUGCUGAUGGGAUUUUGGAAUCACUUGAUUAUGAAUCACUUGGUGCUUGCGAACCAUGCCUUAUGGGCAAGAUGACUUAAGACUCCGUUCUCCGGAACAAUGGAGCGAGCAACAUAUUUGUUGGAAAUCAUACAUACUGAUGUAUGUGGUCCGAUGAAUAUUAAAGCUCGCGACAAGUAUCAUUAUUUUCUGACCUUCACGGAUGAUUUAAGCAGAUAUGAGUAUAUCUACUUGAUGAAACAUAAGUCUGAAAAGUUCAAAGUAUUUCAGAGUGAAGUAGAAAAUCAUCAUGACAAGAAAAUAAAGUUUCUACGAUUUGAUCAUAGAGACGAAUAUUUGAGUUACGAGUUUGGUCUUCAAUUAAAACAAUGUGGAAUAGUUUCACAAACUCAUGCCACCUGGAACACCACAGCAUAAUGGUGUGUCCGAACGUCAUAACCGUACUUUAUUGGAUAUAGUACAAUCUAUGAUGUUUCUUACCGAUUUACCAAUAUCGUUUUGGGAUCAUGCAUUAGAGACAGCUGCAUUCACGUUAAAAAAUGGGGCACCAUCUAAGUCCGUUGAGACGACACAAUCUGAACUGUGGUUUGGCAAGAAACCAAAGUUGUUGUUUUUUAAAGUAUGGGAUUGUGAUGCUUAUAUGAAAAAGUUUCAUCUUGAUAAGCUCAAACCCAAAUCGGAGAAAUAUGUCUUCAUAGGAUACCCAAAGGAGACUGUUGGGUACACCUUCUAUCACAGAUCCGAAGGCAAGACAUUCAUUGCUAAGAAUGGAUCCUUUCUAGAGAAGGAGUUUCUCUCGAAAGAAGUGAGUGGGAGGAAAGUAGAAAACUUGAUAAGGUAAUUGUACCUUCUCCCUUAUUGGAAAGUAGUUCAUCAUAGAAAUCUGUUCUUGUGACUACUACACCAAUUAGUGAGGAAGCUAAUGAUGAUGAUCAUGUAACUUCAGAUCAAGUUACUACCGAAUCUCGUAGGUAAACCAGAGUAAGAUCCGCACCAGAGUGGUACGGUAAUCCUGUUCUGGAAGUCAUGUUACUAGACCAUGACAAAUUUGCGAACUAUGAGGAAGCGAUGAUGAGCCCAGAUUCCGCGAAAUGGUUUGAGGCCAUGAAAUCUGAGAUAUGAUCCAUGUAUGAGAACAAAGUAUGGACUUUGAUGGAUUUGCCCGAUGAUCAGCAAGCCAUAGAAAAUAAAUGGAUCUUCAAGAGGAAGAUGGACGCUGAUAGUAGUGUUACUAUCUACAAAGCUAGACUUGUCGAAAAAGGUUUUUGACAAAGUUCAAGGUGUUGACUACGAUGAAAUUUUCUCACUCGUAGCGAUGCUUAAGUCUGUCCCAAUCAUGUUAGCAAUUGCCGCAUUUUUAUGAAAUCUGGCAAAUGGAUAAACAAAACUACAUUCCUUAAUGGAUUUAAAGAAGAGUUGUAUAUGAUGCAACCAGAAGUUUUGUCAAUCCUAAAGGUGCUAACAAAAUAUGCAAGCUCCAGCGAUCCAUCUAUGGACUGGUGCAAGCAUCUCGGAGUUGGAAUAUACGUUUUGAUAAGUUGAUCAAAGCAUAUAGUUUUAUACAGACUUGCGGUGAAGCCUGUAUUUACAAGAAAGUGAGUGGGAGCACUACAGCAUUUCUGAUAAGUAUAUGUGAAUGACAUAUUGUUGAUCGGAAAUAAUGUAGAAUUAUUCUGCAAAGCAUAAAGGAGUGUUUUGAAAGAAUUUUUUCAAAGAAAGACCUCGGUGAAGCUGCUUACAUAUUGAGCAUCAAGAUCUAUAGAGAUAGAUCAAGACGCUUGAUAAGUUUUUUCAAUGAGUACAUACCUUGACAAGAUUUUGAAGUAGUUCAAAAUGGAACCGUCAAAGAAAGAGUUCUUGCUUGUGUAACAAGGUGUGAAAUUGAGUAAGACUCAAAGCCCGACCACGGCAGAAGAUAGAAGGAGAAUGAAAGUCAUUCCCUAUGCCUCAAUCAUAGGUUCUAUAAAGUAUGCCAUGCUGUGUACCUAUUGUAUACCCUACACUGUUUUUGGCAAGGGAGUACAAUAGUGAUCUAGGAGUAGAUCACUGGACAGUGGUCAAAAUUAUCCUUAGUGGAAUAAGGAAAUAUUUCUCAAUUAUGGUGGUGACAAAAGGUUCGUUGUAAAGAGUUACGUUGAUGCAAGCUUUGACACAUAUCUGGAUGACUCUAAGUCUCGAUCUAGAUACAUAUUGAAAGUGGGAGCAAUUAGCUAGAGUAGCUCCAUGCAGAGCAUUGUUGACAUAGAUAUUUGCAAAAUACUUACGGAUCUGAAUAUGAUAGACCCGUUGACUAAAAUUAUCUCACAAGCAAAACAUGAUCACACCUUAGUACUCUUUGGGUGUUAAUCACAUAGCGAUGUGAACUAGAUUACUGACUCUAGUAAACCUUUUGGGUGUUGGUCACAUAUCAAUGUGAACUAUGGGUGUUAAUCACAUAAAGAUGUGAACUAUUGAUGUUAGAUCACAUGGCAAUGUGAACUAGAUUAUUGACUCUAGUGCAAGUGGGAGACUGAAGGAAAUAUGCCCUAGAGGCAAUAAUAAAGUUAUUAUUUAUUUCCUUAUUUCAUGAUAAAUGUUUAUUAUUCAUGCUAGAAUUGUAUUAUCCGGAAACAUAAUACUUGUGUGAAUACAUAGACAAACUAAACGUCACUAGUAUGCCUCUACUUGACUAGCUCGUUAAUCAAAGAUGGUUAUGUUUCCUAACCAUAGACAUGUGUUGUCAUUUGAUUAACGGGAUCACAUUAUUAGGAGAAUGAUGUGAUUGACAUGACCCAUUCCAUUAGCUUAGCACCCGAUCGUUUAGUAUGUUGCUAUUGCUUUCUUCAUGACUUAUACAUGUUCCUAUGACUAUGAGAUUAUGCAACUCCCGUUUGCCGGAGGAACACUUUUGUGCUACCAAACGUCACAACGUAACUGGGUGAUUAUAAAGGAGCUCUACAGGUGUCUCCAAAGGUAAAUGUUGGGUUGGCGUAUUUCGAGAUUAGGAUUUGUCACUCCGAUUGUCGGAGAGGUAUCUCUGGGCCCUCUCGGUAAUGCACAUCACAUAAGCCUUGCAAGCAUUGCAACUAAUGAGUUAGUUGCGAGAUGAUGUAUUACGAAACGAGUAAAGAGACUUGCCGGUAACGAGAUUGAACUAGGUAUUGAGAUACCGACGAUCGAAUCUCGGGCAAGUAACAUACCGAUGACAAAGGGAACAACGUAUGUUGUUAUGCGGUCUGACCGAUAAAGAUCUUCGUAGAAUAUAUGGGAGCCAAUAUGAGCAUCCAGGUUCCGCUAUUGGUUAUUGACCGGAGACGUGUCUCGGUCAUGUCUACAUUGUUCUCGAACCCGUAGGGUCUGCACGCUUAAGGUUUCGAUGACAGUUAUAUUAUGAGUUUAUGAGUUUUGAUGUACCAAAGGAGUUCGGAGUCCCGGAUGAGAUCGGGGACAUGACGAGGAGUCUCAAAAUGGUCGAGAUGUAAAGAUCGAUAUAUUGGACGACUAUAUUCGGACAUCGGAAAGGUUCUGAGUGAUUUGGGUAUUUUCGGAGGUAUCGGGGAGUUACGGAAAUACGAGGAGGAAGCAAUGGGCCUUAAUGGGCCUUAGUGGGAAGGACCGGGAGGUGGCGCGCGCCCCUCCCAAGCCCAGUCCGAAUUGGACAAUGGGUUUGGGGCGCGGCCCCUCUCUCCCUUCCUUCCCCUCUUCCCCCCCUUUCCCCCUUCUCCUAAUUGGACUAGGAAAGGAGGAAACCUACUCCAACUAGGAGUAGGAAUCCUACUCCCUAGCGCGCCCCUCCUAGGGCCAGCCUCCUCCCCCUUGCUCCUUUAUAUACGGGGGUAGGGGGGCACCUCUACACACACAAGUUGAUCCUCGUGAUCGUUUUCUUAGCCGUGUGCGGUGCCCCCUUCCACCAUAUACCUCGAUAAUAUUGUAGUGGUGCUUAGGCGAAGCCCUGCGACAGUUGAACAUCAAGAUCGUCACCACGCCGUCGUGCUGACGGAACUCUUCCCCGACACUUUGCUGGACCGGAGUCUGGGGAUCGUCAUCGAGCUAAACGUGUGCUAAAACUCGGAGGUGCCGUAGUUUUGGUGCUUGAUCGGUCGGGCCGUGAAGACGUACGACUACAUCAACCGCGUUGUGCUAACGCUUCCACUAUCGGUCUACAAGGGUACGUAGAUCACACUCUCCCCUCUCGUUGCUAUGCAUCACCAUGAUCUUGCGUGUGCGUAGGAAUUUUUUUUAAAUUACUACGUUCCCCAACAAAACUCUCUCUCUCUCACACCUGAGGAAGGCAAAGAGAGGGUGAGAAAAGUGUACGUGAACUGAUUCCCCCAGAGCUUCCUAAUGAGGAUUCCCUCUUGAUAGUACGGGUACUCUACGACCAAAGAAAAUAAAAGCGUAGAGGACACGUCUUCGAUCUUUUCCUUCGAGAGGCAAUAGCAAUCCGAUGUAAGCCUAAGCGUCGAGAACUUGAAACAUAUAGCACACAAUUAGACCACAAAGGGUUGUCAUCAUCAUCCAAAACAUAAAGUAGGGAAAUGCCCUUUCAAUCUCCCCCUUUUUGGUGAAUGAUGACAACAACACGAUUUGCAAGAGAUAAGUCAAUGAAAUCUAGACGGAACUCCCCCCGAAUGUGUGCCCCAAUAAGUACUAGCUAUUAGAAAGCAUGGGGACACUUUCAGGACUAGACUCCCCCUAGAUUUUAUAGACUCAUCACUCUGAGCUCAAAAGGAUAGACAAUAUAAUACUUAGAGGCAAUAAUAAUGAUAAUGACCUACGAACGGAAAGGUAAACGGAGUAACAAGUCUCACACACAGCACGGAACGAAACAAGUCCACAAACAAACACAAAACACGAGAACAAGAGAAAAACCCAAGCAAAUCCCCGAGACCUAUAGAACCCUCUCCCCCUUUGGCAUCAAGACACCAAAAAGGAAAAGAGCAAAGCUAGCGACCCAAAGCUCAGGCGUCCUCCUCUGACUCCUCGGUCGCAUCUGGAUCUUCAUCAUCAGAGUCAUGAUCGUUAUCGUGAUCAGAUUCUUCCAUGGCAUUGUCAGCUGCUGCAAACGAGGAUGAUGGCUGGGGAGGGGCUUCAUCAUCAGUCCAGGUGCUAUGGGUAGAGAUCCAACGCUCCUCUGGGGUGAUGCUCUUCUCAGAGCCACUCUGAACCUGCAUGUUGAGGUGCUUCAUCAUUGCAAUUUGGCAACACCGUGCAAGCUUCUCAUUGACAUGUGCCUCAUACAUCUUCUUCUGGAUGUCAGCCUGGAGAAAAAAGGUCUUCUUCACCUUGGCAGUAAGUUUGGCCACCCACGAAGGCUUGGCCCCUGGCUCCAGCUCAAAGUCCUCAUCGUCAGAAGUAGCAUAGACAUCCUCAGGAGCAUGUUCAGGGAAGCGAGGCUCGGCAUGCUUCUUCUUCUUAAGGAGCUUGACCUCAUGAACAGUGAGGUUGUCUGGAGAAGUGAGGAGCUCUCCAGGACGACGAACAGCCCACACAGAGUUCAGAAAGCACAUGACAAACGGAGCGUAGAUUGGGACUUUACGGUAGAUGACCAUGUUGUACAUCUCAUGCCACAGCCAAUUUGACACAUCAAACGUUGCCCCUGUCCCCACCAUGGUCUUCAUAGCAACCAUCAAAUCAACCAGAUAGCCAUGAAUCUCAUCUUGAUUGCCCACCUUGGGCAAGAGCACAUUGCGGAACACUUGAUGCAUGAUGUCAUAGUCCUUCUCCAAAUCCUUGGAUUCUCCAACAAUCCCACGGCCCCGAAUGUACAGAGGGGCAAGCUUCUCCUUAGGCAUGGACUCAGGAAAAUCAUGAGGGCGAAUGCCACCCCUUCCUUCCAGACCGGUAUCCUCGUACCCAAUAGCAUUGCAGAAAGCCCUCCAGGGAACGUGAAACAAUUCAUCGCGACACAUGAAGGUGAGAGUGCGCGCAUCAUCUUCCCCAAAAUGAACCGUGGCAUAGAACUGAUGGAUAAGUUGAACAUCAAAGUCACAGUUGACUGACAUGAUCUUGACAAGAUCAAACUCCUCGCAUAGAGCUAGCGCCUCACCAAAAUACUCCAUGUUGUUUCUCCAAUGAUCAAAAUCAAUUGUCCACUGCUUGGCAUAUCUGUUCUUGUUGUGCUCAAAGAGUUCAUGAACAAUCCGCACUUGCAUCUCAUUCCGGAACUGAACAGUGGUCCAACGGGGAGCAAUGGGAACCUCAUACGGAUUCUUUGAGCAGAAGGCUUCCCAAUCGUUGGAUUUCCAACGAUGCAACGGCAUAACCACAUGUUACUUAGCAGCUGCAGACUUUUCACGGCGAGUGGGCUUGGUGGGAAUCACAACUUCUUCUUCUUCAUCAGACACAACCGGGCGCAAGGUCCUUUGUGCCCUCUUCUUGGUCUUGCGAGGAGCAGAGCGAGAACUAGAGCCACCUGAACACACACACGAAAAGAACACACAAAAACCCAACAAGGAUGAGAGGAUUGCACCCACUAGCAGAAAAGGAACAAGUUGCAACAACAGAGAAGAUAGAAUAGUGCUUAGUGGUUGAUAUACUCCGGUUGUACCGGAUCUUCCGCCGGUAGUACCGCUCCAGCGGUUGUACCGCCCGUAGGGGCGGUAGAACCGCUAACAGUGGCACUACCAGGGAAGAUAGAUCUAACCGAGGCAUAUGAAUCACACAAGUAAUAUUCCGAAUUCUAAGUGCUGCAAACAAGACAUGAGGCUAACAAAGAACUCUUCUAAGCCAUAGAUCGAACACUAAACGCGGAAAGAUGAGUAAAGCCCUAGACAAGGAAGAACCCUAAAAAAAUCUAGAGGCAAAGAACACGAGGCAUUACCACCAUCCAUGGGAAGAGAUCGGGAGGCCUCCACGGAGAGAAUCCACGAAGAGCCAAGGAUCCGAAGCACGAGACGCACUCCGGGGCAGGGGUAGAGAUGGCCGACAGCUAGGGCAAAAAAAGAAGAGGAACAAGGACGAAGGGAAAAAGACAACCCUUCAGCCCCGUCGAGUAUAUAUAGGCCCGUACACAUGCCCCGGUAGAACCGCUUAGGGGAGCGGUUGUACCGCUCGUCUGGUACAGACCGGUGGAUGGAGGCGGUACUUCCGGUGCCUGGGAGGCAGCGGUAGUACCGCACCGCAUCAACCGGUAGUACCGGACGUGGGUUACCAUGGGUUUGUGCGGUGGAACCGCCCAAGCACCGAACGGAGACCCUUGGGACGGCACAACCCGGUACCAGCGGUAGAACCGCUCGUGGUACCGAUUGUACUACCCGACCACCUAAGCCCAAGCCAAGAUCAAAUGAGUGCAAUCCUAAGGGAGGAAGAAGGGGCACAAAACAGGAGAGAAACAACACCCUAGGAGAACCUAACACAAAGAGCAAAGACAGAAAGAGAGAAAACAACACGAGAACAACAAGGCUAACUCCAACCUCCCGAAGAGAGGACGGUGGCCGAGGCCACCUAUGUUUGAGUCAAUUGGUAUGGCACCGCGAAGAAUUAUCCUUGGGUCCAUGACCAAAACUCGUCUUUGAAGCACAAGUACCAUCAAAUAUGGCUAAUGUGAAAGACACGAUCAAUUUAUGCAUAAUGGGGGGAGGGAGAGUUCAUUGAGAGAACAACACUCCCCCUAUGUCCAUGCCUACACCUAAACUAGACAACAAAUUGAGCGUGGUAGGGUGUGCAAGGGUUCAAGCCACAUUGCUCGAAUCAAUGAUAUUUAGCUCAUGCCUUAACUCGCGAAAUCUUGCUUCAUCCAAGGGCUUCGUGAAAAUAUCUGCAAGGUUGUCAUGAGUGUUGACAUAGUUGAGCUCGAUCUCUCCUCGUCUAAUGUGAUCCCGGAUGAAGUGAUACCGGAUCUCAAUAUGCUUUGUCUUGAAAUGUUGCACCGGAUUGAGAGAGAUCUUGAUGGCACUUUCAUUGUCACAGCAAAGAGGCACUUUGUCACAAGUGACACCGUAAUCCUUUAAAGUUUGCCUCAUCCAUAGGAGUUGAGCACAACAACUACCGGCGGCAACAUACUCCGCCUCAGUGGACGAGAGAGACACACAUCUUUGCUUUUUGGAAGACCAACUUACCAAAGAGCAACCAAGGAAUUGGCACCCUCCGGAAGUGGACUUCCUAUCCACUUUGUCUCCCGCCCAAUCGGAAUCCGAGUACCCUACAAGCUUGAAGUUUGAUCCUCUGGGGUACCAUAGGCCAAAGUUUGGGGUAUGAGCCAAAUAUCGAAAGAUUCAUUUGACCGCCACAUAGUGACUUUCCUUAGGUGCGGCUUGAAACCAUGCACAAAUUCCCACACUCAACAUGAUGUCCGUUCUAGAUGCACAAAGGUAAAGCAAGGAUCCAAUCAUGGAACGAUAUACCUUUUGAUCCACCACUUUACCAUUGGGAUCUAAGUCAAGUUGGCACUUGGUGGGCAUUGGAGUGGAAGCCGGCUUGACGUCACUUAGCUUGAAUCUCUUGAGCAUGUCUUGAGUGUAUUUUGAUUGAUUGAUGAAGGUUCCUUCUCUUCUUUGCUUCACUUUGAACCCUAGAAAGAACUUCAACUCUCCCAUGGAGGACAUCUCGAACUUUAAGGUCAUGAGAGCGGCAAAUUCCUCAUUGAAAGCUUUGUUAGGAGAACCAAAGAUAAUAUCAUCAACAUAUAAUUGGCACACAAACAACUCCCCUUUGACCUUCUUAGUAAAAAGAGUGGGGUCGAUUAGCCCAACUUCAAAACCACGGUCUUGUAACAACUCGGUAAGGUGGUCAUACCACGCACGUGGGGCUUGUUUAAGGCCAUAGAGCGCCUUAUCGAGUUGAUACACAUGAUCGGGAAAGUAGGGAUCCUCGAACCCGGGGGGUUACUUGACGUAAACCAAUUCAUUAAUGGGACCAUUAAGAAAAGCACUCUUCACAUCCAUUUGUUGUAACUUAAAGUUAUGAUGAGAAGCAUAUGCAAUCAACAUGCGAAUGGAUUCAAGACGAGCAACGGGAGCAAAGGUUUCACCAUAGUCGAUACCCUCGACUUGGGAGUAGCCUUGUGCUACCAAACGAGCCUUGUUGCGAAUGAUAAUCCCAUGGGCAUCUUGCUUGUUCUUGAAUAUCCACUUGGUUCCAAUGACAUUGUGGUUCCCCGUUGGCCUUGGCACCAAUCUCCACACUUUGUUGCGCUCGAAGUUGUUGAGUUCUUCGUGCAUGGCAUUGAGCCAAUCCGGAUCUUCUAGCGCCUCAUAGACCUUGUGGGGUUCCACACAAGAGACAAACACGUGAUGCUCACAAUAAUUUGCUAAUUGUCUACGAGUGCUUACCCCCUUUCUUAAGCUUCCAAGCACAUUCGUCAUGAGAUGAUCCUUGGUGGAGAGCUUGGAUGCAAUCUUGGCGGCACGACGCUCUAAUUCCUCCUCGGUGGUGAGUUGAGGAGCGGUUACUUGAUCAUCUUGAGCGCCGUCAUGAACUUGUUCUUGAUCUUGAACUUGCUCGGGGGAGAGAACUUGACCUUGGGCAUCACUUGGUGUGUCAACACCGUCUUGAGUAUGAUCUUGCCCUUGGUCUUGUUCAUGAGGUUGAGGGCCUUCACUUUGUUCUUCGGAAGCGUGUGGGCCUUGGGUUGGUGAUGGCUCCACUUGAGUGGAGCAUUGUCCUUCUCCUUCGGCCACAAGGGGUUCCUCAAUGGGUAGGAUAAAACCAACACCCAUUCUUCUUAUGGCUUGAGGAGGAAUUUCAUCACCUACAUCACAAGUGCCACUUUGCUCCACUUGGGAGCCGUUAUUCUCAUCAAACUCCACGUUACACGUCUCCUCAAUAAGUCCCAUGGAUUUAUUGAGGACACGGUAAGCAUGAGAGUUUGUAGCAUAACCAACAAAUAUGCCCCUAUGAGCUCUAGCCUCAAAUUUAGACAACCAAACACCUUUCUUGAGAAUGAAACACUUACACCCGAAUACCCGGAAGUACUUGAGGUUGGUCUUGUUACCGGUGAGUAUCUCAUAUGGAGUCUUGUUCAAGCCCUUGCGGAGGUAGAGCCGAUUGGAUGCAUGACACGCGGUGUUGAUGGCUUCGGCCCAAAAGUUGUACGGAGACUUGAACUCCGCCAUCAUGGUCCUUGCCGCAUCCAUCAACGUCCGGUUCUUCCUCUCCGCAACACUGUUUUGUUGAGGGGUGUAUGGUGCGGAAUAUUGAUGCUUGAUUCCCUCAUCACUAAGAAAUUCAUCCAAGGUGUAGUUCUUGAACUCGGUGCCGUUGUCACUUCUUAUUGUCAAGAUCUUUGCAUUGUGUUGACGCUGUGCUUCAUUUGCAAAGUCAAUGACGGUUUGUUGGGUCUUGCUCUUCCUCUUGAAGAAAUACACCCACGUGUACCUUGAGUAGUCAUCCACAAUCACCAAGCAAUACUUCCUACCUCCAAGACUAUCGAAGGAUGGAGGCCCAAAGAGAUCCAUGUGAAGGAGCUCCAAAGGCCUCUUUGAAUAAAUGAUAGUCGUGGGAGGGUGAGCCUUCUCAUGUAGCUUUCCUUCGAUACAGGCACUGCAAGCAUGAUCUUUAGCAAAACUAACAUUCGUUAGUCCACGGACAUGGUCCCCCUUGAGGAGACUUUGCAAAGAUUUCAUAUUGACAUGGGCUAAACGGCGAUGCCAAAGCCAUCCCACAUCAACUUUAGCCAUUAGGCAUGUCGCGGUCUUAGUGGGUCGCUCCGAAAAGUUAAUCACAUAUAGACCGUUCUCGACAUGCCCAACAAAGGCUACUUUAAGAGUCUUGCUCCACAAGAGGGCCACGGUAUCGAUAUCAAAGAAAGUGGCAAAGCCCAUGAUUGCAAGUUGACGAACGGAAAGUAAAUUGUAUGCAAGGGACUCAACAAGCAUGACCUUCUCUAUCGUGAGAUCAUGAGAGAUGACCACCUUGCCAAGUCCCAAUACCUUAGAAGAUGAGGCGUCACCCCACUCGACAUUGGUGGGCAUAGAUGGAACCUUGUGCACGUCCACCACCAAGUCCUUGCUUCCGGUCAUAUGAUUUGUAGCUCCGCUAUCGAGCAACCAUGAUCCACCACCGGAAGCAAACACCUACAAGAGAUCAAUGCUUGGUUUUAGGUACCCAUUUUGUAAUGGGUCCUUUGAUGUUAGUAACAAGGGUCUUAGGAACCCAAAUAGACCAUUCAAUGUAUUCAUGAAGAGAACCAACAAAUUUGGCAUAAACAUGCCCAUCACUAGCAUGGCAUAACACAUAAGAAGGAUUAAAAUCGCCGACUUUGUUGGGAGGGGUGACAUUGCCCUUCUUGACAUUGUUCUUCUUCUUCUCCUCGGGGGCACUCUCUCCCUCCCUCAAAAAGGUUUGCAUGAGAGGAGGAGGUCAUUUGGUCUUGUCAUUCUUCUUCUUGUUCUUGGAGUCGGGCACGUACCCAACCCCUUCCUUGGCCACAACUCCCUUUUGGUUGAUCAAGAGAUCGUUGAGGUUCUUCUUGCCUUGUAUGCAAGUCGCAAGACCUCUCUCAAGUUGCUCCUUCAACUUAGCAUUUUCCUCAACAAGAUGUAUAUGCUCACAACACGGGUUAGUAGCAUUUGCAUUAUCAAUUAAAACCAUAUGAGGAAAAGUUGCUUUCUCCUUAGUUAGCUUCACUUGGAGUUGAUCAUGAGACUCCUUGAGAGUAGUGUGAAUACCCUUCAAGGCCUUGUGGGCCUUGUCAAGUAUAUCAAACUCCUCUUUGAGUCUAGCAAGAUCAACCCCAAGUUUGGCCUUCUCGGAAUUUAGCACACGAGAAACAAUGAGGACAUGAUCAUAAUCUUUCUUUAACUUAGCAUGAUCAACGUUGUGUGACUCCUCAAGAGCCAAACGAAGACCACGCUCUUCCUCAAGAGCAUUGGAAAGAUCCGAGAUCUCAUCGGCAUAGUCACGACUAUGCCCUUCCAUCUUAGAGAUGGUGUCCUCGUAAGCCUCGACCAUGUCAUUGGCUUCACCAAGUUGUUCCAAGAGAGCAACAAAGUGCUUCUUGGAUUUUCCCUUGAGUUUGCCCAUAAAGGCCUCAAACUCGUUAGCCUCCACAUUAGCUCCCUCAAGUUCAUUAAUGCAAUCCGUCAGGGAAGGAUGAUUAAUGAUGGUAGUUUUGAUGUUGGAGGUUACCUUGUUGGUGGCUUUAGCCAUGAGGCACUUGGCGGUGAUGCUCUCGUUGGGUGAGUCGAAGAGAGACACCCGUGACGUUGUUGCAAUGGCAACGGAGGCCAUGGCAACCGACUCAUCAUCUUCAUCAUCGUCAUCAUCCUCAUUGUACUCUUCUUGCACAACCAAAGCCUUGGGAGGAGUCUUCUUGGAGAAGUUGUUCUUGUUGGGGAACGACUUGGCCUUAUCCUUUCAGAUGAGCUUGCCACCAUUGUCUUCCCUCUUCUCAUACGGGCAUUCUGCAAGGAAAUGACUCACGUUGCCGCAAUUGUAGCAAGUCCUUACACGUUGCUUGCCCCUUGUACCACUCGAGUUGUUUUUGCUAAAGUUUGGCCUCGAGUUUUUCUUGCUCCAAAAUUGCCUUGAAGCAAGUGCCAUGUGUUCAUGAUACUUCGUAUCUUCGGGGUUGCUCUCCUCUUCUUCCUCUUCUUCGUCUUCCACGAUGAUCUUGGCCUUCAAUGCAAGGUUAGGCUUCUUUGCCCGUUGAGAACGGAGCACCGCAUUGUCGGCGGUCUUGUCCAAAAUGUUCAUGGCCACAAACUCAUCCAACACUUCGCUUGAGGUCAAAGUGUGGAAGUCCGGUCUUUGACGAAUGACGGAGGACAUGGCCUUGUGAUAGGGCAUCAUUGCCUUGAGGAAUUUGCGCUUGAUCCAAUUGUCAUCCGUGUCCUUGCUCCCGUGAUCUCGUAGUGAGACCGCGAGUUUGGUUACUCUCCGAUAGAGCUCAUGAGGUUCUUCAUCUUCCUUCAUUGCAAACUCAUCGGCCUCAUCUUGUACCACUUCAUAGUUGGAGCAUUGAAUGCUUGCGCUUCCCUGGUAGAGAGACACGACACAAUGCCAUGCAACUUUGGCCAAGGCGAAAGGACGAAGAUGAGGUAGGUCUUUGGGUGGAAUUGCAUCUUGAAUGAUGAAGAGAGCAUUCUCAUUGAAUUGAUUGUCCGUGGCUUCUCGAGGAGUGAAGUUGCUUGGAUCAUGUGGAUAGAAACCUUCUUCAAUGAUUCUCCAAAGGUUAGUGUUCACAUGAUUUAAAUGACGUUUAAAGCGGUGAACCCAAGAAUCAAAAUCCUCAUUUUUCACAAUCUUAGGGGGAGGACCGGCAUGAUUCAAAUGAGUGGAAGGAACCGGUCCACCAUAAACAAGUGGUGGUUCCACAUGGGCAAAGAUGCCGGUGCCAUUCUUGCCACUAGAAGAAGGAGCCUUUUCACUACUAGCUUCCCCCUUGUCGGGGAUAGCAUCCGUCACCUUGUUGGCGGGAUCACCCACUUUCAACGGUGCGGUGGAUAGUUUAAGCCCCUCAAGAAAUUUAGUAAACAUGCUUUCGACUUCGGUCGUCAUGGAGGUUUUCAAUGUCUCCAAGGCCACAUUGAACUCCUCACGAGAGACCGAAGUUCCCCCAUCUCCCGUAGACGAGAUCGGAUUCACACCAGAGUGUUCCUCCACACCGUCUAUGGUAUCAACCAUACUCUUUGGACGGUAAAGUCCUUAAUAACGAGACGAGGCUCUGAUACCAAUUGAAAGGAUCAAUAUGGUUGACUAGAGGGGGGGUGAAUAGGCAACUAGCAAUUUUUAGCUUUUCUUUAACAAUUUAAACUUUGCAUCAAAGUAGGUUGUCUAGAUAUGCAACUAGGUGAGCAACCUAUAUGAUGCAACGAGGAUAGGUACACAAGCAAGCAAGAGAUAUGAAACAAGUAAGCUUGCUCAAAUAAAGGCACGAGAUAACCAAGAGUGGAGACGGUGGAGACGAUGAUGUGUUGCCGAAGUUCCUUCCCUUUGAGAGGAAGUACAUCUCUGUUGGAGCGGUGUGGAGGCACAAUGCUCCCCAAGAAGCCAAUAGGGCCACCGUAUUCUCCUCACGCCCUCACACAAUGCAAGAUGCCGUGAUUCCACUAUUGGUGCCCUUGAAGGCGGCGACCGAACCUUUACAAACAAGGUUGGGGCUCUCUCCACAACUUAAUUGGAGGCUCCCAACAAAAACCACGAAGCUUCGCCACAAUGGAAUAUGGCUCCGAGGUGACCUCAACCGUCUAGGGUGCUCAAACACCCAAGAGUAACAAAAUCCACACAAGAAAGUAUGGGGAAAGCAAAUAUCCUUUGGUGGAAGUGUAGAUCUAGGUCUCCUCCUUCAAUCCCUAGCAAAUCAACAAGUUUGAGUGGCUAGAGAGAGAGAUCGGGCAAGAGAGCUUGAAGGGCAAUAAUGGUGGAGUGAGAGAGGUCAAAGGUGGGAGUGGUAGGUGGGAGAAGCUCCCUUAAAUAGUCACCCACAUUUCCAACCGUUACUACGUUUUUUGCACUUCAGCGGUACAACCGGUCCUCGUCCCGGUACAACCGGGACUCACGGUGUAACUGCAGAACCCUACCAAGCGGUACAACCGGAUAGGCGGGCGGUAGUACCGUCUAAGAAAAAUAACCGGACUAACCGCCUGGCUACCGCACAACCACCGCAUCAAAACAUGAGCUUGACCGGUACUUGGGCGGUGCCUGGCUGGAACAACCGCAUGGCCUUGAGCUCUUGGGCGGCUAAGUUCUGAGCGGAAGAACCGCUCGGACCACCCGUGGUACCGGUCAUCGUAGAACGACCGGACCAACCGGGCCACUACCGCCCAAGAACCGCAUCAAACCAGAAGCGAGAGCGGUACUUGAGCGGUGCAUGGACGGAACCACCGCCCUAGCUAUUGCAGAGUAUGGUGGCGGUACCACCUCCCGGAGGCAGCGGUACAACCGCUCGAGCAAAGCUGGUGAGCGACAAGACCCAGUGGUACAACCGCUCCAGAGAGCGGUACAACCGCUGGGCAGAAACAAUGAGCAGGAAAGAGGGGAAGAGGCAAGGAAAACUCUCUCUCUCACACACACCUGAGGAAGGCAAAGAGAGGGUGAGAAAAGUGUACGUGAACUGAUUCCCCCAGAGCUUCCUAAUGAGGAUUCCCUCUUGAUAGUACGGGUACUCUACGACCAAAGAAAAUAAAAGCGUAGAGGACAUGUCUUCGAUCUUUUCCUUCGAGAGGCAAUAGCAAUCCGAUGUAAGCCUAAGCAUUGAGAACCUGAAACAUAUAGCACACUAUUAGACCACAAAGGGUUGUCAUCAUCAUCCAAAACAUAAAGUAGGGAAAUGCCCUUUCAAUGAUGAUGGAGAUCAUGGUGUCAUGCCAGUGACAACGAUGAUCAUGGAAGACCGAAAGGUCGAACAUGAGUCGUAUAGAAGAUACGAUCAACAUGAGAUGUUCACCGUUGAUGACUAGUCCGUCUCACGUGAUGAUCAGACACGGCCUAGUCGAUUCGGAUCAUGUUUCACUUAGAUGACUAGAGGGAUGUCUAUCUAAGUGGGAGUUCAUUAAAUUAAUUUGAUUAGAUGAACUCAAUUAUCAUGAACAUAGUCUAAAUUGUCUUCGCAAAUAUGUUGUAGAUAAAUAGCUCACGUUGUAGCUCCCUGUUUCAAUACGUUCCUAGAGAAAGACUAAGUUGAAAGAUAUUGUAAGCAAUGAUGCGGACUGGGUCCGUAGUCCGAGGAGUGUCCUCACUACUACACAGAAGGCUUACGUCUUUGAUGCACCGCUCGAUGUGCAAACCCCUACAACGUCGUCUGUGGAUGUUGUGAACACCUGACAGACACGUCCUGAUGACUACUUGAUAGUUUAGUGCACCAUACUUUACGGCUUAGAAUCGGGAUUCCAAUGACGUUUUAAACGCCAUAGAACAUAUGAGAUGUUCCAAGAGCUGAAAUUGAGAUUUCAGGCUCAUGCCCGUGUUGAGAGGUGUGAGACCUCUGACAAGUUCUUUAGCCAACAAGAUGGAGGAGAAUAGCUCAGCUAGUGAGCAUGUGCUCAGAAUGUCUGGGUGCUACAAUCACUUAAAUCAAGUGGGAGUUAAACUUCCAGAUAAGAUAGUGAUUGAUAGAGUUCUCUAGCCACUAUCACUAAGCUACUAGAUCUUCGUGAUGAACUAUGACAUGCAAGGGAUGGAAUUGAUCCCGGAGCUGUUCGCGGUGCUUAAGACCGCAAAAGGUAGAAAUCAAGAAGGAGCAUCAAGUGUUGAUGGUUUAACAAGACCACUGGUUUCAAGAAGGGCAAUGGCUAGAAGGGAAACUUCAUGGAUGGCAAACCAGUUGCCGCUCCAGUGAAGGAACCCAAGGUUGAACCCAAACCCGAGACUAAGUGCUUCUAUUGUAAGGGGAAUGGGCACUGGUAGCGGAAUUACCCCAAAUGCAUGGUAGAUAAGAAGGCUGGAAACUUCAACAAAGUAUAUACGUGUUAUUAAUGUGUACCUCCCUAGUACUACUGGUAGCACCUGGGUAUUGGAUACCGGUUUAGUUGCUAUUACUGGUGACUUGAAGCAAAAGCUACGGACUAAACGGAGACUGGCUAAGGGUGAGGUGACGAUGUGUGUUGGCAGUGUUUCCAAAGUUGAUGAGAUCACCAUCGCACGCUCCAUCUGCCUUCGGGAUCAGUAUUGAACCUAGAUAAAUGUUAUCAGGUGUCUACGUUGAGCAUGAAUAUGAUUAGAUCAUGUUUAUUGCAAUACGGUUAUUCAUUUAAGUUAGAGAAUAAUGGUUAUUCUGUUUACAUGAAUAAUACCUUCCAUGGUCAUGCACCCUAUGUGAAUGGUUCAGUGAAUCUCGGUCGUAGUAAUACACAUGUUCACGCCAAAAUACGUAGAUAGUACCACUUUCUUGUGGCACUGCCGCUUAGGUCAUAUUGGCGUAAGAUGCAUGAAGAAACUCCAUGUCGAUGGAUGUUUGCAGUCACUUGAUUUUGAAUCGCUUGACACAUGCGAGCCAUGCCUCAUGGGCAGGAUGACUAAGACCCCGUUUUCAGGUACAAUGAAACGGGCAAGUGACUCGUUGGAAAUCAUACAUGCUGAUGCGUGUGAUCCAAUGAGAAUUGAAGCAUGCGGUGGAUAUCGCUAUUUUCUUAUCUUCACUGACGAUUUGAGUAGAUAUAGGUAUAUUUACUUAAUGAAGCACAAGUCUGAAACGUUUGAAAAGUUCAAGCGAUUUCAGAGUGAAGUUAAGAAUCAUCAUAACAAUAAGAUCAUGUUCCUAUGAUCUGAUCAAAAAGGGGAUUUUCUGAGUUAUGAGUUUGGCAAUCACUUACGACAUUGUGGAAUUGUUUCACAGUUGAAGCCACCUGGAACACCACAAGGUAAUGGUGUGUCCGGACGUCAUAAUCAAACCCUAUGAGAUAUGGCGCGAUCUAUGAUGUCUCUUACCAAUCUACCGUUUUCAUUUUGAGGUUAUGCGUUAGAGACAGUUGCAUUCACUUUAGAUAGGACACCAUUUAAGUCUGUUGAGACGAUGCCGUAUGAACAUUGGUUUGGCAAGAAACCAAAGUUGUCGUUUCUUAAUGUUUGGGGCUGCGAUGCUUAAGGCUUCAGCCGGAGAAGCUCGAACCCAAAGUGGACAAACACAUCUUCAUAGGAUACCCAAAGGUGACAGGUGGGUAUACCUUCUAUCUCAGAUCCAAGUGCAAGUCGUUUGUCGCUAAGAACGGGUCCUUUCUCGAGAAGGAGUUUCUCUCAAAAGAAUUGAGUGGGAGGAAGAUAGAACUUGAUGAGGUUGUCGAACCUUUACUUUAACCAGAGAGUGAUGCGACACAGAAAGAUGUUUUUUGUGGCGCCUACGUCUGAUGAAGAGGAAGUUAAUGAUAGUGAUCAUGAAGCUUUGGAUCAAGUUGCUAUCAAACCUCAUAGGUCGACAAGGAUAUGUACUACUCGUGAGUGGUACGAUAAUCCUGUCUUAAAUAUCAUGUUGUUAGACAACAAUGAACCUACGACCUAUGGAGAAGCGAUGGUGGGCCCGUAUUCCGACAAAUGGUUAGAAGCCAUGAAAUCCGAGAUAGGAUCCAUAUAUCAGAACAAAGUAUGGACUUUGGUGGACUUGCCCGAUGAUCGGCAAGCCAUUGAGAUAAAUGGAUCUUUAAGAAGAAGACGGGCAUGGGCGGUAAUGUUACCGUCUAUGAAGCUCGACUUGUGGGAAAGAGUCUUUUCACAAGUACAAGGAGUUGACUACGAUGAGAAUUUCUCACCCAUAGCGAUGCUUAAGUCCGUCGGAAUCAUGUUUGCAUUAGUUGUAUUUUUCGAUUUUGAAAUCUGACAGAUGGAUGUCAAAAACAAGUUUUCUUACCAGUUUUUGUAAGAAAGAGUUGUAUGUGAUACAAUCAAAGUUUUGUCGAUCCUAAGGAUGCUAAAAGGUAUGCUAGCUCCAGCGAUCCUUCUAUGGACUAGAGCAAGCAUCUCGGAAUCGGAAUAUAUGUUUUGAUGGAGUGAUCAAAGCUUUUAGGUUUAUGCAAUGUUUGCUAGAAACUUGUAUUUACAAGAAAGUGAGUGGGAGCACUACAACAUUUCUGAUAAGUAUAUGUGGAUGACAUAUUUUGAUCCGAAAUAAUGUAGAAUUUCUGGAAAGCAUAAACGGGUGUUUGAAGAGUGUUUUUCAAAGGAAGACCUGGAUAAAGUUGCUUACAUAUUGGGCAUCAAGAUCUAUAGAGAUAGAUCAAGACGCUUGAUGGUACUUUCAAAGAACGCACACCUUGACAUGUUUUUGAAGGAGUUCAAAAUAGAUCAGCCAAAGAAGGGGUUCUUACCCGAGUUGUAAGGUGUGAAGUUGAGUAAGACUCAAAGCUUGACCACAGCAGAAGAAAGAGGAAGGACGAAGGUUGUCCCCUAUGCUCUUGUCAUAGGCUCUAUACGGUAUGCCAUGCUGAGUACCGCACCUUAUGUGUGCCUUGCCACAUGUCUGGCAAGAGGGUACAAAGGUGAUCUAGGACUGGAUCACCAUAUAGCGGUCAAAAUUAUCCUUAGAGGAAUAAGGAAAUGUUUCUCGGUUAUGGAGGUGAUAAAGAGUUCGACGUAAAGAGUUACGUCGAUGCAAGCUUAACACCCAUCUGGAUAGCUCUGAGUAGAGAUACCGGAUACGUAUAAUGGAGCAACAAUUUGGAAUAGCUCCAAGUGGAACGUGGUAGCAGCAUCUACGAUAUGACAUAAAGUUUUGCAAAAUACAUAGGGAUCUGAAUAUGGCAAGACCCGUUGGCUACAACCUCUCUCACAAGCAUAACAUGAUCAAACCCAGAACUCAUUGAGUGUUAAUCACAUAGUGAUGUGAACUAGAUUAUUGAGUCUAGUAAACUCUUUGGAUGUUGGUCACAUGGCGAUGUGACCUGUGAGUGUUAAUCACAUGGCGAUGUGAACUAGAUUAUUGACUAUAGUGCAAGUGGGAGACUGUUGGAAAUAUGCCCUGGAGGCAAUAAUAAAUUGGUUAUUAUUAUAUUUCCUUGUUCAUCAUAAUCGUUUAUUAUCCAUGCUAGAAUUGUAUUGAUAGGAAACUCAGAUACAUGUGUGGAUACAUAGACAACACCAUGUCCCUAGUAAGCCUCUAGUUGACUAGCUCGUUGAUUAAUAAGAUGGUUACGGUUUCCUGACCAUGGACAUUGGAUGUCGUUGAUAACGGGAUCACAUCAUUAGGAGAAUGAUGUGAUGGACAAGACCCAAUCCUAAGCCUAGCACAAGAUCGUGUAGUUCAUUUGCUAAAGCUUUUCUAAUGUCAAGUAUCAUUUCCUUAGACCAUGAGAUUGUGCAACUCCCGGAUACCGUAGGAGUGCUUUGGGUGUGCCAAACGUCACAACGUAACUGGGUGGCUAUAAAGGUACAGUACAGGUAUCUCCGAAAGUGUCUGUUGGGUUGGCACGAAUCGAGACUGGGAUUUGUCACUCCGUGUAAACGGAGAGGUAUCUCUGGGCCCACUCGGUAGGACAUCAUCAUAAUGUGCACAAUGUGACAAAGGAGUUGAUCAUGGGAUGAUGUGUUAUGGAACGAGUAAAGAGACUUGCCGGUAAAGAUUGAACAAGGUAUCGGAUACCGACGAUCGAAUCUCGGGCAAGUACAAUACCGCUGGACAAAGGGAAUUGUAUACGGGAUUGAUUGAAUCCUCGACAUCGUGGUUCAUCCGAUGAGAUCAUCGUGGAACAUGUGGGAGCCAACAUGGGUAUCCAGAUCCUGCUAUUGGUUAUUGGCCAGAGAGUUGUCUCGGUCAUGUAUGCAUGGUUCCCGAACCCGUAGGGUCUACACACUUAAGGUUCGGUGACGCUAGAGUUGUUAUGGGAAAUAGUAUGUGGUUACCGAAGGUUGUUCGGAGUCCCAGAUGAGAUCUCGGACAUGACGAGGAGCUCCGGAAUGGUCCGGAGGUGAAGAUCGGUAUAUUGGACGAAGGGUAUUGGAGUCCGGAAUUGUUCCGGGGGUACCAGGUGAUGACCAGCGUGUCCGAAAGGGAUUUCCGAGGCCCCGGCAAGCGUUGGGGGGCCUUAUGGGCCAAGGGGAGAGGGCACAUCAGCCCAGUAAGGGGUUGAGCGCCCCUCCCACCACAUCUCACGUAACCAGGAGAGGUGGGGCGCCACCCCUAGGGCAGCCGCCCCUCCCGGCUUGGGGGGCAAGUUUCCUAGGGGGUGGGGGCGCCCAAACCCAUCUAGGGUUUCCCCUGUGGCCGCCGCCCCUCCCCUAGGGAACCCUAGGGUGCCUCCCCCUCCUCCCUUCCCCCUAUAUAUAGUGAGGGAGAGAGAGGGAAGCCGUACCUUUCCCCUGGUGCAGCCCUCUUCCUCCUCCAACACCUCAUCCUCCUCCGUAGUGCUUGGCGAAGCCCUGCCGGAGAACCACGAGCUCCAUCAUCACGACGCCGUCGUGCUGUCGGAGUUUUCCCUCAACUUCUCCUCUCACCUUGCUGGAUCAAGAAGGAGGAGACGUCUCCCAACCGUACGUUUGUUGAACGCGGAGGUGCCGUCCGUUCGGCGCUAGGAUCAUCGGUGAUUUGGAUCACGACGAGUAUGACUCCAUCAACCCCGUUCACUUGAACGCUUCCGCUUAGCGAUCUACAAGGGUAUGUAGAUGCACUCUCCUUCCCCUCGCUGCUAGAUUACUCCAUAGAUUGAUCUUGGUGAUGCAUAGAAAAUUUUGAAUUUCUGCUACGUUCCCCAACAGUGGCAUCAUGAGCUAGGUCUAUGCGUAGUUUCUAUGCACGAGUAGAACACAAAGCAGUUGUGGGCGUCGAUAUUGUCAAUUUACUUGCCGUUACUAGUCUUAUCUGUUGGGGAACGUAGUAAUUUCAAAAAAAUUCCUACGCACACGCAAGAUCAUGGUGAUGCAUAGCAACGAGAGGGGAGAGUGUGAUCUACGUACCCUUGUAGAUCGACAACGGAAGCGUUUGGUUGAUGUAGUCGUACGUCUCCACGGCCCGACAGAUCAAGCACCGAAACUACGGCACCUCCGAGUUCUAGCACACGUUCAACUCGAUGACGAUCCCCGGACUCCGAUCCAGCAAAGUGUCGGGGAAGAGUUCCGUCAGCACGACGGCGUGGUGACGAUCUUGAUGUACUACCGUCGCAGGGCUUCGCCUAAGCACCGCUACAAUAUUAUUGAGGACUAUGGUGGAAGGGGGCACCGCACACGGCUAAGAAUAUGAUCACGUGGAUCAACUUGUGUCUCUAGGGGUGCCCCUGCCUCCGUAUAUAAAGGUUCAAGAGGGGGAGGCCGGCUGGCCAUCAUAGGGCGCGCCAGGAGGAGUCCUACUCCCUCCGGGAGUAGGACUUCUCCCCCAAUCCUAGCUAGUUGGAAUAGGAUUCGCGAGGUGGGAACGGAGAGAGAGAGAAGGAGGGGGGCGCUGGCCCCCUCUCUCCUUGUCCUAUUCGGACUAGGGGGGAGGGGCGCGCGGCCCAGCCCUGGCCGCCUCUCCUCUUCUUCCACUAAGGCCCACUAAGGCCCAUGUACCUCCCGGGGGGUUCCGGUAACCUCCCAGUACUCCGGUAAAAUUCCGAUUUCACCCGGAACACUUCCGAUAUCCAAAUAUAGGCUUCCAAUAUAUCAAUCUUUAUGUCUCGACCAUUUCGAGACUCCUCGUCAUGUCCGUGAUCACAUCCGGGACUCCGAACAACCUUUGGUACAUCAAAACGUAUAAACUCAUAAUAUAACUAUCGUCGAAACCUUAAGCGUGCAGACCCUACGGGUUCGAGAACAAUGUAGACAUGACCGAGACACGUCUCCGGUCAAUAACCAAUAGCGGGACCUGGAUGCCCAUAUUGGUUCCUACAUAUUCUACGAAGAUCUUUUAUCGGUCAGACCGCAUAACAACAUACGUUGUUCCCUUUGUCAUCGGUAUGUUACUUGCCCGAGAUUCGAUCGUCGGUAUCCAAUACCUAGUUCAAUCUCGUUACCGGCAAGUCUCUUUACUCAUUCCGUAAUACAUCAUCCCCUAACUAACUCAUUAGUUGCAAUGCUUGCAAGGCUUAAGUGAUGUGCAUUACCGAGAGGGCCCAGAGAUACCUCUCCGACGAUCGGAGUGACAAAUCCUAAUCUUGAAAUACGUCAACCCAACAUGUACCUUUGGAGACACCUGUAGAGCACCUUUAUAAUCACCCAGUUACGUUGUGACGUUUGGUAGCACACAAAGUGUUCCUCCGGCACAUGGGAGUUACAUAAUCUCAUAGUCAUAGGAACAUGUAUAAGUCAUGAAGAAAGCAAUAGCAACAUACUAAACGAUCGGGUGCUAAGCUAAUGGAAUGGGUCAUGUCAAUCAGAUCAUUCAACUAGCAUGUAUUAUGUUUCCGGUUAAUACAUUUCUAGCAUGAAUAAUAAACUUUUAUCAUGAUAUAAGGAAAUAAAUAAUAACUUUAUUAUUGCCUCUAGGGCAUAUUUCCUUCAUUAUCUUGAUUCGGCGGCAUUGUGGGAUGAAGCGGCCCGGACCGACCUUACACGUACGCUUACGUGAGACUGGUUCCACCGACUGACAUGCACUAGUUGCAUAAGGUGGCUAGCGGGUGUCUGUCUCUCCCACUUUAGUCGGUUCGGAUUCGAUGAAAAGGGUCCUUAUGAAGGGUAAAUAGAAAUUGGCAUAUCACGUUGUGGUUUUUGCGUAGGUAAGAAACGUUCUUGCUAGAAACCUAUAGCAGCCACGUAAAAACUUGCAACAACAAUUAGAGGACGUCUAACUUGUUUUUGCAGCAUAUGCCUUGUGAUGUGAUAUGGCCAAAAGGAUGUGAUGAAUGAUAUAUGUGAUGUAUGAGAUUGAUCAUGUUCUUGUAAUAGGAAUCACGACUUGCAUGUCGAUGAGUAUGACAACCGGCAGGAGCCAUAGGAGUUGUCUUAAUUUAUUUAUGACAUGCGUGUCAACAUAAACGUCAUGUAAUUACUUUACUUUAUUGCUAAAGCGUUAGCCAUAGUAGUAGAAGUAAUAGAUGACGAGACAACUUCAAGAAGACACGAUGAUGGAGAUCAUGGUGAUGGAGAUCAUGGUGUCAUGCCGGUGACAAUGAUGAUCAUGGAGCCCCGAAGAUGGAGAUCAAAAGGAGCAAAAUGAUAUUGGCCAUAUCAUGUCACUAUUUGAUUGCAUGUGAUGUUUAUCAUGUUUUACAUCUUAUUUGCUUAGAAUGACGGUAGCUUAAAAAAGAUGAUCCCUCACUAAAAUUUCAAGAAAGUGUUCCCCCUAACUGUGCACCGUUGUGAAGGUUCGUCGUUUCGAAGCACCACGUGAUGAUCGGGUGUGAUAGAUUCUAACGUUCGAAUACAACGGGUGUUGACGAGCCUAGCAUGUACAGACAUGGCCUCGGGACACAUGCGAAACACUUAGGUUGACUUGACGAGCCUAGCAUGUACAGACAUGGCCUCGGAACACGGAAGACCGAAAGGUCGAACAUGAGCCGUAUAGAAGAUACGAUCAACAUGAGAUGUUCACCGUUGAUGACUAGUCCGUCUCACGUGAUGAUCGAACACGGCCUAGUCGAUCCGGAUCAUGCUUCACUUAGAUGACUAGAGGGAUGUCUAUCUGAGUGGGAGUUCAUUAAAUUAAUUUGAUUAGAUGAACUCAAUUAUCAUGAACAUAGUCUAAAUUGUCUUCGCAAAUAUGUUGUAGAUAAAUAGCUCACGUUGUAGCUCCCUGUUUCAAUAUGUUACUAGAGAAAGAUUAAGUUGAAAGAUAUUGUAAGCAAUGAUGCGGACUAGGUCCGUAGUCCGAGGAGUGUCCUCACUGCUACACAGAAGGCUUACGUCUUUGAUGCACCGCUUGAUGUGCAAACCCCGACAACGUCAUCUGUGGAUGUUGUGAACACCUGACAGACAUAUUCUGAUGACUACCUGAUAGUUUAGUGCACCAUACUUUACGGCUUAGAAUCGGGAUUCCAAUGACGUUUUAAACGCCAUAGAACAUAUGAGAUGUUCCAAGAGCUGAAAUUGAGAUUUCAGGCUCAUGCCCGUGUUGAGAGGUGUGAGACCUCUGACAAGUUCUUUAGCCAACAAGAUGGAGGAGAAUAGCUCAGCUAGUGAGCAUGUGCUUAGAAUGUCUGGGUGCUACAAUCACUUAAAUCAAGUGGGAGUUAAACUUCCAGAUAAGAUAGUGAUUGAUAGAGUUCUCUAGCUACUAUCACUAAGCUAUUAGAUCUUCCUGAUGAACUAUGACAUGCAAGGGAUGGAAUUGAUCCCAGAGCUGUUCGUGGUGCUUAAGACCGCAAAAGGUAGAAAUCAAGAAGGAGCAUCAAGUGUUGAUGGUUUAACAAGACCACUGGUUUCAAGAGGGUCAAGGGCUAGAAGGGAAACUUCAUGGAUGGCAAACCAGUUGCCGCUCCAGUGAAGGAACCCAAGGUUGAACCCAAACCCGAGACUAAGUGCUUCUAUUGUAAGGGGAACGGGCACUGGUAGCGGAAUUACCCCAAAUGCAUGGUAGAUAAGAAGGCUGGAAACUUCAACAAAGUUUAUACGUGUUAUUAAUGUGUACCUCACUAGUACUCCUGGUAGCACCUGGGUAUUGGAUACCGGUUCAGUUGCUAUUACUGGUGACUUGAAGCAAAAGCUACGGACUAAACGGAGACUGGCUAAGGGCGAGGUGAUGAUGUGUGUUGGAAGUGUUUCCAAAGUUGAUGAGAUCACCAUCGCACGCUCCAUCUGCCUUCGGGAUUAGUAUUGAACCUAGAUAAAUGUUAUCAGGUGUCUACGUUGAGCAUGAAUAUGAUUAGAUCAUGUUCAUUGCAAUACGGUCAUUCAUUUAAGUUAGAGAAUAAUGGUUAUUCUGUUUACAUGAAUGAUACCUUUCAUUUCAUGUGAAUGGUUCAUUGAAUCUCGGUCGUGGUAAUACACAUGUUCACGCCAAAAGAUGUAGAGUUAAUAAUGAUAGUACCACUUUCUCGUGGCACUGCCGCUUAGGUCAUAUUGGCGUAAGAUGCAUGAAGAAACUCCAUGUCGAUGGAUGUUUGGAGUCACUUGAUUUAGAAUCGCUUGACACAUGCGAGCCAUGCCUCAUGGGCAGGAUGACUAAGACCCCGCUUUCAGGUACAAUGAAACGGGCAAGUGACUUGUUGGAAAUCAUACAUGCUGAUGCGUGUGAUCAAUUGAGAAUUGAAGCGCGCGGUGGAUAUCGCUAUUUUCUCAUCUUCACUGACAAUUUGAGUAGAUAUAGGUAUAUUUACUUAAUGAAGCACAAGUCUGAAACGUUUGAAAAGUUCAAGCGAUUUCAGAGUGAAGUUAAGAAUCAUCAUAACAAGAAGAUCAAAUCCCUACGAUCUGAUAAAUGAGAAUAUUUGAGUUAUGAGUUUGGCAAACACUUAAGACAUUGUGGAAUUGUUUCACAGUUGAAGCCACCUGGAACACCACUGGGUUAUGGUGUGUCCGGAUGUCGUAAUCGAACCUUAUGAGAUAUGGUGCGAUCUAUGAUGUCUCUUAUCAAUCUACCAUUUUCAUUUUGAGGUUAUGCAUUAGAGACGGCUGUAUUCACUUUAUAUAGGACACCAUCUAAGUCCGUUGAGACGGCGUCGUAUGAACAUUGGUUUGGCAAGAAACCAAAGUUGUCGUUUCUUAAUGUUUGGGGCUGCGAUGCUUAAGGCUUCAGCCGGAAAAGCUUGAACCCAAAGAGGACAAACACAUCUUCAUAGGAUACCCAAAGGUGACAGUAGGGUAUGUCGGCGUUCUAGGAACGGGGGUCCCCAGACUUGCCUGCCUGCGGCCUGCGGCGUGGCUCAAAUGGGGGCCCAGCGCGGCCCAUCUUCAUCAGCACAAGACUCAAGACCCUCGCGAGGGGCCAAACCUCGCGAGGCGGACGACAUGGCGCAUCCUCAGGCGAAGCCUCAUCAGGCUGGCUCGCGAGGAGGCAGAGAAAUCAAGGCAGGGUACCUCGCGAGGUGCCCAUGACGUAAGCCGUGACGAAUCAGGGCACCAGGCGGGUGCCAGCGCACGCAGCGUCCUUCUUUCCUCUUUGGUGCAAAGGGGACAAGCGCAGCUGCGGAGUACCGAGGCAUCAGGCAAAGGUUGCCACUUCGGUGCAACGAGACCAAGGCCAGGCGGACUAUGAGACGGAGGUCACCAUGGAGCCCAGCGCGACGUCAUCGCCAGAGCCUUUGGCAGGCGAAGACUGCUUUUGUCAGGAUAGAUGUACUAGAUGUCCCUCUUCAAAUUAGCCCGCCAUUGUUGGAUCCCUUCCCGUUCAAUAUUUGGGGAGAGGACCAGGGCCUCUAUAUAUAGGACUAGCCACCCACAAGGCAAGGGGUUCGUUCGGUUCGGCUCUUGGUCAUCAACAAGAGUGAGUAAGAGAGAGAGAGAGAAGGGUGACUGAACCUCCAAGAAGUUCAUUUCCCCAACCAAGAAUAGACCCUCGCGUGUCUGUUCUUCCUUGUAUUGAUCAUCCUCACCAGCCCCAAGAGGCAAUCCACCAACCACACACUAGAGUAGGGUAUUACACCACAUCGGUGGCCCGAACCAGUAUAAAUCUUGUGUCUCUUGUGCAUUUCUUUCAGUAGUUUAGAUCCUUGUGAGACGGAGAGGUUGAAGGUGUAAUCUCCGCGCGCACCCCAGUGUUCGAACCUUAAGGGUCUGCCGGAACCUGAAAUCCGACAUUUGGCGCGCCAGGUAGGGGUGCGCCGGAAUUUGUCUUCCACCACUCCGCUCUCCUCCGACCGUCGCAUCCAUGUCUGACGCUCGUCGGGCUCGUGCUGAGCGCCGGGCCGCCAUCGCUUCUCGCGUCGCCCAGACGGCCCCCGUCGGUGGGCGUCCUCGUCGUUCCCCGUCGCCAGCCGUCAACGCCGCCACCGGCCCGGCGGGGGGCGAGCAGCAGGCAUUGUCUCAGCACCUGUCCGUGCGGCAAGACGGCCGCACCACUUCCCCAUCGCUCGCACCAGCCGGCUCUUUGUCCCGCGCGCUCCGCACACCUUUGGAGGCUCGAGCUGCGCUCAUCGCGGCAAACGAGCUCCUGCGCUACCGCCCCGUCGAUGACGUCUACGAGGAGUGGCUCGACCGCGUCGCCGAGCUCGUCCGCGCCGCAGGGGGCUCUCCUGCGCCGUCCGCUCCGCUGCGCCGUACUCUGCCCCGCGCGGGCAACGAAGCUCCGGGGGCGUACCAGCCGCCUCCUCCCCAAGAAGACACCGUGGCUCCAAGGCGCAUGGCCCCUGGGCGGAACCCGCUCCGCCAGGUGCCAGCGCAGCAAGAACAGAGCUGCCAAGAAAUCCCUCGCCCGCAAGGGGCUGCCCGGGCGCUCCCUGCUCCAGCUCCGGCACACCAAGACCCCGCUCUACUCCUAGCUGCAGCGCAUGGGAACCCUCAAGACCGAGCUCUUCACCAACCGAAGCCUUUCAUGGCCACUGCGGGCUGCCUCGCCUACACCAUCGAGCUGCGCAGCGUCGCAUGGCCCGGCAAGUUCAAGCCAGACCUACCUCCUCGCUACGACGACACAACUGACCCCGCUGAGUUCCUCCAGCUCUAUGAGCUGGGCAUCGAGGCUGCCGGCGGAGACGAGAAGGUCAUGGCGAACUGGUUCCCCAUGGCGCUGAAGGAAGGAGCACGCACCUGGCUCCUGAAUCUGGCUCCAGGAACGAUCUCUUCCUGGGACCAGAUGCGCACCCGCUUCAUCGCCAACUUCCAAGGUACUCGCGACCGGCCACCCGCCGUGAGCGACAUGCGCCGCAUCAAGCAGCAACCCGGAGAGACCCUGCAAAAGUACAUCCAGCGCUUCAACAGCGCGCGCCUCAAGAUCCCCAGGGUGUCCGAGGAGGCCAUCAUCUCGGCCUUCUCUGAUGGCGUGCGCGACGUCAAGAUGAAGGAGGAGCCGGCGAUGCAUGAAGACCUCUGCACCUCCCUGGAGCUAUUCAACUUGGCGAACAGGUGCGCCAGGGCUGAGGAGGGACGCCUCUCCCUCCUCGAGCUGCCUGCCGCAUACCCAGAAGAGAAGAAGCCCAAGGCCAAGGACGUGAAGCGCAAGGGGGCUGCCGUGCUCGCAGCUGAACCAGACACCAAGCGCGGCAAGGAUCUGCCCGACUUUUCCAGAGGCAGCCGGUACUGCGUGUACCACGACCUCCACACCCACAACACCAACGAAUGUCAAGAGCUCCGUGCCGUGCGAGAAGGAAGGAUUGGUUGUCGCCCUGACCGUGCUGACCGGGGCUACGGCCGAGGAGGAGGAAGAAACCCAGGGCGCUGGGAAGAUCACGGCCCGCGCCAGGGGUGGCGCGACCAACCUCGCGAGGACUGCUGGCAAGACCUACCUCGCGAGGGAGACUGGAGGGAUCAGCCUCGUGAGGAUCGCCCUCAUGGCAACGCAGGCCUACCUCCUCUGCCGCCUCCACCAAGAAGGAACGAAGACCGCCAUCAGGACGAGGGGGCUGGGGGCUUCCAGGAGCCGCGCGCAAUCGCCUGCAUCCUGGGCGGAGCUCAAGCCCCAGCCUCCCAACGUAUCUUCAAGCAGUUCGCCCGCGAGGUGAAUGCAGUACUCCCCAAGCUCGAAGCAACGCGCCCCCUCAGGUGGUCGGCGUGCGCCAUCACGUUCAGCUCAGCAGAUCAGCUCAAGUGCUCGGCCACAGCCGGAGUCCUCCCGAUGCUUUGCUCCCUAGUCAUCAGCAACAUGCUGGUCACCAAGACCCUCAUCGACGGAGGGGCAGGGCUCAACGUCCUGUCCGUGGAAACCUUCAACAACCUCCAAGUGCCCUACGACCAGCUUCAGCCAACCAAGCCUUUCUCCGGAAUCACCGACGGCUCCACAGUCCCGAUCGGGCAGGUCCGCCUCCCUGUCACCUUCGGGGCUCGCAGCAACUACCGCACCGAGCUCAUCGACUUCGACGUCGCCGACAUCCGCCUUCCAUACAACGCCAUCCUCGGGUACCCAGCAUUGGCCAAGUUCAUGGCCGUGACUCACCACGGCUACAACGUCCUCAAGAUGCCAGGAAGUGGCGGCGUCAUCACGGUACCCUGUGAAGAGAGAGAUGCAGUGUGUUCCUUGGAGCGAGCCUUUCAGGCCGCGUCACUUGAAGACCCAGAUCGCAGAAGCAGGAGGCUUCCUGAGACCGCCUCCAAGAAGAAGAAGAUGUCGCCAGGCUCAGCCCCUCCGGAGGCAGGCCCCUCAGGGCCCGUGUCUGCCCGGGAGGACCCUCCUUCCAUCGCAUAGGAAAGCGCGCCCGGCGCCCUCCUCAGGCAAGGCUCGGGGGCUCUCACCUGGAGGGCCACCGACCUAGCCAGGGUCACGAGGGAGGCGCUUGGGCACCACGUGGAGGCGUGCUUCGAAGCACAUUUCCCUCGAGGAGGAACCAUGCAAGGAAGGCCAGACCAGCAGAGUUCGUCAACGAGGCCAUUCAAGAGCUACAGGAGUCAAGGGUCAUGAGAGGUUGCCGUCGUCCACCAGCUGUGGCCCCACAUCCAGACGAGGAUGGUGGGCUGCGCGUCUGCGUCGACAUACCAGGGCUUAAUCAGUUCGCCACGACGGAGCGCCUCUGGCCCUCGCGAGUGGGGCGCUGCGGAGAUCCACCCCACAACCGUGUUCGCAUGCCUUACGGCCUGCCGAGCGUGGCUGCGGCGUGCCAGCGCCUCAUGAGGGGCAUCGUGGAGGCUCAGGAGGACAGGCGUUCUGCAGCACUAGCGGAGAUGAGGACAGCUCAUGAGGGGUCACCAGUGCCUCCGGAGCCUCCCGAGGCCCCGGGGCCUGGGGGGUCGUGAGGAUCAGCUUCCGCAGCCCACCGAGUCUACUGCACCGCUGCCACUUCACCAACGACAUUCCUAGGUGACAUCUUCCAAGUUCCAUUCCUAGCUAGGGGCGCCCUCCCAGGGUUGCAUCACUCCCAGGCCGCGUGGGUCCGUCCCUGUGGUGUGUAUCUGCUUUUACCUUUCGGUCAUUAGUCUGCUUUGUUGGGGGCGCCCCUCGGGCUGCAUCAUCCCCAAGCCGCUGGGGCGAGGCCCAGUGGCGUGUAUCUCCAUCGCGCUUAUUUCCAACCUUGCAUUGCCUAUCACGCUUGAUUGCUUGAUGCCCGUUCGCGGCAACCCUUCUUCUCCAUGUCGACUACUUGCACGUUAAAGGGGGGGGGUUCCUGAGCAUCGUGACUCAGGGCUCUUACUGGCUCUCCAGCCCUCACCCUCUGGCCUUGUCCACGGCAUCGCGACCUGGCAUACCAGCGACGGCUGAGACAAGCUCGAGGGCCGGGACCCGAGGACGUAGAGUACCGGCAUCUAACCAAAUUUUGCAGGGACACAUUUCAAGAUACGGCCCAGUGCUGGGCGCAACCCGCCUAGAGGUAGGGCCUCGUGAGUCCCGCGCUGGCUCACGGGUGCCCAGAUACACCUCACCUACUCCAACCAGCAAGCUCUUGAGUGACUAACGAUCGACUAAUGGCCGUCAUGGCAACACCAUCUUCUUUCUGUGAUGACCCUGCAGGAUCCUUGGAGGGAACGGCGCUAGCCAAGGCCCUCACGAGGUUCCCUUCGCCCUCGCCCGCGCGAACCGCUUGCACGUUAAAGGGGGGCACCUGAGCAUCACGACUCAGGGCUCUUACUGGCUCUCCAGCCCUCACCCUCUGGCCUUGUCCACGGCAUCGCGACCUGGCGUACCAGCGACGACUGAGACAAGCUCAAGGGCCGGGACCUGAGGACGUAGAGCAGAAGGGGAGCAGAGGCGAGGAAGAAGGGGCUCGCGAGGACCUUGCCGAGCAAUCCCGCUCCUGCCUACGCGCGGACCUGAUGGCGCAUCAGGAACGAUCCCUGGCUCUCAUGAUAAGUCACCCCCCCCCCAAAACACUGGCUACCGUGGCACUACCCCCGCACUUAAAGCAACUCCGUACUAGUGACGUUGCUUCCCUUUCUCACUAAGCGACGGCUGCUUGGGCGCCAAAGGGGACCUCCUGAGCAUCGCGACUCAGGGGCUCUUACCGGACCCCGGGUCGCUCACCUCCUGGCCUUGACCACGGCAUCGCGACCUAGCAUACCAGCGACGGCUGACGCCGCCUUGGGACUGGGUCCUAUCGACGCAGAGCACCAAGCCCUCGCGAGGUUCGAAAGGGAGGACCGAACUACGAUGGAAUCAGCAACACGCACAGAUCCAUGUCAAAAGGUCAUAUAUAUUAACAAAGGGACUACAGGCACCUUACAAGCCCCCGCGGGGCGCAUUUUCGGUUCCUCGCAAGGAACGAAUCAAAAGGGACGCUAACUACACGAGCUACAGCAAGAGACGCCGUCAUCAACAGUGGGCCGUCAGGCACCGGCACCAACUCCAUCCAGAUCAGGGUCGGUGGCGGCCUGACGAGUCCGCCCUGCUCCGGGAGCGACGCCGACUCGGGGGCUCGUAGCUGUCGUCGCUCGUCUCCUGAGUCACGAAGCCUUUGCUGGAGUCGCUGGACCCUCCGGCGCCUCCACCGUGGGGGCGAUCAACGGGCCUAGCCCUCACCAGGGCAAGGUCCUGGCCACCUCUCCCGCGGCAGCACUCUAGCCGGCGCCCGUGCGCGUCGAAGGCCUUGAAGAACAUCACCGCCGCGCCGUCGUACUCCAGGUGGAUCGCGAAGACGCCCCUAUCCCUGCAGACCCAGGCGAUCUCCCUCCAGCCGCAGGACAUGAAGACCUCGCCCGGGGCUGCGACCACGACCUCUGCCUCGGUCGCGAGGGCGCUGCAGUCGGCGUGCUGCAGGCAGCACUCCAGGGGCCCUCCUGGAGGAACGAUGGAGGCGAAGAAGGGAGGCAGGCGAAUCGAGGACUGACGAGGAAUGGCGACGCGGAGCACGCCCUCCUGGGAGGAGCCCUCGGCGUGGACUCCGGGAGGAACCACCCACGCCUUUGUGACCAGACGACGCCGACGACGGCGUUGGCCGCGGGGAUCAGCAUCAACACCUCCGGGGCCCUCGACGUGGGCAUACAAGGGGAGCGGGAACCCCGGCGGAACUCGCUCGCCCCAGGGCGUCGCCGCCGCCUGACGAUCCUCCUCGUCCCGGCUGCAAAGGGCGAGUCGCUUUUUCGGCGGGAAAGGGUCUGGCCCCUCUCGAGGAGCCUUUCCCUUCUCCGCUGCAGAGAACCGGCGAAUUGGAGCCAUCACACCAAGACGGAGCAAGAGCAGAGGCGAAGGAGACAGCAAGGAGAGAUGGACUGGAAGGGCACACGCGGAGCCGUACUUAUAGCCGGCGAAGGCCAACCGCCGGCCUCCACGAUCACAGGUAAUCAUAACACGUUCUACAUGCAGGGACUUGUCCAACUCACGCGAUCACCAAGGCGUCGUGGGGAAGUGGAGACGCCACGUCCAAUCAACCGCCACGCGGCGCCCAAGGCCGCUGGCUGUUAGGGCCCGCAGCGCUUCGCCCUUUCCCUUUCGCCUCUCGGCACGGCCAAGUUCAUGCGCGCCUUGGGCCCGGGGGCUACUGUCGACGUUCUGGGAACGGGGGUCCCAAGACUUGCCUGCCUGCGGCCUGCGGCGUGGCUCAAAUGGGGGCCCAGCGCGGCCCAUCUUCAUCAGCACAAGACUCAAGACCCUCGCGAGGGGCCAAGCCUUGCGAGGCGGACGACAUGGCGCAUCCUCAGGCGAAGCCUCAUCACGCUGGCUCACGAGGAGGCGGAGACAUCAAGGCAGGGUACCUCGCGAGGUGCCCAUGACGUAAGCCGUGACGAAUCAGGGCACCAGGCGGGUGCCAGCGCGCGCAGCGUCCUUCUUUCCUCUUUGGUGCAAAGGGGACAAGCGCAGCCGCGGAGUACCGAGGCAUCAGGCAAAGGUUGCCAUUUUGGUGCAACGAGACCAAGGCCAGGCGUACUACAAGACGGAGGUCACCAUGGAGCCCAGCGCGGCGUCAUCGCCAGAGCCUUUGGCAGGCGAAGACUACUUUUGUCAGGAUAGAUGUACUAGAUGUCCCCCUUCAAAUUAGCCCGCCAUUGUUGGAUCCCUUCUCGCUCAAUAUUUGGGGAGAGGACCAGGGCCUCUAUAUAUAGGACUAGCCACCCACAAGGCAAGGGGUUCGUUCGGUUCGGCUCUUGGUCAUCAACAAGAGUGAGUAAGAGAGAAAGAGAGAGAAGGGUGACUGAACCUCCAAGCAGUUCAUCGCCCCAGCCAAGAACAGACCCUCGCGCGUCUGUUCUUCCUUGUAUUGAUCAUCCUCACCAGCCCCAAGAGGCAAUCCACCAACCACACACUGGAGUAGGGUAUUACACCACAUCGGUGGCCCGAACCAGUAUAAAUCUUGUGUCUCUUGUGCAUUUCUUUCAGUAGUUUAGAUCCUUGUGAGACGGAGAGGUUGAAGGUGUAAUCUCCGCGCGCACCCCAGUGUUCGAACCUUAAGGGUCUGCCGGAACCCGAAAUCCGACAGGGUAUACCUUCUAUCUCAGAUCCGAGGGCAAAUUGUUUGUCGCUAAGAACGGGUCCUUUCUCGAGAAGGAGUUUCUCUCGAAAGAAUUGAGUGGGAGGAAGAUAGAACUUGAUGAGGUUGCUGAACCGUUACUUCAACCAGAGAGUGAUGCAACACAGAAAGAUGUUUUCUGUGGCGCCUACGUCUGUUGAAUAGGAAGUUAAUGAUAGUGAUCAUGAAGCUUCGGAUCAAGUUGCUACCGAACCUCGUAGGUCGACAAGGAUAUGUACUACUCCUAAGUGGUACGGUAAUCCUGUCUUAGAUAUCAUGUUGUUAGACAACAAUGAACCUACGAGCUAUGGAGAAGCGAUGGUGGGCCCAUGUUCCGACAAAUGGUUAGAAGCCAUGAAAUCCGAGAUAGGAUCCAUAUAUCAGAACAAAGUAUGGACUUUGGUGGACUUGCCCGACGAUCGGCAAGCCAUUGAGAUAAAAUGGAUCUUUAAGAAGAAGACGGACGUGGGCGGUAAUGUUACCAUCUAUGAAGCUCGACUUGUGGGAAAGAGUCUUUUCACAAGUUCAAGGAGUUGACUACGAUGAGAAUUUCUCACCCAUAGCGGUGCUUAAGUCCGUCAGAAUCAUGAAAGCAUUAGCUGUAAUUUUUGAUUAUGAAAUCUUACAAAUGGAUGUCAAAACAAGUUUUCUUACCAGUUUUCGUAAGAAAAGUUGUAUGUGAUACAAUAAAAGGUUUUGUCGAUCCUAAGGAUGCUAAAAGGUAUGCUGGCUCCAGCAAUCCUUCUAUGGACUAGAGCAAGCAUCUCGGAAUCGGAAUAUAUGUUUUGAUGGAGUGAUCAAAGCUUUUAGGUUUAUACAAUGUUUGCUAGAAACUUGUAUUUACAAGAAAGUGAGUGGGAGCACUACAACAUUUCUGAUAAGUAUAUGUGGAUGACAUAUUGUUGAUCCGAAAUAAUGUAGAAUUUCUGGAAAGCAUAAACGGUUGUUUGAAGAGUGUUUUUCAAAGGAAAGACCUGGAUAAAGCUGCUUACAUAUUGGGCAUCAAGAUCUAUAGAGAUAGAUCAAGACGCCUGAUGGUACUUUCAAAGAACGCACACCUUGACAUGUUUUUGAAGGAGUUCAAAAUAGAUCAGUCAAAGAAGGGGUUCUUACCUGAGUUGUAAGGUGUGAAGUUGAGUAAGACUCAAAGAUUGACCACGGCAGAAGAAAGAGGAAGGACGAAAGGUCGUCCCCUAUGCUCUUGUCAUAGGCUCUAUACGGUAUGCCAUGUUGAAGUACCGCACCUAUUGUGUGCCUUGCCACAUGUCUGGCAAGAGGGUACAAAGGUGAUCUAGGAGUGGAUCACCAGAUAGCAGUCAAAAUUAUCCUUAGAGGAAUAGGGAAAUGUUUCUCGGUUAUGGAGGUGAUAAAGAGUUCGACAUAAAGAGUUACGUCGAUGCAAGCUUAACACCUAUCCGGAUAGCUCUGAGUAGAGAUACCGGAUAUGUAUAAUGGAGCAAUAAUUUGGAAUAGCUCCAAGUGGAACGUGGUAGCAGCAUCUACGAUAUAAAGUUUUGCGAAUACAUAGGGAUCUGAAUAUGGCAAGACUCGUUGACUACAACCUCUCUCACAAGCGUAACAUGAUCAAACCCAGAACUCUUUGAGUGAUUAUCACAUAGUGAUGUGAACUAGAACAUUGAGUCUAGUAGACUCUUGGAUGUGGGUCACAUGGCGAUGUGACCUGUGAGUGUUAAUCACAUGGCGAUGUGAACUAGAUUAUUGACUCUAGUGCAAGUGGGAGACUGUUGGAAAUAUGCCCUAGAGGCAAUAAUAAAUUGGUUAUUAUUAUAUUUCAUUGUUCAUGAUAGUCGUUUAUUAUCCAUGCUAGAGUUGUAUUGAUAGGAAACUCGGAUACAUGUGUGGAUACAUAGACAACACCAUGUCCCUAGUAAGCCCCUAGUUGACUAGCUCGUUGAUCAAUAGAUGGUUACGGUUUCCUGACCAUGGACAUUGGAUGUCGUUGUUAACGGGAUCACAUCAUUAGGAUAAUGAUGUGAUGGACAAGACCCAAUCCUAAGCCUAGCACAAAGAUUGUAUAGUUCGUAUGCUAAAGCUUUUCUAAUGUCAAGUAUCAUUUCCUUAGACCAUGAGAUUGUGCAACUCCCGGAUACCGUAGGAGUGCUUUGGGUGUGCCAAACGUCACAACGUAAUUGGGUGGCUAUAAAGGUACACUACAGGUAUCUCCGAAAGUGUCUGUUGGGUUGGCACGAAUCGAGACUGGGAUUUGUCACUCCGUGUAAAUGGAGAGGUAUCUCUGGGCCCACUCGGUAGGACAUCAUCAUAAUGUGCACAAUGUGAUCAAGGAGUUGAUCACGGGAUGAUGUGUUAUGGAACGAGUAAAGAGACUUGCCGGUAACGAGAUUGAACAAGGUAUCGGGAUACCGACGAUCGAAUCUCGGGCAAGUAUCGUACCGCUAGACAAAGGGAAUUGUAUACGGGAUUGACUGAAUCCUUGACAUCGUGGUUCAUCCAAUGAGAUCAUCGUGGAGCAUGUGGGAGCCAACAUGGGUAUCCAGAUCCCGCUGUUGGUUAUUGACCGGAGAGUUGUCUCGGCCAUGUCUGCAUGACUCCCGAGCCCGUAGGGUCUACACACUUAAGGUUCGAUGACGCUAGGGUUAUAGGGAAAGUAUAUACGCGGUUAUCGAAUGUUGUUCAGAGUCCCGGAUGAGAUCUCGGACGUCACGAGGAGUUCCGGAAUGGUCUGGAGGUAAAGAUUGAUAUAUAGGAAGUAUGGUUUUGGCCACCGGAAGUGUUCCGGGCAUCACCAGUAGUGUACCGGGACCACCGGAGGGGUCCGGGGGUCCACCGGGAGGGGCCACGAGCCCCGGAGGCAUACCUGGGCCAAGUGUGAGAAGGGACUAGCCCCUAGGUGGGCUGGGGCGCCUCCCCACCAAGGCCCAUGCGCCUAAGGGGAAGAGGGGACAAACCCUAAGGGCAGAUGGGCCCUAAGGCCCAUGCCUGGUGCGCCUCCCUCUUCCCCUCCCCUUGGCCGCCUCCCAGAUGGGAUCUGGGGGCUGCCGCCACCCCUAGGGAGGGAACCCUAGGUGGGGGCGCAGCCCCUCCCCUCCCCCUAUAUAUACUUGAGGUAUGGGGCUGCCCAACACAUGUGAUUUUGCACUCCCUGUUGGCGCAGCCCUACCUCUCUCCCUCCUCGUCUCUCGUAGUGCUUGGCGAAGCCCUGCUGGAGUCCCGCGCUCCUCCACCACCACCACGCUGUCGUGCUGCUGCUGGAUGGAGUCUUCCCCAACCUCUCCUUCUCCCCUUGCUGGAUCAAGGUGUAGGAGACAUCACCGGGCUGUACGUGUGUUGAACACGGAGGUGCCGUCCGUUCAGCACUAGGAUCAUCGAUGAUUUGGAUCACGACGAGUACGACUCCAUCAACCCCGUUCACUUGAACGCUUCCGCUUAGCGAUCUACAAGGGUAUGUAGAUGCACUCUCCUUCCCCUUGUUGCUAGAUUACUCCAUAGAUUGAUCUUGGUGAUGCGUAGAAAAUUUUGAAUUUCUGCUACGUUCCCCAACAACAACUACUUUGUGUUCUACUCGUGCAUAGAAACUACGCAUAGACCUAGCUCAUGAUGCCACUAUUAGGGAACGUAGCAGAAAUUCAAAAUUUUCUACGCAUCACCAAGAUCAAUCUAUGGAGUAAUCUAGCAACGAGGGGAAGGAGAGUGCAUCUACAUACCCUUGUAGAUCGCUAAGCGGAAGCGUUCAAGUGAACCGGGCUGAUGGAGUCGUACUCGUCAUGAUCCAAAUCACCGAUGAUCCUAGCGCCGAACGGACGGCACCUCCGCGUUCAACACACUACGGAACGGAGACGUCUCCCACGCCUUGAUCCAGCAAGGAGGAGGGAGAGGUUGAGGAAGAGAGUCCAACAGCAGCACGACGGCGUGGUGGUGAUGGAGCGACAGUUCUCCGGCAGGGCUUCGCCAAGCUCACGCGGAGGAGGAGAGGUAUUGGAGGGGAGGGGCUGCGCCGGGUUUAAGGGGGUGGCCACCCUCCCACCCCUCCACUAUUUAUAGGUCGGGAGAGAGGGGGUCGGCCCCCCUAGAUCCCAUCUAGGGUUGGGGGCGGCGGCCAAGGGGGGAGGAGUGCCUCCCAAGUCAAGUGGAGGCCCUCCCCCUUAGGGUUUCCCCUCUCCCAUGCGCAUGGGCCUUGGGGGGGCUGGUGUCCUUGGCCCAUUAAGGCUAGGGCGCCCCCCUAUAGCCCAUGUUGCUGUAUUGGACGUGGUGGAACAUUUUCCGGACCUCCGGACCCCUCCGGAAUCCUCCGGAACCUUCCGGAAGCUUCCCGGUACAAUACCAGAAAAAACCAAACUUUUCCCGGAACCCGAACAACAACUUUCCAUAUAUAAAUCUUUACCUCCGGACCAUUCCGGAACUCCUCGUGACAUCCGGGAUCUCAUCCGGGACUCCGAACAACAUUCGAUAAUCACAUACAAGUCUUCCUAAUAACCCUAGCGUCAUCGAACCUUAAGUGUGUAGACCCUACGGGUUCGGGAACCAUGCAGACAUGACCGAGACAACUCUCCGGCCAAUAACCAACAGCGGGAUCUGGAUACCCAUGUUGGCUCUCACAUGUUCCACGAUGAUCUCAUCGGAUGAACCACGAUGUCGAGGAUUCAAUCAAUCCCGUAUUCAAUUCCCUUUGUCCAGCGGUAUUGUACUUGCCCAAGAUUCGAUCGUCGGUAUCCGAUACCUUGUUCAAUCUCGUUACCGGCAAGUCUCUUUACUCGUUCCGUAACACAUCAUCCCGUGAUCAACUCCUUGGUCACAUUAUGCACAUUAUGAUGAUGUCCUACCGAGUGGGCCCAGAGAUACCUCUCCGUCACACGGAGUGACAAAUCCCAGUCUCGAUUCGUGCCAACCCAACAGACACUUUCGGAGAUACCCGUAGUGCACCUUUAUAGCCACCCAGUUACGUUGUGACGUUUGGUACACCCAAAGCAUUCCUACGGUAUCUGGGAGUUGCACAAUCUCAUGGUCUAAGGAAAUGAUACUUGACAUUAGAAAAGCUUUAGCAUACGAACUACACGAUCUUUGUGCUAGGCUUAGGAUUGGGUCUUGUCCAUCACAUCAUUCUCCUAAUGAUAUGAUCCCGUUAUCAACGACAUCCAAUGUCCAUGGUCAGGAAACCGUAACCAUCUAUUGAUCAACGAGCUAGUCAACUAGAGGCUUACUAGGGACAUGGUGUUGUCUAUGUAUCCACACAUGUAUCUGAAUUUCCUAUCAAUACAAUUCUAGCAUGGAUAAUAAACGAUUAUCAUGAACAAGGAAAUAUACUAAUAACUAAUUUAUUAUUGCCUCUAGGGCAUAUUUCCAACACACACACACACAUGAAUCCUCGCUUUUCUCACUCUGUCCCUUCGUCCUUGUUGUGUAUCCGCGUAGUCCGAGGUCCCCGUCCCCGAAAGAAACCUAGAAGAGAUCGAAACACAACUCUUUUCGCCGCCAGUGAAGCCUCGACGACUCAAGUCGCGACUCGCCUAAGACGAUGUAGAUCUUCAUGAAGACCCUGACAGGUAAAACCAUCAUGCUGGAGGUGGAGGGGCAGCGACACCGUGGACAGCGUCAAGGGCAAGGUCUAGGAUAAGAAAGGGAUCCCGCCGGACCAGCAGCAGCUCAUAUCUUCGCCGAGAAGCAGCUGGAGGACGGUCGCUUGCUGGCAACUACAACGUGCACAAGGAGUCGACGCAUCCCCUGGUGCUCCGCCUCCGCAACGGCACCACCAUCAAGGUCAAGACACCCACCGCCAAGGAGAUCGGGAUCAACAUCGAGCCCACGGACACGUCCGACAGGAUCAAGGAGCACGUCGAGGAGAAGGAGGGCAUCCCGCCCGUCCAGCAGAGGCUCAUCUUCGAUGGCAAGCAGAUGGCCGCCGACAAGACGGUGCAAAAGUACAAGGUCAAGGGCGGCUACGUGCUCCACCUCGUGCUCGCCCUCAGGGGCGGUGCCUGCUAGAAUUUGGGUCUUAUGGUCGCUCGCUUUUCCAUGAGGGUGUAGCUUUGGUUUUUUUUCUUGCGUAUGAUUUUGGUUGGAACUUUUUGAACAGUGUUUGAGUCUCUUUAAAGCCAUAAUGUUUGAGGCCAGGUUACAUGUACGUACAAUCACAACAGUUGUCUGCACAAUAAUCUUUUCCCAUCCGUUCAUAUAUUUUUACCACCAAUCCACUAAAUCAAAGAUAUGAAAAUUUGUUUUGAGGCAAAUGUUGCCUCGCCGUUUGAAUAAAGAUACUUGCACUAACCAAUCAAAGAUAUGCAAUUUUUUACCGCUAUAAGGCACGAUGCUGACCGUCCGACUGGAUCGGACAGACGAGAACCACGCGGAAAUGCUGUCCAGAAUUCAGUCGUAGAAUGGGCCAAUUUUGACCCGCAAAAAAAUAGAAUGGACCAAUUUCUCCUCCAGGCUAUGGCCUGGUUGACUCUAUAUCUAUGGUCGCACAAAAUGGUUUUUCUUUUGGAUGAAUUUAUUUGUUGGGCCAGUGAAGUUAAUAUAUAACACCAAUAGGUUUUGGGCCGAGUUAUGAAAAUGUUUUUCCAGUGUAUUUUCUGCUAUAUUAUGAAAAUAUAAAUUAUGUAUGCACUAUUCAAAUGAGAAAUAUGAGCUCAAAUUUAUGUUGAAAGUUACUUUAAUGAUGAGAGAUUUUUAUAAUGUUUUUCCGUGGGUUAUAAUGGACCUAAUUAUGGUAUCAAUCAUUUUAUUUAUCUUUAGUGCUUUCUAAGUUGUUUCAGUUCCUUUUAUGUUUAUGCAUUGAAAAUAAAUCUAGUAUUAUGCUAAAAUCAUGUUUCAAUUUUUUGAAUACGGUUGAACCAAUUGGAAAUUGCAUUGAAAAUUCAUGUGGCAUUAAUGUUAAAUGUGAUUUCAUGGCAAUUUUUAAUGAUGAUCACCUUUUAGCAUCAUUUUAAUGUGAAAAUUCAUCUUGUAAAAUGAUAUAUUCACCAUUAUUACUCACUCACUAAAUUUUCCAAAAAAUAUUAUUUGAAAAAUUUAGUUUAGUGUGUUCUUUAUGUUGAUGUCAUCAUUAUCAACAAGCACAUGCCACCUAAGGAAAUGUUGAUUUUCGUGUGGUUUGGUUUUCCACACCCCACCAUGCGGCACAAUAUGUUUGGCCGGCAUGCCUAACGGGCAAAAUUAAUGUUUUCAGAUGGUGCAUUUUAUCUUAUUGAAUGCACUGUACAACUAGAAUGGCAUUGAUGAAAUUAUGGUUGAUUCUCUAAACUAGCUCGCUCCAGAAUAAGUAUAAUUGAGCAUGCUCAAAAUAAGUGCCUCAACUUUAUUAUAACUUUGUACUAACGUUAGUACAAAGUAUAGACACUUAUUUUAGGACGGAGGGAGUAUAAACUAGCUACAGUUGGUAAGUUCUUUGUCAAGUGAUUAGAGAUAAGGUUAUGAGGCGAAUAUUCUUUUCCCUGGUUAAAAUUUCAUCAAAAAGGGAGCUGACCUCGACACAAGAAGCCGGUCCAUAAAAGUUAGUCUCGAAUGUAAGCAGUCCAAUACUGAACAAACACUUGUUUCAAAAAUGGCGCGACAAGUCGCGCAACCGCUUCUAGUAAGUACACUACCCUUCAACUGUCCAAAAAUUUCAACCAGACUGUAGCCAAUCUGUUGAAAAUGGAACACAAAAUUUGACGACGAAAUCCACGUGACUUUUACAACCCCUGCGACCUUUUUGUGUUCCAUCCAAACUCAAACAUGUGAGAGAAAAACAAGAAGCAAGCAAAAGAUGCUCCGCAAUUGCUUACCGAAAGUUGUUAUACAACUAUUGCAGCAGAUAAAAAAUCUCUUAAUUUUAUUAAACAAAGGUCAGCUGAUGUACAAAGCAUGCCAACAAUGUAAUCUGCAGAAACUAGUAUUCUUAUAGUGUUAUAUGGGAUCAAACCUGAAUUUUGUUCACAUGUUAUUCGGAAGAUUUACGACAUGUGCUAAACCAAAUAUACUCCGGGUGCGCAGCAAAAUGCAGCAAGUCGCCUGCAUUUUCAUUUUCUGAGUAAACAUGGGUGCAUUAGCAUCGCCAUAUUCAAAAUGAUAGGUGCUAAUGAAAAUGACUGAAACUUAUAGGCCGAGUGUCCGGGCACAUCAGCAUCACCAUGUUCAGAAUUCAACCUUUGUGAAAACACAAAUUCAUUUUCUGCUGAUGGACUCAAACUUUCAGCAGAGUUUCAUCCAAGACACCACAUCUGUGCCAACACCAGAUGCUUCAUCUAAGACUAAGAGAAAUGCAGGUGGCAACGUUGAAGUAGUGUCCAUUGUCGAACACAUUACAGACUAAUGUCACUGCACCACUGAUCAAACAGUUUCGGAAUAUUAGAACCGUGAUGCCAACGCAAAUAGGUUUCUUAUUAUAUUGUCUGGAGAACAAACCAAGUUUAGCUAGUAGAAACACAACAACUGCUUGGUUUUCUUGAACCCAUAUCUCAGUGGAAGGAACUGGGUUCUAAUGUGCCGCAGUCAUACCCAAAAUAUACAAUACUUGUGCCCUGUUUUAGGGCAACCCAAAACAAAAUUCAGCAACUUUUGGUUUUUGGGCAACUGUUUUGGCCGAAGAGGGACUUCAUCAAAUUCAUACUGACACAGAUUUUGUUAGAUCUGGUAUAGGAGGCACUGCGGUGGCUGUAUGCAUGGACUCUUCUGGGAAUUACUUGCGAUCAUGUACGCUAGUAAUUCAUGGCAUGAGAGAAGUUUCAACUCUAGAGGUAUCGCUUGCAGGGAAGCUCUAUCUUUGGCGGAUGAUCUUCUACUUCACAAUUUUCUAGUGGCUACUGAUUCUAAGCAGGUGGCUAAUGAUAUCAACAUGGGCUGCACUGGUAUUCAUGGUCUGAUUGUAGCUGAGAUUAAGUUAAGGACAACCAAAUUUAAUUGUAGUUUUUGUUUCUGAGAGUCAGGCCUUGAAUAGAGAAGCCCAUUUACUAGCCAAGCUUUUUGAUUCUUUAGAUUGUGGUAGACAUGUCUGGUUGGGACAGCCUCAUGAUCACAUUUAUUUUCCCAGUUUUGUGAACUAUGAAUAACAAACUUUGGUGGUUCUUAAAAAAUGAAGUUGCUGGAGCCGUUUUUUGCCCUCCAAGUAGUCAAAAAGCGACUGAGAUGCUCUGACUGAGCACGAACAACACUAUGUACAGAUACCAGAACCAGUGUACCCCAAAUGGCUAGGAUUGUCAGGUAAUAGUACUGAAACAUGUUAACCAGAAACAUGUAAAGAUACCCUAAACAGUUCAACAGUGUCCACGUACAACUCACUCUAGACUGUUGACCGGGUCUUGGCCCAUUCCUCAGACACAACUUUUUGACAAACUUUAUUCAAGCCCUACAAUAAGCCUGGUACGCAGAGUCGACCAAGUCACCUUCACUGAGAUCAACCCAAAAUCAGUCUUUAUCUCUCGAGUAUCAAGUCCAUGCGUGUCUGCCUGGAAGGAACAACAUCGUUCCGCUGAACCAGAUGGCCCCGAGGCCGCCUUGAACUUCAAAACCAGAGUGGAACCAUCCACUACAGCAACCACAGACCUCUUUAAAUGACGUGACUCGCCAACUGUACCAUUGAAGAGCCGAAUUCCUUCGUUAUAACCACNNNNNNNNNNGAUAAAACAGCGCAAGCGCAGAUGAAAACUGCUCUGCACUUCUGACACGGCAACUUCAAUAUUCGCCAUGACUGCGUCAUCAACACGUGCUAUGGUUAAGUCAACCGCACCACAGUCGCCUUGGAUGCGAUUUUUCAAUGCACGAUUCCAUGGGCCCAGGUCGUCUAUGUCUGUUACACCAUCAAUCAGCUGGUAAUCAUCCCUUUCUUCCUCACCUACCUUGAUCCUCAUGUCAUAUUCCACUAGAAUACUGGAAAUCAAAUCUAUCCCUCGCUUAGGGCCAGCCAUGUCGAUGAGAGAACCCUACAAAUUUGUUACUGUUUAGUAGCUCUCCAUAUGGAAGUAAGAAACAACUAAAGCUUUAUACUACCUCUGUUUCUAAAUGUAAGACGUUUUGGCAAUUCAAAAAUUGAACUACCAAAACACAUCUUACAUUUAGGAACAGAGGGUGUACUUCUCUAAGCUGUUUUACUUGCAACAUUAAUUUUGUGAUACUUUACAAUUGCUGACCAACAUCUUUGCCACAUAUCAAACUGACUGGUUACAUAGUGUACACCAGUGUUUGGGAGGGGGGGAAAUUGGCCCUCGGUAUUUAUUUGACAUUGUUCAGAUCCCAAUUUUUACAUAAGCAUGUCGAAAUGAGAAGAGAAAACAAAAUGACUUAAUAGUGAUGCAAUGAUUCAUGCUGGUGUGUUAAGUAGCAACUAAGAGCCCGAACUAUUCUGUUUGAUUUUGUUUGGAAUACAUGAUAUACUCACUCAGUUCCAUAUUUUAUAAGUUUCUCAUAGUAAAUCACCUUUCCACAAUAUAAACUUGGUGUAAUGGUGGCCUAAACAAUCCAAACUACCAUUCUGCUAGGUCUGUACAGAUAAAUCACAAGACUUGAGAGUGCUUGCUGUUCCAUACAUACACUAGGUUUGGCCUUACAAUGUGAAAUGAAUAGAUUUGACAUAAGUCAGGUAUUUGACCCCNNNNNNNNNNNNNNNNNNNNNNNNNNNNNNNNNNNNNNNNNNNNNNNNNNNNNNNNNNNNNNNNNNNNNNNNNNNNNNNNNNNNNNNNNNNNNNNNNNNNNNNNNNNNNNNNNNNNNNNNNNNNNNNNNNNNNNNNNNNNNNNNNNNNNNNNNNNNNNNNNNNNNNNNNNNNNNNNNNNNNCCUCAGAUGGUUUCGCCCACACUGCAACAUCCACCUAAUGUGAGAACUUCCCCAGUGGGUACUUAAAACCAUAUGGAAUGCUUCAAGGGGACAAAUACAUUGUUUUAUACUUGAGGGGGUUAUUAAGUAGACUUAUUGCUUGAAAUAAUCGUAGGUAAGUAUGGAUUCGCACCUGCUUCACAAUGAUGGGAUCAUCCCUGCUUAUAUUGACAACAUAAUUACGCAAUGUAUCCAGAUAAUCCCGCACUGCUAUGUAUCCAUACAACUCUACUGGGCCAAGAUCCAGAGUAAGUUCAGCCAACUUUAAUGAGAAAAUUUGUAACACGCGAUUAGGUUGAUGCCGAAUGCAUUCUCCAUUGCGGAUGUCACAAUCUGUGGGAUCUGGUAGCCGAGCUUCAUAAAAGAAGUAAAGAAAUAAGUUAAAUUGUAAUGGAAAACAAUACAGGAAAAAAAUAGUCGUCAUACAAAAAGUAAGCGUGUCACUAGAGGAUUCCAUGGCCCUAUUGGAAGUUUCCUUUUCAUCCAAAUGAAAAUUAUCGAUGUUCUUUCUACUAUGAAUUUCACUCCAUCAAAGGUUUUUGUUUUAGGAAACCCAAAGAAAAGCAGGUAACAUUUCAUCAUGUCAGCAAGUAAAGGUCCAUUUCACCCUCCCAGAUUAUUUCAUAACCCCCUAAACUUAUUUAUUUGUUAUGUCUACCCGAAGAAUUACUAAAACAAAUCAAUUCAGCCCUUGAUGAAAAUAUUCUAUUGUUUCACUUUCUAGAAGUCUUAUUGUAAGUUAGUUUUUUUAUUUUGAUGGUAGAUAACAUCAGUCUGUAUAAUAAAAAAUCAUAAUUUUCGAUCCUGCAUACUUGGGAGCAACUAAACCUACUUCAAUGCUCAUGGUACAAAAAUAUGUGCUAAAAAUGCGGUUUAUGAACAUAUUUCUGUACGGUACAUGGUGACAACAAAAAGGAUAAAAACCAGUCAUGUGGCGAACCGGGGUGGGUUGGUGGAGGCCCAGGAUAACCAAACUAAGGUAAUGCAGGAAUCUGAAGAAUUUCCUCCCCUACUUUUGCAAAACCUAACAAAUGCAACUCCUGAAUGCCAAUGCAUCUACAUUUAACUUGUAAAAUUAAGGAAAGUAAAGAAAAAAAGCCAGAUGAUUUCAACAGAGAACACAUCAGUUGACACUAUAGCUUGAAAAAGGUGCUUGUAACAAAUUGAAAUAGGUAAAGAGAGAUUAUUUACUUACUCUCACUACAGUCAUCAACAUUAUACAUCCUUUUCCACGAAUGAGUGUUCCUGUAUAAAGAACCAUCACGGUGUGUGCUUUUUGGAAGAAAUCCCAGGUCAAGAAUAUCAUCUUCUUCGGCAUCGCUUGCUACCAAUGCGCUCCUUCUAUUGGUUGCACUCCUCCCGUUUUCAUCACAACCAGAGAUGUCCACAAUAUUCGAAGAUGCAUCAUGUUUGCCGGCUAUAGUAUUCAUAUCUUGCAAGGUUGUCCCACUAGUCAUGCUCCGAGAUCCAGGUGGAAAUCUAUCACGAAAGAGAAUAAAGAGCAAAUCUGAGCACCCGACAGAAAAUUCAAUUCUUUUUCGGUUCCCCUUUCAUUUUCGUCGGAUUAACUAUAAGACCCCACACCCCCUGCCUUAUUUACAAAAAUCAACACAUAAGGAUAAUUAAAAGGGAUUUUUCUCGAAUACGCUCGGAUAAUUAAAAGGGGUAAAAAACCACAGUCGGUCAGAAUCCAGAUCCAAAACUAUAAUAAUAAGAAACUAAAGGCGAAAAUUUUGGCAUCAGAUGAUGAGAGCAUACCGGGAAACACGACGGACAGGUAGAUCUGGAACCAUCAUGAGAGGGAAACUUCGCCGUGCAAGCGGUGGUGGCGACCAGUAAGGCGGGGCAGAGGCCAUGAAAGAGAGGAGAGGUCGCGAGGUAGAGGAGAGGCGGCGCAGUGGGUCAUGAGAGAUGGCGACGCCAGGUCGCCGGAGGAGACGAAAAAUCUGACGGAGGAUUGGCAUCUGAGCGCGCGGCGGCGGCAGAGGUGGGGUGUGCCGGUGUGGAGAAUGGGGAGAGGAAAGGGCUGAACGCACGGGGCCGGUCUUCUUUACUCUCUUAUAUCUUAUAUCAGAAUAGCACACAUAUGCCCGUGCGUUUCAAGCAACGGGAGAGAUAUUUUAUUUACGACAAGCAACAAAAAGAUAAUUAAUUGUGUUAAAAAACGGUCUCCACAAUGGUAGGCGAGAGAGCAAGGAGUUGCGGCCUUCUCACUGGACAUGUUUGGCUCGUGAAAUCUUAAUAGUGGUGGAGUUGGUAGGCGUGGUGGCGAGCACCCAACUCGUCCAUUUUUCUUUUGCAUGCCUCCUCAUUUGGUGGAUGUGUGACGACCAUCGGUACACGGUUGCUUCGACCACUCUCUUACGACAGUGUAACCAGAUGGAUUACUAAUUGCAGCGCAUAAAUCCUCUUACACAGGCAUAAUCAGGUAUGAAUGUCCCUUUAUUACGAAGGUUUAUUCCCUUUGAUUAUUUUAGCACUUAUGUUAAAAAAUUGAAAGCCCGGACAGUUAAAAAAAUGUGAACAUUUAUUUUUAGAAAAUUCCAUAUAAUUAAGAAAACAAAAAAAUUAGAAAGAGGAAUUGUUAUUUAAGUUCGAAAAAACAUGUUGAAACCAUGAACAUUUUAUAAAAACACAAAAUUAUUAAUUUUUUUAAAAGGGGGACAUUCAGAAAAAAAAUUAAAAAUGUUUUCUUAGACGCAAACAUUAUUUUGUUUUUGUGAACUUUUCAAUAAAAUAGGAAUAUUUUUUGGAAUAUGGAACAUUUUAUAAAAUAUUAACUUUAUAAAAAAAUCUCGAAAAAUUCUAAAACAGAAUCUUUUUUAAAUGGCAACAUUUUUUAAAUGUUGAGAAAAUUCCGAAACCAGUUUUUUUAAGUUUAUAAUAUUUUUCAAAACAAUAAUAAAGUUUUAUAAUGCUGAUUUUUGAAUAUUUGAAUAAAAAAUUAAAUUGUGAAUAUAUUUUGUAUAUUUUUAUUUCACAGCAAAAUAAAAAAAGUGAAAAGGAAAACGAAACAUUUAAAUGGCCCGGCCCAGUCUUGGGCGACCUGUGCGUUCCUUGAACUAUUUGUCGGUGUGUGCGACAAAUAAGCUCUUUUUAACGCCUGGGCAGGAUAAUUACUGGGUUGGCUUUGUUGGGCUGGAGUGCGCCCGGCCCAAAUGCGGAAUUCUGGAGAAACUUUUUGUCUUUUCUAGUAGAUGCACAAAAAUUUAGUACCACCUCGGAUAGAAAAAAUAUUUUCGACGAUGAACGGAUGAAAAUAUUGGAGAAACGCACUUUGCUUUAUUAGUAGGUAUAGAUUUUCACUUUUGCAGAAAACCCCAGAUAAUUAUUGAUAAUCAACCCACACGACAGUUUUAAGUCAGAUUUUUGUUUUGUUAGGAAACUAGCGGUGUGACCCGCGCAUUUGCGCGGCUAGAUUAGUUACACAUUGUUAUGAUUAUUUCUUUAUUUGUAUUUUAUUUAUUUUUCUAAUUGCAAAAUGUUUAUUUUUAUUUAUUUAUAAUAGAAUUUCUAAAUGUUAUAAAUUAUAUAGCCAUAUUACCACAUGACUAUGAAUUAUUUGUCCCACAUAUAUUAGCACAUGACUAUACAAUUUUUGUUUUACAUGAUCUACUGUCUUAUCUUAUUCAGGUGCACAACUGAACAAUCUAUUAAGUCAUCAAUAGUGAUGUUUCUGUUUAAGAAUGGAAGUUAAAGAUCCCGUGGGUUGCCAUGCAAAAACAACACUUUCAUACUAAUAUGUAAGUUCCAGUUUACACUCUAGCGAUCCCGCAAAAAAAAAGUUUACACUCUAGCUCCCAUCGUUAGCUAGGAUUAAGUAGAGUUCUUUUCUUUAAUCUAUCUCAUCAUUAGACAUAAUUUANNNNNNNNNNNNNNNNNNNNNNNNNNNNNNNNNNNNNNNNNNNNNNNNNNNNNNNNNNNNNNNNNNNNNNNNNNNNNNNNNNNNNNNNNNNNNNNNNNNNNNNNNNNNNNNNNNNNNNNNNNNNNNNNNNNNNNNNNNNNNNNNNNNNNNNNNNNNNNNNNNNNNNNNNNNNNNNNNNNNNNNNNNNNNNNNNNNNNNNNNNNNNNNNNNNNNNNNNNNNNNNNNNNNNNNNNNNNNNNNNNNNNNNNNNNNNNNNNNNNNNNNNNNNNNNNNNNNNNNNNNNNNNNNNNNNNNNNNNNNNNNNNNNNNNNNNNNNNNNNNNNNNNNNNNNNNNNNNNNNNNNNNNNNNNNGGGGGGCAUUAUUUAUUUUAAUUGUUUCUCACUUCUGCAUAUGAGGUAAUACCAUCCCUCCAUUGUACAUUUUUGCACAAAAAAGUAUAUAAAAUGGCACAAUAUGUGUCUUCCCUACUAUUUUUGCUAUUAAAAACAUAUUGUCAUACUUUCCUUUGUGCUCACUCUUGGAGUGCCUUGUUCUUUCUGGUCAUUUUCAUGUCUGUUUUAGGUCGAUUUAUGCCAUUAGAAUAUUAGCAUGAUUUCAAUUUGCGAGGACACUGUUUUUUGUGUCAUGCAAUUAAUACACUUAUUGACCGCACACAUAGUAUAUUGUCAUUGUUUUUAAUCACCCAAUUUCAUCUAUCUCAUAUACUAAGUGAUUCUUGUCCAUUUAAUACUUGAGGUAUAAGAUGUCGCCUCUCCACCACCUGAAUUGUGUGAAGCCUCGGAGUAACCAAUGGUUCACACACGCAUAGUGUUUGUCCAUACAAUGUGUACUCAACAACUAUUUUAACCUUACCUCUAUGCAUUUAUCCAUUUUUAAGAAACCCAUGCAUGUUGAUAGAUAUCACCCGAGAGAUGUUCCCUUAUUGUUGGUCCAAUAACUAUAUAUAUUGCAUGCUGCCAAAUCCAGAUUAGACUGUCAAAUUUAUUUCAGUUUCACCCAAGACACUAAAACUUGGGAUCGCUAUUUCUCUAACAAACCCGUACUGCUCCUUUAUUAACCGUUGUUUUGAUCCGACUCAAAUUUUCUAACUAACUUGUACUACUCUUUAUUUACUAUUGUUCAGAUCCGCCUCAUAUUUUCUUUUCUUCGUGCUUUAACAGCCAUACAUAUUAUCUAAAGCGUUAAAAUUAUUAAAUCAACGAUAAAGUAAUGAUGCAAUCUAUUUGUUCAUUGUUUUAAUUACGAAAUAAAUUAGAUAUAUAUUCUGGGCCUUUUUUGCGGGAAUAUAUAUCAAAAGUUAGCUUCAUUUAUGUGGGUCGCAUGUAUAUUAAGUUGCUUUUUUCCUUAUCCCAAAUUACAUAACGUAUAAUAUAGUAUUAAAAAUUUAAAUGACGCAAGAGGUUCAUAUAUAAAUUUGAUUGUAUUGUUUGUCCACCUAAUAGUAUAUGUAUCUAGUAUGUUUAUUUUGAACAAUCUGACUCAAAACCUCGAUCAUCUGUGAUGAACCACAUUCUUGUAGAUUCCAACUUAAAAUGAUAAAUUCAGUGGCUUUGUUUUGUACAGGUUGAAUGCUUGUUUGCUUGGCCCGAAUAUUAUCUCAGCGGCGUUGAUCACCAAUUCCUUUUUUGGGAAUUGUAUGUAUAUUUUUAGAUGAAUUGCAUGCAUGUUCUUUCUGAAAGACUUGCACCUAUAUUUUCUUGGAAAGACCUACCUGUACAUUUUUUAUAUGUUCAUGACUAUUUUUUUUAAUAUCUACGCAUGACUCAGGUUGUCUGAUGUUGGAUGCAUGUUUUUGUAAAGACUUGCACGUAGUUUUUUCACAUUGGUACAUGACUUAGAUGGGCAAGUGCGCUUGUUGUAGAUUGCUUGGACUCACCCAAGCGGCAUGUACGUAGAUGUCAUAUGCUUGUGCGUGUCAUGGCCGACGUAGGCCCCCCUUCUUUUCUCUUUGCUUCAGGAAACUAACCUAAUCGUUUGUGUCCGACGAUAAACUUUGUGUAUGUGAUAGGUUGUACAUGCAAGGUAUCGGAAUUGCUUUUUUAUUUUUGACCGACCCAUACAGCUUCUUCAUUAAAUAUUGCUUUGAUCAGACUAAUAUUUCCUUUUCCUUGUUCUUUACGCCCGAACAUAUUAUCUCCAGCGUGACACAACGUACAUAACAAUAUUGUACAUUCCAUGAUAGUUGGGUUAAUCAACCUGCAGUACAUAUAAAAUGUUUUCUUAAAAGUAUCCGUAUCUUUUAAACCGUGACUUCAAAUUUAAUAUGUUAUAUAAAAUUUGAUUAGAAAAACUAAUCAUCAACCUGUGCACCAGCACGGGCUAGAACGUUUGUAGUCACUGUACUUGCUACUUUUGUACAAAAUAGUGUCUAAAUUUAUUUUUCACAUAUUAGUUACAUAUAGGGACACAUAUUUUUUUUGAUGAUGUUUUACUUGUCAGAAAAUAUGAUAAAUCCUCAAAGUCUUGCAAAUCCAAAAUGCAAUCAUAGUCUUAUAAUAUUUUGAACGAACAUGCAAUUUUAUCUACUAAGAUCCCAAUAUACAAUUCAUAUAAAUAGACGCAUGUAUAUGCAAAGCUUAAAACCAAAUUGAAUAAUUGAUAUUUCUCUUCAAAAAAAUACAAUAAUGCAACCGCAAGUUCGGGGACCCAGAAAAGCAAAAUACUGCUUCACCAUAUUUUAGAACAAUAUAAUGAAUAUGUAAAAAAAACUGAAUGGAGUUGAAUAUCCCAUGUUGAUUCCUAUACAUAACAAAAAGUAAGUAGUAAAACAUUAUUGUCCAAACAAAAUGUUAAUUUACAAUGCUUUGGCUUUCAAGGUUAAUCAUCUAGUGCAUUGCACAUUUCAGAAUGAACAUCCUCUACAAAGCAACAUAGCUUGGCAAAUAUGCAUGCAAAUAUCAAGGAUUUCUGCAACGCGGAAUUAUGAAAAAAAAUUGUAUGCCAGAAUAUGAAACUUAACACCGAAAAAUCCCCCAACCAAGAGACAGUCUAACACUAGUAGAAAACAGGGUUUUGAUCCAGGCCUGAAGAGGGCAUUAACCCCGGUUCUCAUAUGAACCGGGACCAAUGGGAGCAUUAGUCCCAGUUCAUGAGGCCAGGGGGCCGGCCGGGCCUCGGGGGCCAAUGGUCCCGGUUCGUCUGACCCCUUUGGUCCCGGUUCUAGACACAAACCGGGACCAAUGGGCCUUGCUCCUGGCCCACAACCUUUAGUCCCGGUUUGUGUCUGGAACCGGGACCAAAUAGAGGCCUAUAUAUACCUUGCCCGCGAGCAGAGCAGUGCACUCUUUGUUUUUUUGGCUAGCCGUGGGAGAGCUUUGUGGUGCUCUAGCUCACCUCCUAUGCACAUGAGGUGUUCGAUGAAAUACCCGAGCCACACUUUAUAAGCUUUCUCCUCUCGAAAUUCCUUGUCCCAACUCCAUUUUCCUCAAGAUUUGUCUAGGUUUGUGAUACGUCUCCAACGUAGCUAUAAUUUUUGAUUGUUCCAUGCUACUAUAUUAUCCAUCUAGGAUGUUUCAUAUGCAUUUAUAUGCUAUUUUAUAUGAUUUUUGGGACUAACCUAUUAACCUAGAGCCCAGUGUCAGUUUCUGUUUUUUCCUUGUUUUUGAGUAUCGCAGAAAAGGAAUACCAAAUGGAGUCCAAUUGACGUGCCAAUUUUUGAUGAUUUUUAUGGACCAAAAGAAGCCCCCGGAGUAAAAGAGUUGGGCCAGAAGAGUGCCGAGCUGUCCACGAGGGUGGGGGCGCGCCCUACCCCCUGGGCAUGGGCCCUAUCUCGUGGACGACUCGGAGACCCCCCUGACGUGAGACCGACGCCAAAAAUUCCUAUAAAUACAGAAACCUCCAGAACAUAACCUAGAUCGGGAGUUCCACCGCCACAAGCCUCUGUAGCCACCAAAAACCAAUCGGGACCCUAUUCCGGCACCCUGCCGGAGGGGGGAUCCCUCACCGGUGGACGUCUUCAUCAUCCCGGUGCUCUCCAUGAUGAGGAGGGAAUAGUUCACCCUCGGGGCUGAGGGUAUGUACCAGUAGCUAUGUGUUUGAUCUCUCUCUCUCUCUCUCGUGUUCUUGAUUUGACACGAUCUUGAUGUAUCGCGAGCUUUGCUAUUAUAGUUGGAUAUUAUGAUGUUUCUCCCCCUCUACUCUCUUGUAAUGGAUUGAGUUUUCCCUUUGAAGUUAUCUUAUUGGAUUGAGUCUUUAAGGAUUUGAGAACAAUUGAUGUAUGUCUUGCGUGGGAUACCAGUGGUCACAAUGGGGUAUUCUAUUGAUCUACUUGAUGUAUGUUUUGGUGAUCAACUUGCGGGUUCAGUGACAUUGGGAAUCUAUGCAUAGGGAUUGGCACACGUUUUCGUCUUGACUCUCCGGUAGAAACUUUGGGGCACUCUUUGAAGUACUUUGUGUUGGUUUGAAUAGAUGAAUCUGAGAUUGUGUGAUGCAUUCGUAUAAUCAUACCCAAGGAUACUUGAGGUGACAUUGGAGUAUCUAGGUGACAUUAGGGUUUUGGUUGAUUUGUGUCUUAAGGUGUUAUUCUAGUACGAACUCUAGGAUAGAUCGAACGGAAAGAAUAGCUUCGUGUUAUUUUACUACGGACUCUUGAAUAGAUCGAUCAGAAAGGAUAACUUUGAGGUGGUUUCAUACCCUACAAUAAUCUCUUUGUUUGUUCUCCACUAUUAGUGACUUUGGAGUGACUCUUUGUUGCAUGUUGAGGGAUAGUUAUAUGAUCCAAUUAUGUUAUUCUUGUUGAGAGAACUUGCACUAGUGAAAGUAUGAACCCUAGGCCUUGUUUCAAUGCAUUGCAAUACCGUUUUCGCUCACACCUAUAUCUACCAUCCAUAUUGCACUUGUAUCACCAUCUCUUCGCCGAACUAGUGCACCUAUACAAUUUACCAUUGUAUUGGGUGUGUUGGGCACACAAAAGACUCUUUGUUAUUUGGUUGCAGGGUUGUUUGAGAGAGACCAUAUCCAUCCUACGCCUCCCAUGGAUUGAUAAACCUUAGGUCAUGCACUUGAGGGAAAUUUGCUACUGUCCUACAAAUCUCUGCACUUGGAGGCCCAAUAACAUCUACAAGAAGAAGGUUAUGUAGUAGACAUCAGUUUGGCGGUCCUUCCUGUCCCGUCCCCGUCCUCACUACCAUCGAUCGCCCGCGCCGAUCUCGUCGCCGGCGCCACUGUGGUGAGCCUCUUGUUCUUAUCUUCUUUCUAAAAGAAAAAAUUCUUACUUAUAUGAUUUAGAUUGCUACUUGUAUAAUUUUCUUACUUUUAUUAUUGUUUGAAUGUUUGUUAUUAUAUAGUGCGAUGGUUUUGGUAUUCGCCCCCGUCGACCCUCGUCCUGUCUAUGAUGCAGAUGUGGUAUAUACUAUCUUUUAUAACUAUUUCUUUCAUUUAGUGUUUAUGACAAUUAUGCCGACCAACGUGACAUAGAUGUUUUAUGUAGGAGGUAUGUGGAUUAAAAAUUCCAACUGACCCUCUUGUCGAGAGGUUAAAAUUUAGUUGAAAAAGAAAAUGACUACUUGAAGAAAAAAAAUGAAAAGAAUUGAGGAGGAGAAGAUGGCAUUGGAGUUGCAUGUUGUGGAUAUCAUCGAUGAUCACAAGAUCAAGAUGUAUAAAAUGCGCUUGAAGAUUAGAAAAUUUUAAAAAUAUGCCAUUCAUACUGAGGCUUGGUAUCAUUAUGCCGUUGGAUCAAUUGUUACCUUAGUUGCCAUUAUGAUCGCAUAUGUUGUUGCAUUGAAAUGUUUUACAUAGUUUCAAUGUAUGGUUUAAUUAGAUGCUCACGAGAGCUAUAUGUUGUUCAAUGAGAACUAUGUAUUAACUUUAUGUAUUUAUUUUUUUAGUAAUAACAUUUGAUCACUACUGUACUUUGGUUUUAAUGUGAUGAUGAAAUCCCUUUGUAACAGAUGAGUUUUCGCCCGAAGCCCUGAUACUUCGAAAGAGAUUGUCCGUUUUGCACACGAAGUGCAUCCAGUUUUUGCCGUAACCCUCUCAGCUUUUUAGAACAUGCUAUGUGGGUGAAAUGAUGAUACCAUGCCAACUUUCAACCUUUUCAGAGUUCAUUUUAAGUGCUUUUCAAUUUCAGGGUCAUUGUGACGCACUCGACUCAAUCGUACAUUAAUCAUACACGCAAAUGUGUACGAUCAAGAUCAAGGACUCACGGGAAGAUAUCACUGUUGGAAAUAUGCCCUAGAGGCAAUAAUAAAUUGGUUAUUAUUAUAUUUCCUUGUUUAUGAUAAUCGUUUAUUAUCCAUGCUAGAAUUGUAUUGAUAGGAAACUCAGAUACAUGUGUGGAUACAUAGACAACAUCAUGUCCCUAGUAAGCCUCUAGUUGACUAGCUCGUUGAUCAAUAAGAUGGUUACGGUUUCCUGACCAUGGACAUUGGAUGUCGUUGAUAACGGGAUCAUAUCAUUAGGAGAAUGAUGUGAUGGACAAGACCCAAUCCUAAGCCUAGCACAAGAUCGUGUAGUUCGUUUGCUAAAGCUUUUCUAAUGUCAAGUAUCAUUUCCUUAGACCAUGAGAUUGUGCAACUCCCGGAUACCGUAGGAGUGCUUUGGGUGUGCCAAAUGUCACAACGUAACUGGGUGGCUAUAAAGGUACACUACAGGUAUCUCCGAAAGUGUCUCUUGGGUUGGCACGAAUCGAGACUGGGAUUUGUCACUCCGUGUAAACGGAGAGGUAUCUCUGGGCCCACUUGGUAGGACAUCAUCAUAAUAUGCACAAUGUGACCAAGGAGUUGAUCACGGGAUGAUGUGUUAUGGAGCGAGUAAAGAGACUUGCCGGUAACGAGAUUGAACAAGGUAUCGGAUACCGACGAUCGAAUCUCGGGCAAGUACAAUACCGCUGGACAAAGGGAAUUGUAUACGGGAUUGAUUGAAUCCUCGACAUCGUGGUUCAUCCGAUGAGAUCAUCGUGGAACAUGUGGGAGCCAACAUGGGUAUCCAGAUCCCGCUGUUGGUUAUUGGCUAGAGAGUUGUCUCGGUCAUGUCUGCAUGGUUCCCGAACCCGUAGGGUCUACACACUUAAGGUUCGGUGAUGCUAGAGUUGUUAUGGGAAAUAGUAUGUGGUUACCGAAGGUUGUUCGGAGUCCCGGAUGAGAUCCCGGACAUGACGAGGAGCUCCGGAAUGGUCCGGAGGUGAAGAUCAGUAUAUUGGACGAAGGGUAUUGGAGUCCGGAAUUGUUCCGGGGUACCAGGUGAUGACCAGCGUGUCCGAAAGGGAUUUCGGAGGCCCCGGCAAGCGUUGGGGGGCCUUAUGGGCCAAGGGGAGAGGGCACAUCAGCCCACUAAGGGGCUGAGCGCCCCUCCCACCACAUCUCACGUAACCAGGAGAGGUGGGGGCGCCACCCCUAGGGCAGCCGCCCCUCCCGGCUUGGGGGGGGCAAGUUUCCUAGGGGGUGGGGGCGCCCAAACCCAUCUAGGGUUUCCCCUAUGGCCGCCGCCCCUCCCCUAGGGAACCCUAGGGCGCCUCCCCCUCCUCCCUUCCCCCUAUAUAUAGUGAGGGAGAGAGAGGGCAGCCGUACCUUUCCCCUGGCGCAGCCCUCUUCCUCCUCCGUAGUGCUUGGCGAAGCCCUGCCGGAGAACCACGAGCUCCAUCAUCACCACGCCGUCGUGCUGUCGGAGUUUUCCCUCAACUUCUCCUCUCACCUUGCUGGAUCAAGAAGGAGGAGACGUCUCCCAACCGUACGUGUGUUAAACGCGGAGGUGCCGUCCGUUCAGCGCUAGGAUCAUCGGUGAUUUGGAUCACGACGAGUACGACUCCAUCAAUCCCGUUCACUUGAACGCUUCCGCUUAGCAAUCUACAAGGGUAUGUAGAGGCAAUCUCCUUCCCCUCGUUGCUAGAUUACUCCAUAGAUUGAUCUUGGUGAUGCGUAGAAAAUUUUGAAUUUCUUCUACGUUCCCCAACAAUGGCAUCAUGAGCUAGGUCUAUGCGUAGUUUCUAUGCACGAGUAGAACACAAAGCAGUUGUGGGCGUCGAUAUUGUCAAUUUACUUGCCGUUACUAGUCUUAUCUUGAUUCGGCGGCAUCGUGGGAUGAAGCGGCUCGGACCGACCUUACACGUACGCUUAUGUGAGACUGGUUCCACCGACUGACAUGCACUAGUUGCAUAAGGUGGCUAGCGGGUGUCUAUCUCUCCCACUUUAGUCGGAUCGGAUUCGAUGAAAAGGGUCCUUAUGAAGGGUAAAUAGAAAUUGGCAUAUCACGUUGUGGUUUUCGUGUAGGUAAGAAACGUUCUUGCUAGAAACCUAUAGCAGCCACGUAAAAACUUGCAACAACAAUUAGAGGACGUCUAACUUGUUUUUGCAGCAUAUGCCUUGUGAUGUGAUAUGGCCAAAAGGAUGUGAUGAAUGAUAUAUGUGAUGUAUGAGAUUGAUCAUGUUCUUGUAAUAGGAAUCACGACUUGCAUGUCGAUGAGUAUGACAACCGGCAGGAGCCAUAGGAGUUGUCUUAAUUUAUUUAUGACCUGCGUGUCAACAUAACCGUCAUGUAAUUACUUUACUUUAUUGCUAAAGCGUUAGCCAUAGUAGUAGAAGUAAUAGAUGACGAGACAACUUCAAGAAGACACAAUGAUGGAGAUCAUGAUUGAAAGGAUCGAUAUGGUUGACUAGAGGGGGGGGGGUGAAUAGGCAACUAACAAUUUUUAGCUUUUCUUUAACAAUUUAAACUUUGCAUCAAAGUAGGUUGUCUAGAUAUGCAACUAGGUGAGCAACCUAUAUGAUGCAACGAGGAUAGGUACACAAGCAAGCAAGAGAUAUGAAACAAGUAAGCUUGCUCAAAUAAAGGCACGAGAUAACCAAGAGUGGAGACGGUGGAGACGAGGAUGUGUUGCCGAAGUUCCUUCCCUUUGAGAGGAAGUACGUCUCCGUUGGAGCGGUGUGGAGGCACAAUGCUCCCCAAGAAGCCACUAGGGCCACCGUAUUCUCCUCACACCCUCACACAAUGCGAGAUGCCGUGAUUCCACUAUUGGUGCCCUUGAAGGCGGCGACCGAACCUUUACAAACAAGGUUGGGGCUCUCCCCACAACUUAAUUGGAGGCUCCCAAAAAAACCACGAAGCUUCACCACAAUGGAAUAUGGCUCCGAGGUGACCUCAACUGUCUAGGGUGCUCAAACACCCAAGAGUAACAAAAUCCACACAAGAAAGUAUGGGGGAAGCAAGUAUCCUUUGGUGGAAGUGUAGAUCUAGGUCUCCUCCUUCAAUCCCUAGCAAAUCAACAAGUUUGAGUGGCUAGAGAGAGAGAUUGGGCAAGAGAGCUUGAAGGGCAUUAAUGGUGGAGUGAGAGAGGUCAAAGGUGGGAGUGGUAGGUGGGAGAAGCUCCCUUAAAUAGUCACCCACAUUUCCAACCGUUACUGCGUUUUUUGCACUUCAGCGGUACAACCGGUCCUCGUCCCGGUACAACCGGGACUCACGGUGUAACUGCAGAACCCUACCAAGCGGUACAACCGGACAGGCGGGCGGUAGUACCGGCUAAGAAAAAUAACCGGACUAACCGCCUGGCUACCGCACAACCACCGCAUCAAAACAGGAGCUUGACCGGUACUUGGGCAGUGCCUGGCUGGAACAACCGCAUGGCCUUGAGCUCUUGGGCAGCUAAGUUCUGAGCGGAAGAACCGCUCGGACCACCCGUGGUACCGGUCAUCGUGGAACGACCGGACCAACCGGGCCACUACCGCCCAAGAACCGCAUCAAACCAGAAGCGAGAGCGGUACUUGAGCGGUGCAUGGACGGAACCACCGCCCCCGCUGUUGCAGAGCAUGGUGGCGGUACCACCGCCCGGAGGCAGCGGUACAACCGCUCGAGCAAAGCUGGUGAGCGACAAGACCCAGCGAUACAACCGCUCCAGAGAGCGGUACAACCGCUGGGAAGAAACAGUGAGCAGGAAACAGGGGAAGAGGCAAGGAAAACUUGAAGGAAAUAUGCCCUAGAGGCAAUAAUAAAGUUAUUAUUUAUUUCCUUAUUUCAUGAUAAAUGUUUAUUAUUCAUGCUAGAAUUGUAUUAUCCGGAAACAUAAUACUUGUGUGAAUACAUAGACAAACUAAACGCCACUAGUAUGCCUCUACUUGACUAGCUCGUUAAUCAAAGAUUGUUAUGUUUCCUAACCAUAGACAUGUGUUGUCAUUUUAUUAACGGGAUCACAUUAUUAGGAGAAUGAUGUGAUUGACAUGACCCAUUCCAUUAGCUUAGCACUCGAUCGUUUAGUAUGUUGCUAUUGCUUUCUUCAUGACUUAUACAUGUUCCUAUGACUAUGAGAUUAUGCAACUCCCGUUUGCCGGAGGAACACUUUGUGUGCUACCAAACGUCACAACAUAACUGGGUGAUUAUAAAGGAGCUCUACAGGUGUCUCCAAAGGUAAAUGUUGGGUUGGCGUAUUUCGAGAUUAGGAUUUGUCACUCCGAUUGUCGGAGAGGUAUCUCUGGGCCCUCUCGGUAAUGCACAUCACAUAAGCCUUGCAAGCAUUACAACUAAUGAGUUAGUUGUGAGAUGAUGUAUUACGAAACGAGUAAAGAGACUUGCCAGUAACGAGAUUGAACUAGGUAUUGAGAUACCGACGAUCGAAUCUCGGGCAAGUAACAUACCGAUGACAAAGGGAACAACGUAUGUUGUUAUGCGAUCUGACCGAUAAAGAUCUUCGUAGAAUAUGUGGGAGCCAAUAUGAGCAUCCAGGUUCCGCUAUUGGUUAUUGACCGGAGACGUGUCUCGGUCAUGUCUACAUUGUUCUCGAACCCGUAGGGUCCGCACGCUUAAGGUUUCGAUGACAGAUAUAUUAUGAGUUUAUGAGUUUUGAUGUACUGAAGGAGUUCGGAGUCCCGGAUGAGAUCGGGGACAUGACGAGGAGUCUCAAAAUGGUCGAGACGUAAAGAUCGAUAUAUUGGACGACUAUAUUCGGACAUCGGAAAGGUUUUGAGUGAUUCGGGUAUUUUCGGAGGUACCGGAGAGUUACGGGAAUACGAGGAGGAAGCAAUGGGCCUUAAUGGGCCUUAGUGGGAAGGACCAGGAGGUGGCGCGCGCCCCUCCCAAGCCCAGUCCGAAUUGGACAAGGGGUUUGGGGCGCGGCCCCUCUCUCCCUUCCUUCCCCUCUUCCCCCCUUUCCCCCCUUCUCCUAGUUGGACUAGGAAAGGAGGAAACCUACUCCAACUAGGAGUAGGAAUCCUACUCCCUAGCGCGCCCCUCCUAGGGCCGGCCUCCUCCCCCUUGCUCCUUUAUAUACGGGGGCAGGGGGGCACCUCUACACACACAAGUUGAUCCUUGUGAUCGUUUUCUUAGCCGUGUGCGGUGCCCCCUUCCACCAUAUACCUCGAUAAUAUUGUAGUGGUGCUUAGGCAAAGCCCUGCGACAGUUGAACAUCAAGAUCGUCACCAUGCCCUCGUACUGACGGAACUCUUCCCCGACACUUUGCUAGAUCGGAGUCCGGGGAUCGUCAUCGAGCUGAACGUGUGCUAAAACUCGGAGGUGCCGUAGUUUCGGUGCUUGAUCGGUCGGGCCGUGAAGACGUACGACUACAUCAACCGCGUUGUGCUAACGCUUCUGCUGUCGGUCUACAAGGGUACGUAGAUCACACUCUCCCCUCUCGUUGCUAUGCAUCACCAUGAUCUUGCGUGUGAGUAGGAAUUUUUUUGAAAUUACUACGUUCCCCAACAGUGGUAUCAGAGCCUAGGUUUUAUGUGUUGAUGUUAUAUGCACGAGUAGAACACAAGUGAGUUGUGGGCGAUAUAAGUCAUACUGCUUACCAGCAUAUCAUACUUUGGUUCGGCGGUAUUGUUGGACGAAGCGGCCCGGACCGACAUUACGCGUAUGCUUACGCGAGACCGGUUCUCCCGACGUGCUUUGCACAAAGGUGGCUAGCGGGUGUUAGUUUCUCCAACUUUAGUUGAACCGAGUGUGGCUACGCCCGGUCCUUGCGAAGGUUAAAACAACACCAACUUGACAAACUAUCAUUGUGGUUUUGAUGCGUAGGUAAGAUUGGUUCUUGCUUAAGCUCGUAGCAGCCACGUAAAACUUGCAACAACAAAGUAGAGGACGUCUAACUUGUUUUUGCAGGGCAUGUUGUGAUGUGAUAUGGUCAAGACAUGAUGCUAAAAUUUUAUUGUAUGAGAUGAUCAUGUUUUGUAACCAAGUUAUCGGCAACUGGCAGGAGCCAUAUGGUUGUCACUUUAUUGUAUGCAAUGCAAUUGCGCUGUAAUGCUUUACUUUAUCACUAAACGGUAGCGAUAGUCGUGGAAGCAUAAGAUUGGCGAGACGACAACAAUGCUAUGAUGAUGAUCAAGGUGUCGCGCCGGUGACGAUGGUGAUCACGACGGUGCUUCGAAGAUGGAGAUCACAAGCACAAGAUGAUGGCCAUAUCAUAUCACUUAUAUUGAUUGCAUGUGAUGUUUAUCUUUUAUGCAUCUUAUCUUGCUUUGAUUGACGGUAGCAUUUUAAGAUGAUCUCUCACCAAUUAUCAAGAAGUGUUCUCCCUGAGUAUGCACCGUUGCAAAAGUUCUUCAUGCUGAGACACCAUGUGAUGAUCGGGUGUGAUAGGCUCUACGUUCAAAUACAACGGGUGCAAAACAGUUGCACACGCGGAAUACUCAGGUUAUACUUGACGAGCCAAGCAUAUACAGAUAUGGCCUCGGAACACGAAGAUCGAAAGGUCGAGCGUGAAUCAUAUAGUAGAUAUGAUCAACAUAGUGAUGUUCACCAAUGAAACUACUCCAUCUCACGUGAUGAUCGGACAUGGUUUAGUUGAUUUGGAUCACGUGAUCACUUAGAGGAUUAGAGGGAUGUCUAUCUAAGUGGGAGUUCUUAAAGUAAUAUGAUUAAUUGAACUUAAAUUUAUCAUGAACUUAGUCCUGGUAGUAUUUUUGUAAAUCAUGUUGUAGAUCAAUAGCUCGCGUUGUUGUUUCCCUGUGUUUAUUUUGAUAUGUUCCUAGAGAAAAUUGUAUUGAAAGAUGUUAGUAGCAAUGAUGCAGGAUUGGAUCCGUGAUCUGAGGUUUAUCCUCAUUGCUGCACAGAAGAAUUAUGUCCUUGAUGCACCGCUAGGUGACAGACCUAUUGCAGGAGCAGAUGCAGACGUUAUGAACGUUUGGCUAGCUCAAUAUGAUGACUACUUGAUAGUUUAGUGCACCAUGCUUAACGGCUUAGAAUCGGGACUUCAAAGACGUUUUGAACGUCAUGGAACAUAUGCGAUGUUCCAGGAGUUGAAGUUAAUAUUUCAAGCAAAUACCCCAGUUGAGAGAUAUGAAGUUUCCAACAAGUUCUAUAGCUAAAAGAUGGAGGAGAAUCGCUCAACUAGUGAGCAUAUGCUUAGAUUGUCUGGGUACUACAAUUGCUUGAAUCAAGUGGGAGUUAAUCUUCCAGAUAAAAUAGUGAUUAACAGAAUUCUCUAGUCACCAUCACCAAGUUAGUAAAACUUCGUGAUGAACUAUGAUAUGCAAGGGAUAACGGAAACGAUUCCCAAGCUCUUAGUAAUGCUGAAAUUGACGAAGGUAGAAAUCGAGAAAAACAUCAACUGUUGAUGGUAGACAAGACCACUAGUUUCAAGAAAAGGGCAGAGGGAAGAAGGGGAACUUCAAGAAGAACAGCAAGCAAGUUGCUGCUCAAGUGAAGAAGCCCAAGUCUGGUCCUAAGCCUGAGACUAAGUGCUUCUACUGCAAAGGGACUGGUCACUGGAAGCGGAACUAUCCCAAGUGAUUGGCGGAUAAGAAGGAUGGCAAAGUGAACAUAAGUAUAUUUGAUAUACAUGUUAUUGAUGUGUACUUUAAUAGUAUUUAUAGCAACCCCUUAGUAUUUGAUACUAGUUCAGUUGCUAAGAUUAGUAGCUCGAAACGGGAGUUGCAGAAUAAACAGAGACUAGUUAAGGGUGAAGUGACGAUGUGUGUUGGAAGUGGUUCCAAGAUUGAUAUGAUCAUCAUCGCACACUCCCUAUAAUUUCGGGAUUAGUGUUGAACCUAAAUAAGUGUUAUUUGGUGUUUGCGUUGAGCAUGAAUAUGAUUUGAUCAUGUUUAUUGUAAUACAGUUAUUCAUUUAAGUAAGAGAAUAAAUUGUUGUUCUGCUUACAUGAAUAAAACCUUAUAUGGUUACACACCCAAUGAAAAUGGUUCAUUGGAUCUCAAUCGUAGUGAUACACAUAUUCAUAAUAUUGAAACCAAAAAGAUGCAAAGUUAAUAAUGAUAGUGCAACUUAUUUGUGGAACUGUCGUUUAGGUCAUAUUGGUGUAAAGCGCAUGAAGAAACUCCAUGCUGAUGGGAUUUUGGAAUCACUUGAUUAUGAAUCACUUGGUGCUUGCGAACCAUGCCUUAUGGGCAAGAUGACUAAAGACUCCGUUCUCCGGAACAAUGGAGCGAGCACCAUAUUUGUUGGAAAUCAUACAUACUGAUGUAUGUGGUCCGAUGAAUAUUAAAGCUCGCGACAAGUAUCAUUAUUUUCUGACCUUCACAGAUGAUUUAAGCAGAUAUGAGUAUAUCUACUUGAUGAAACAUAAGUCUGAAAAGUUCAAAGUAUUUCAGAGUGAAGUAGAAAAUCAUCAUGACAAGAAAAUAAAGUUUCUACGAUCUGAUCGUAGAGACGAAUAUUUGAGUUACGAGUUUGGUCUUCAAUUAAAACAAUGUGGAAUAGUUUCACAAACUCAUGCCACCUGGAACACCACAGCAUAAUGGUGUGUCCGAACAUCAUAACCAUACUUUAUUGGAUAUAGUACAAUCUAUGAUGUUUCUUACCGAUUUACCAAUAUCGUUUUGGGAUCAUGCAUUAGAGACAGCUGCAUUCACGUUAAAAAAUGGGGCACCAUCUAAGUCCGUUGAGACGACACAAUCUGAACUGUGGUUUGGCAAGAAACCAAAGUUGUUGUUUCUUAAAGUAUGGGAUUGUGAUGCUUAUAUGAAAAAGUUUCAUCUUGAUAAGCUCAAACCCAAAUCGGAGAAAUAUGUCUUCAUAGGAUACCCAAAGGAGACUGUUGGGUACACCUUCUAUCACAGAUCCGAAGGCAAGACAUUCGUUGCUAAGAAUGGAUCCUUUCUAGAGAAGGAGUUUCUCUCGAAAGAAGUGAGUGGGAGGAAAGUAGAAAACUUGAUAAGGUAAUUGUACCUUCUCCCUUAUUGGAAAGUAGUUCAUCACAGAAAUCUGUUCUUGUGACUACUACACCAAUUAGUGAGGAAGCUAAUGAUGAUGAUCAUGUAACUUCAGAUCAAGUUACUACCGAAUCUCGUAGGUAAACCAGAGUAAGAUCCGCACCAGAGUGGUACGGUAAUCCUGUUCUGGAAGUCAUGUUACUAGACCAUGACAAACUUGCGAACUAUGAGGAAGUGAUGAUGAGCCCAGAUUCCGCGAAAUGGUUUGAGGCCAUGAAAUCUGAGAUAUGAUUCAUGUAUGAGAACAAAGUAUGGACUUUGAUGGAUUUGCCCGAUGAUCGGCAAGCCAUAGAAAAUAAAUGGAUCUUCAAGAGGAAGAUGGACGCUGAUAGUAGUGUUACUAUCUACAAAGCUAGACUUGUCGAAAAAGGUUUUUGACAAAGUUCAAGGUGUUGACUACGAUGAAAUUUUCUCACUCAUAGCGAUGCUUAAGUCUGUCCCAAUCAUGUUAGCAAUUGCCGCAUUUUUAUGAAAUCUGGUAAAUGGAUAAACAAAACUACAUUCCUUAAUGGAUUUAAAGAAGAGUUGUAUAUGAUGCAACCCGAAGGUUUUGUCAAUCCUAAAGGUGCUAACAAAAUAUGCAAGCUCCAGCGAUCCAUCUAUGGACUGGUGCAAGCAUCUCGGAGUUGGAAUAUACGUUUUGAUAAGUUGAUCAAAGCAUAUAGUUUUAUACAGACUUGCGGUGAAGCUUGUAUUUACAAGAAAGUGAGUGGGAGCACUACAGCAUUUCUGAUAAGUAUAUGUGAAUGACAUAUUGUUGAUCGGAAAUAAUGUAGAAUUAUUCUGCAAAGCAUAAAGGAGUGUUUUGAAAGAAGUUUUUCAAAGAAAGACCUCGGUGAAGCUGCUUACAUAUUGAGCAUCAAGAUCUAUAGAGAUAGAUCAAGACGCUUGAUAAGUUUUUUCAAUGAGUACAUACCUUGACAAGAUUUUGAAGUAGUUCAAAAUGGAACAGUCAAAGAAAGAGUUCUUGCCUGUGUAACAAGGUGUGAAAUUGAGUAAGACUCAAAGCCCGACCACGGCAGAAGAUAGAAGGAGAAUGAAAGUCAUUCCCUAUGCCUCAAUCAUAGGUUCUAUAAAGUAUGCCAUGCUGUGUACCUAUUGUAUACCCUACAUUGUUUUUGGCAAGGGAGUACAAUAGUGAUCUAGGAGUAGAUCACUGGACAGCGGUCAAAAUUAUCCUUAGUGGAAUAAGGAAAUAUUUCUCAAUUAUGGUGGUGACAAAAGGUUCAUCGUAAAGAGUUACGUCAAUGCAAGCUUUGACACAGAUCUGGAUGACUCUAAGUCUUGAUCUAGAUACAUAUUGAAAGUGGGAGCAAUUAGCUAGAGUAGCUCCAUGCAGAGCAUUGUUGACAUAGAUAUUUGCAAAAUACUUAUGGAUCUGAAUAUGACAGACCCGUUGACUAAAAUUAUCUCACAAGCAAAACAUGAUCACACCUUAGUACUCUUUGGGUGUUAAUCACAUAGCGAUGUGAACUAGAUUACUGACUCUAGUAAACCUUUUGGGUGUUGGUCACAUAUCAAUGUGAUCUAUGGGUGUUAAUCACAUAAAGAUGUGAACUAUUGAUGUUAGAUCACAUGGCGAUGUGAACUAGAUUAUUGACUCUAGUGCAAGUGGGAGACUGAAGGAAAUAUGCCCUAGAGGCAAUAAUAAAGUUAUUAUUUAUUUCCUUAUUUCAUGAUAAAUGUUUAUUAUUCAUGCUAGAAUUGUAUUAUCCGGAAACAUAAUACUUGUGUGAAUACAUAGACAAACUAAACGUCACUAGUAUGCCUCUACUUGACUAGCUCAUUAAUCAAAGAUGGUUAUGUUUCCUAACCAUAGACAUGUGUUGUCAUUUGAUUAACGGGAUCACAUUAUUAGGAGAAUGAUGUGAUUGACAUGACCCAUUCCAUUAGCUUAGCACCCGAUCGUUUAGUAUGUUGCUAUUGCUUUCUUCAUGACUUAUACAUGUUCCUAUGACUAUGAGAUUAUGCAACUCCCGUUUGCCGGAGGAACACUUUUGUGCUACCAAACGUCACAAGGUAACUGGGUGAUUAUAAAGGAGCUCUAUAGGUGUCUCCAAAGGUAAAUGUUGGGUUGGCGUAUUUCGAGAUUAGGAUUUGUCACUCCGAUUGUCGGAGAGGUAUCUCUGGGCCCUCUCGGUAAUGCACAUCACAUAAGCCUUGCAAGCAUUGCAACUAAUGAGUUAGUUGCGAGAUGAUGUAUUACGAAACGAGUAAAGAGACUUGUCGGUAACGAGAUUGAACUAGGUAUUGAGAUACCGACGAUCGAAUCUCGGGCAAGUAACAUACCGAUGACAAAGGAACAACGUAUGUUGUUAUGCGGUCUGGCCGAUAAAGAUCUUCAUAUAAUAUGUGGGAGCCAAUAUGAGCAUCCAGGUUCCGCUAUUGGUUAUUGACCGGAGACGUGUCUCGGUCAUGUCUACAUUGUUCUCGAACCCGUAGGGUCCGCACGCUUAAGGUUACGAUGACAGUUAUAUUAUGAGUUUAUGAGUUUUGAUGUACCAAAGGAGUUCGGAGUCCCGGAUGAGAUCGGGGACAUGAUGAGGAGUCUCGAAAUGGUCGAGACGUAAAGAUCGAUAUAUUGGACGAUUAUAUUCGGACAUCGGAAAGGUUCCGAGUGAUUCGGGUAUUUUCGGAGGUACCGGGGAGUUACGGAAAUACGAGGAGGAAGCAAUGGGCCUUAAUGGGCCUUAGUGGGAAGGACCGGGAGGUGGCGCGCGCCCCUCCCAAGCCCAGUCCGAAUUGGACAAUGGGUUUGGGGCGCGGCCCCUCUCUCCCUUCCUUCCCCUCUUCCCCCCUUUUCCCCCUUCUCCUAGUUGGACUAGGAAAGGAGGAAACCUACUCCAACUAGGAGUAGGAAUCCUACUCCCUAGCGCGCCCCUCCUAGGGCCAGCCUCCUCCCCCUUGCUCCUUUAUAUACGGGGGCAGGGGGGCACCUCUACACACACAAGUUGAUCCUCGUGAUCAUUUUCUUAGCCGUGUGCGGUGCCCUCUUCCACCAUAUACCUCGAUAAUAUUGUAGUGGUGCUUAGGCGAAGCCCUGCGACAGUUGAACAUCAAGAUCGUCACCACGCCGUCGUGCUGAUGGAACUCUUCCCCGACACUUUGCUGGAUCGGAGUUUGGGGAUCGUCAUCGAGCUAAACGUGUGCUAAAACUCGGAGGUGCCGUAGUUUCGGUGCUUGAUCGGUCGGCCCGUGAAGACGUACGACUACAUCAACCGCGUUGUGCUAACGCUUCCACUGUCGGUCUACAAGGGUACGUAGAUCACACUCUCCCCUCUCGUUGCUAUGCAUCACCAUGAUCUUGCGUGUGCGUAGGAUUUUUUUUGAAAUUACUAUGUUCCCCAAGAAAACUCUCUCUCUCACACACCUGAGGAAGGCAAAGAGAGGGUGAGAAAAGUGUACGUGAACUGAUUCCCCCAGAGCUUCCUAAUAAGGAUUCCCUCUUGAUAGUACGGGUACUCUACGACCAAAGAAAAUAAAAGCGUAGAGGACACGUCUUCGAUCUUUUCCUUCGAGAGGCAAUAGCAAUCCGAUGUAAGCCUAAGCAUCGAGAACCUAAAACAUAUAGCACAUGAUUAGACCACAAAGGGUUGUCAUCAUCAUCCAAAACAUAAAGUAGGGAGAUGCCCUUUCAAUCUCCCCCUUUUUGGUGGAUGAUGACAACAACACGAUUUGCAAGAGAUAAGUCAAUGAAAUCUAGACGGAACUCCCCCUGAAUGUGUGCCCCAAUAAGUACUAGCUGUUAGAAAGCAUGGGGACACUUUCAGGACUAGACUCCCCCUAGAUUUUAUAUACUCAUCACUCUGAGCUCAAAAGGAUAGACAAUAUAAUACUUAGAGGCAAUAAUAACGAUAAUGACCUACGAACGGAAAGGUAAACGAAGUAACAAGUCUCACACACAGCACGGAACGAAACAAGUCCACAAACAAACACAAAACACGAGAACAAGAGAAAAACCCAAGCAAAUCCCCGAGACCUAUAGAACCCUCUCCCCCUUUGGCAUCAAGACACCAAAAAGGAAAAGAGCGAAGCUAGCGACCCAAAGCUCAGGCGUCCUCCUCUGACUCCUCGGUCGCAUCUGGAUCUUCAUCAUCAGAGUCAUGAUCGUUAUCGUGAUCAGAUUCUUCCAUGACAUUGUCAGCUGCUGCAAACGAGGAUGAUAGCUGGGGAGGGGCUUCAUCAUCAGUCCAGGUGCUAUGGGUAGAGAUCCAACGCUCCUCUGGGGUGAUGCUCUUCUCAGAGCCACUCUGAACCUGCAUGUUGAGGUGCUUCAUCAUUGCAAUUUGGCAACGCCGUGCAAGCUUCUCAUUGACAUGUGCCUCAUACAUCUUCUUCUGGAUGUCAGCCUGGAGACAAAAGGUCUUCUUCACCUUGGCAGUAAGUUUGGCCACCCACGAAGGCUUGGCCCUUGGCUCCAGCUCAAAGUCCUCAUCGUCAGAAGUAGCAUAGACAUCCUCAGGAGCAUGUUCAGGGAAGCGAGGCUCGGCAUGCUUCUUCUUCUUAAGGAGCUUGACCUCAUGAACAGUGAGGUUGUCUGGAGAAGUGAGGAGCUCUCCAGGACGACGAACAGCCCACACAGAGUUCAGAAAGCACAUGACAAACGGAGCAUAGAUUGGGACUUUACGGUAGAUGACCAUGUUGUACAUCUCAUGCCACAGCCAAUUUGACACAUCAAACGUUGCCCCUGUCCCCACCAUGGUCUUCAUAGCAACCAUCAAAUCAACCAGAUAGCCAUGAAUCUCAUCUUGAUUGCCCACCUUGGGCAAGAGCACAUUGCGGAACACUCGGUGCAUGAUGUCAUAGACCUUCUCCAAAUCCUUGGAUUCUCCAAUAAUCCCACGGCCCCGAAUGUACAGAGGGGCAAACUUCUCCUUAGGCAUGGACUCAGGAAAAUCAUGAGGGCGAAUUGUUGGAAAUAUGCCCUAGAGGCAAUAAUAAAAGCAUUAUUAUUAUAUUUCCUUAUUCAUGAUAAUUGUCUUUAUUCAUGCUAUAAUUGUGUUAUCCGGAAAUCGUAAUACAUGUGUGAAUAACAGACACCAACAUGUCCCUAGUAAGCCUCUAGUUGACUAGCUCGUUGAUCAACAGAUAGUCAUGGUUUCCUGACUAUGGACAUUGGAUGUCAUUGAUAACGAGAUCACAUCAUUAGGAGAAUGAUGUGAUGGACAAGACCCAAUCCUAAACAUAGCACAAGAUCGUAUAGUUCGUUUGCUAGAGUUUUUCCAAUGUCAAGUAUCUUUUCCUUAGACCAUGAGAUCGUGUAACUCCCGGAUACCGUAGGAGUGAUUUGGGUAUACCAAACGUCACAACGUAACUGGGUGACUAUAAAGGUAGACUACGGGUAUCUCCGAAAGUGUCUAUUGGGUUGACAUGGAUCAAGACUGGGAUUUGUCACUCCGUAUGACGGAGAGGUAUCACUGGGCCCACUCGGUAAUGCAUCAUCAUAAUGAGCUCAAAGUGACCAAGUGUCUGGUCACGGGAUCAUGCAUUACGGUACGAGUAAAGUGACUUGCCGGUAACGAGAUUGAACGAGGUAUUGGGAUACCGAUGAUCGAAUCUCGGGCAAGUAACAUAUCGAUUGACAAAGGGAAUUGCAUACGGGGUUGAUUGAAUCCUCGACAUUGUGGUUCAUCUGAUGAGAUCAUCAUGGAGCAUGUGGGAGCCAACAUGGGUAUCCAGAUCCCACUGUUGGUUAUUGACCGGAGAGUCGUCUCGGUCAUGUCUGCUUGUCUCCCGAACCCGUAGGGUCUACACACUUAAGGUUCGGUGACGCUAGGGUUGUGAAGAUAUGUAUAUGCAGUAACCCGAAUGUUGUUCGGAGUCUCGGAUGAGAUCCUGGACAUCACGAGGAGUUCCGGAAUGGUCCGGAGGUAAAGAAUUAUAUAUAGGAAGUGCUGUUUCGGCCAUCGGGACAAGUUUCGGGGUCACCGGUAUUGUACCGGGACCACCGGAAGGGUCCCCGGGGUCCACCGGGUGGGGCCACCUAUCCCGGGGGGCCCCAUGGGCUGAAGUGGGAGGGAACCCAGCCCAAAGUGGGCUGGGGCGCCACUCCCCUAGGGCCCAUGCGGCUAGGGUUGAGGGGAAACCCUAAAGGGGGCGUCCCCUAGCUUGGGGGGCAAGCCCCCCACCCUUGGCCGCCGCCCCCCCCUAGGAGAUUCCAUCUCCUAGGGCCGGCGCCCCCCCUAGCACCCCUAUAUAUAGUGGGGGAGAGGAGGGACUUCAUACAACAGCCCCUGGCACCUCCCUCUCUCCCCGUUACGUCUCUCUCUCGUAGUAUAGGCGAAGCCCUGCUACUGUGACGCCCUGCAUCCACCACCACGCCGUCGUGCUGCUGGAUCUUCAUCAACCUCUCCUUCCCCCUUGCUGGAUCAAGAAGGAGGAGACGUCUCCCGUCCCGUACGUGUGUUGAACGCGGAGGUGCCGUCCGUUCGGCGCUUGGUCAUCGGUAAUUUGGAUCACGUCGUGUUCGACUACAUCAUCACCAUUCUUUGAACGCUUCCGCACGUGAUCUACAAAGGUAUGUAGAUGCAUCCGAUGACUCGUUGCUAGAUGAACUCCUAGAUGGAUCUUGGUGAAACGAGUAGGAAAAUUUUUGUUUUCUGCAACGUUCCCCAACACGAAUGCCACCCCUUCCUUCCAGACCAGUAUCCUCGUACCCAAUAGCAUUGUAGAAAGCCCUCCAGGGAACGUGAAACAAUUCAUCGCGACACAUGAAGGUGAGAGUGCGCGCAUCAUCUUCCCCAAAAUGAACCGUGGCAUAGAACUGAUGGAUAAGUUGAACAUCAAAGUCACAGUUGACUGACAUGAUCUUGACAAGAUCAAACUCCUCGCAUAGAGAUAGCACCUCACCAAAAUACUCCAUGUUGUUUCUCCAAUGAUCAAAAUCAAUUGUCCACUGCUUGGCAUAUCUGUUCUUGUUGUGCUCAAAGAGUUCAUGAACAAUCCGCACUUGCAUCUCAUUCUGGAACUGAACAGUGGUCCAACGGGGAGCAAUGGGAACCUCAUACGGAUUCUUUGAGUGGAAGGCUUCCCAAUCCUUGGCUUUCCAACGAUGCAACGGCAUAACCACACGUUGCUUAGCAGCUGUAGACUUUUCACGGCGAGUGGGCUUGGUGGGAAUCACAACUUCUUCUUCUUCAUCAGACACAACCGGGCGCAAGGUCCUUCGUGCCCUCUUCUUGGUCUUGCGAGGAGCAGAGCGAGAACUAGAGCCACCUGAACACACACACGAAAAGAACACACAAAAACCCAACAAGGAUGAGAGGAUUGCACCCACUAGCAGAAAAGGAACAAGUUGCAACAACAGAGAAGAUAGAAUAGUGCUUAGUGGUUGAUAUACUCUGGUUGUACCGGAUCUUCCGCCGGUAGUACCGCUCCAGCGGUUGUACUCCCCAUAGGGGCGGUAGUACCGCUCCAGCGGUUGUACCGCCCGUAGGGGUGGUAGAACCGCUAACAGUGGCACUACCAGGGAAGAUAGAUCUAACCGAGGCAUACGAAUCACACAAGUAAUAUUCCGAAUUCUAAGUGCUGCAAACAAGACAUGAGGCUAACAAAGAACUCUUCUAAGCCAUAGAUCGAACACUAAACGCGGAAAGAUAAGUAAAGCCCUAGACAAGGAAGAACCCUAAAAAAAUCUAAAGGCAAAGAACACGAGGCAUUACCACCAUCCAUGGGAAGAGAUCGGGAGGCCUCCACGGAGAGAAUCCACGGAGAGCCAAGGAUCCGAAGCGCGAGACGCACUCCGGGGCAGGGGUAGAGAUGGCCGGCGGCUAGGGCAAAAAAAGAAGAGGAACGAGGACAAAGGGAAAAAGACAACCCUUCAGCCCCGUCGAGUAUAUAUAGGCCCGUACACACGCCCCGGUAGAACCGCUUAGGGGAGCGGUUGUACCGCUCGUCUGGUACAGACCGGUGGAUGGAGGCGGUACUUCCGGUGCCUGGGAGGCAGCGGUAGUACCGCACGGCAUCAACCGGUAGUACCGGACGUGGGUUACCGUGGGUUUGUGCGAUGGAACCGCCCAAGCACCGAACGGAGACUCUUGGGACGGCACAACCCGGUACCAGCGGUAGAACCGCUCGUGGUACCGAUUGUACUGCCCGACCACCUAAGCCCAAGCCAAGAUCAAAUGAGUGCAAUCCGAAGGGAGGAAGAAGGAGCACAAAACAUGAGAGAAACAACACCCUAUGAGAACCUAACACAAAGAGCAAAGACAUAAAGAGAGAAAACAACACGAGAACAACAAGGCUAACUCCAACCUCCCGAAGAGAGGACGGUGGCCGAGGCCACCUAUCUUUGAGUCAAUUGGUAUGGCACCGCGAAGAAUUGUCCUUCGGUCCAUGACCAAAACUCGUCUUUGAAGCACAAGUACCAUCAAAUAUGGCUAAUGUGAAAGACACGAUCAAUUUAUGCAUAAUGGGGGGAGGGAGAGUUCAUUGAGAGAACAACACUCCCCCUAUGUCCAUGCCUACACCUAAACUAGACGACAAAUUGAGCGUGGUAGGGUGUGCAAGGGUUCAAGCCACAUUGCUCGAAUCAAUGAUAUUUAGCUCAUGCCUUAACUCGCGAAAUCUUGCUUCAUCCAAGGGCUUCGUGAAAAUAUCUGCAAGGUUGUCAUGAGUGUUGACAUAGUUGAGCUCGAUCUCUCCUCGUCUAAUUUGAUCCCGGAUGAAGUGAUACCGGAUCUCAAUAUGCUUUGUCUUGAAAUGUUGCACCGGAUUGAGAGAGAUCUUGAUGGCACUUUCAUUGUCACACCAAAGAGGCACUUUGUCACAAGUGACACCGUAAUCCUUUAAAGUUUGCCUCAUCCAUAGGAGUUGAGCACAACAACUACCGGCGGCAACAUACUCCGCCUCAGUGGACGAGAGAGACACACAACUUUGCUUUUUGGAAGACCAACUUACCAAAGAGCAACCAAGGAAUUGGCACCCUCCGGAAGUGGACUUCCUAUCCACUUUGUCUCCCGCCCAAUCGGAAUCCGAGUACCCUACAAGCUUGAAGUUUGAUCCUCUGGGGUACCAUAGGCCAAAGUUUGGGGUAUGAGCCAAAUAUCGAAAGAUUCGUUUGACCGCCACAUAGUGACUUUCCUUAGGUGCGGCUUGAAACCAUGCACAAAUUCCCACACUCAACAUGAUGUCCGGUCUAGAUGCACAAAGGUAAAGCAAGGAUCCAAUCAUGGAACGAUAUACCUUUUGAUCCACCACUUUACCAUUGGGAUCUAAGUCAAGUUGGCACUUGGUGGGCAUUGGAGUGGAAGCCGGCUUGACGUCACUUAGCUUGAAUCUCUUGAGCAUGUCUUGAGUGUAUUUGGAUUGAUUGAUGAAGGUUCCUUAUCUUCUUUGCUUCACUUCGAACCCUAGAAAGAACUUCAACUCUCCCAUGGAGGACAUCUCGAACUUUGAGGUCAUGAGAGCGGCAAAUUCCUCAUUGAAAGCUUUGUUAGGAGAACCAAAGAUAAUAUCAUCAACAUAUAAUUGGCACACAAACAACUCCCCUUUGACCUUCUUAGUAAAAAGAGUGGGGUCGAUUAGCCCAACUUCAAAACCACGGUCUUGUAACAACUCGGUAAGGUGGUCAUACCACGCACAUGGGGCUUGUUUAAGGCCAUAGAGCGCCUUAUCGAGUUGAUACACAUGAUCGGGAAAGUAGGGAUCCUCGAACCCGGGGGGUUGCUUGACGUAAACCAAUUCAUUAAUGGGACCAUUAAGAAAAGCACUCUUCACAUCCAUUUGUUGUAACUUAAAGUUAUGAUGAGAAGCAUAUGCAAUCAACAUGCGAAUGGAUUCAAGACGAGCAACGGGAGCAAAGGUUUCACCGUAGUCGAUACCCUCGACUUGGGAGUAGCCUUGUGCUACCAAACGAGCCUUGUUGCGAAUGAUAAUCCCAUGGGCAUCUUGCUUGUUCUUGAAUAUCCACUUGGUUCCAAUGACAUUGUGGUUCCCCGUUGGCUUUGGCACCAAUCUCCACACUUUGUUGCGCUCGAAGUUGUUGAGUUCUUCGUGCAUGGCAUUGAGCCAAUCCGGAUCUUCUAGCGCCUCAUAGACCUUGUGGGGUUCCACACAAGAGACAAACGCGUGAUGCUCACAAUAAUUUGCUAAUUGUCUAUGAGUGCUUACCCCCUUUCUUAAGCUUCCAAGCACAUUCGUCAUGAGAUGAUCCUUGGUGGAGAGCUUGGAUGCAAUCUUGGCGGCACGACGCUCUAAUUCCUCCUCGGUGGUGAGUUGAGGAGCGGUUACUUGAUCAUCUUGAGCGCCGUCAUGAACUUGUUCUUGAUCUUGAACUUGCUCGGGGGAGAGAACUUGACCUGGGCAUCACUUGGUGUGUCAACACCGUCUUGAGUAUGAUCUUGCCCUUGGUCUUGUUCAUGAGGUUGAGGGCCUUCACUUUGUUCUUCGGAAGCGUGUGGGCCUUGGGUUGGUGAUGGCUCCACUUGAGUGGAGCAUUGUCCUUCUCCUUCGCCCACAAGGGGUUCCUCAAUGGGUAGGAUAAAACCAACACCCAUUCUUCUUAUGGCUUGAGGAGGAAUUUCAUCACCUACAUCACAAGUGCCACUUUGCUCCACUUGGGAGCCAUUAUUCUCAUCAAACUCCAUGUUACACGUCUCCUCAAUAAGUCCCGUGGAUUUAUUGAGGACACGGUAAGCAUGAGAGUUUGUAGCAUAACCAACAAAUAUGCCCUCAUGAGCUCUAGCCUCAAAUUUAGACAACCAAACACCUUUCUUGAGAAUGAAACACUUACACCCGAAUACCCGGAAGUACUUGAGGUUGGGCUUGUUACCGGUGAGUAUCUCAUAUGGAGUCUUGUUCAAGCCCUUGCGGAGGUAGAGCCGAUUGGAUGCAUGACACGCGGUGUUGAUGGCUUCGGCCCAAAAGUUGUACGGAGACUUGAACUCCGCCAUCAUGGUCCUUGCCGCAUCCAUCAACGUCCGGUUCUUCCUCUCCGCAACACUGUUUUGUUGAGGGGUGUAUGGUGCGGAAUAUUGAUGCUUGAUUCCCUCAUCACUAAGAAAUUCAUCCAAGGUGUAGUUCUUGAACUCGGUGCCGUUGUCACUUCUUAUUGUCAAGAUCUUUGCAUUGUGUUGACGUUGUGCUUCAUUUGCAAAGUCAAUGACGGUUUGUUGGGUCUUGCUCUUCCUCUUGAAGAAAUACACCCACGUGUACCUUGAGUAGUCAUCCACAAUCACCAAGCAAUACUUCCUACCUCCAAGACUAUCGAAGGAUGGAGGCCCAAAUAGAUCCAUGUGAAGGAGCUCCAAAGGCCUCUUUGAAUAAAUGAUAGUCGUGGGAGGGUGAGCCUUCUCAUGUAGCUUUCCUUCGAUACAGGCACUGCAAGCACGAUCUUUAGCAAAACUAACAUUCGUUAGUCCACGGACAUGGUCCCCCUUGAGGAGACUUUGCAAAGAUCUCAUAUUGACAUGGGCUAAACGGUGAUGCCAAAGCCAUCCCACAUCAACUUUAGCCAUUAGGCAUGUCGCGGUCUUAGUGGGUCGCUCCGAAAAGUUAAUCACAUAUAGACCGUUCUCGACAUGCCCAACAAAGGCUACUUUAAGAGUCUUGCUCCACAAGAGGGCCACGGUAUCGAUAUCAAAGAAAGUGGCAAAGCCCAUGAUUGCAAGUUGACAAACAGAAAGUAAAUUGUAUGCAAGGGACUCAACAAGCAUGACAUUCUCUAUCGUGAGAUCAUGAGAGAUGACCACCUUGCCAAGUCCCAAUACCUUAGAAGAUGAGGCGUCACCCCACUCGACAUUGGUGGGCAUAGAUGGAACCUUGUGCACGUCCACCACCAAGUCCUUGCUUCCGGUCAUAUGAUUUGUAGCUCCGCUAUCGAGCAACCAUGAUCCACCACCGGAAGCAAACACCUACAAGAGAUCAAUGCUUGGUUUUAGGUACCCAUUUUGUAAUGGGUCCUUUGAUGUUAGUAACAAGGGUCUUAGGAACCCAAAUAGACCAUUCAAUGUAUUCAUGAAGAGAACCAACAAAUUUGGCAUAAACAUGCCCAUCACUAGCAUGGCAUAACACAUAGGAAGGAUUAAAAUCGCCGGCUUUGUUGGGAGGGGUGACAUUGCCCUUCUUGACAUUGUUCUUCUUCUUCUCCUCGGGGGCACUCUCUCCCUCCCUCACAAAGGUUUGCAUGAGAGGAGGAGGUUGUUUGGUCUUGUCAUUCUUCUUCUUGUUCUUGGAGUCGGGCACGUACCCAACCCCUUCCUUGGCCACAACUCCCUUUUGGUUGAUCAAGAGAUCGUUGAGGUUCUUCUUGCCUUGUAUGCAAGUCGCAAGACCUCUCUCAAGUUGCUCCUUCAACUUAGCAUUUUCCUCAACAAGAUGUAUAUGCUCACAACACGGGUUAGUAGCAUUUGCAUUAUCAAUUAAAACCAUAUGAGGAAAAGUUGCUUUCUCCUUAGUUAGCUUCACUUGGAGUUGAUCAUGAGACUCCUUGAGACUAGUGUGAAUACCCUUCAAGGCCUUGUGGGCCUUGUCAAGUAUAUCAAACUCCUCUUUGAGUCUAGCAAGAUCAACCCCGAGUUUGGCCUUCUCGGAAUUUAGCACACGAGAAACAAUGAGGACAUGAUCAUAAUCUUUCUUUAACUUAGCAUGAUCAACGUUGUGUGACUCCUCAAGAGCCAAACGAAGACCACGCUCUUCCUCAAGAGCAUUGGAAAGAUCCGAGAUCUCAUCGGCAUAGUCACGACUAUGCCCUUCCAUCUUAGAGAUGGUGUCCUCGUAAGCCUCGACCAUGUCAUUGGCUUCACCAAGUUGUUCCAAGAGAGCAACAAAGUGCUUCUUGGAUUUUCCCUUGAGUUUGCCCAUAAAGGCCUCAAACUCGUUAGCCUCCACAUUAGCUCCCUCAAGUUCAUUAAUGCAAUCCGGCAGGGAAGGAUGAUUAAUGAUGGUAGUUUUGAUGUUGGAGGUUACCUUGUUGGUGGCUUUAGCCAUGAGGCACUUGGCGGUGAUGCUCUCGUUGGGUGAGUCGAAGAGAGACACCCGUGACGUUGUUGCAAUGGCAACGGAGGCCAUGGCAACCGACUCAUCAUCUUCAUCAUCGUCAUCAUCCUCAUUGUACUCUUCUUGCACAACCAAAGCCUUGGGAGGAGUCUUCUUGGAGAAGUUGUUCUUGUUGGGGAACGACUUGGCCUUAUCCUUUCGGAUGAGCUUGCCACCAUUGUCUUCCCUCUUCUCAUACGGGCAUUCCGCAACGAAAUGACUCACGUUGCCGCAAUUGUAUCAAGUCCUUACACGUUGCUUGCCCCUUGUACCACUCGAGUUGUUUUUGCUAAAGUUUGGCCUCGAGUUUUUCUUGCUCCAAAAUUGCCUUGAAGCAAGUGCCAUGUGUUCAUGAUACUUCGUAUCUUCGGGGUUGCUCUCCUCUUCUUCAUCUUCUUCGUCUUCCACGAUGAGCUUGGCCUUCAAUGCAAGGUUAGGCUUCUUUGCCCAUUGAGAACGGAGCACCGCAUUGUCGGCGGUCUUGUCCAAAAUGUUCAUGGCCACAAACUCAUCCAACACUUCGCUUGAGGUCAAAGUGUGGAAGUCCAAUCUUUGACGAAUGAUGGAGGACAUGGCCUUGUGAUAGGGCAUCAUUGCCUUGAGGAAUUUGCGCUUGAUCCAAUUGUCAUCCGUGUCCUUGCUCCCAUGAUCUCGUAGUGAGACCGCGAGUUUUGUUACUCUCCGAUAGAGCUCACGAGGUUCUUCAUCUUCCUUCAUUGCAAACUCAUCGGCCUCAUCUUGUACCACUUCAUAGUUGGAGCUUUGAAUGCUUGCGCUUCCCCGGUAUAGAGACACGACACAAUGCCAUGCAACUUUGGCCAAGGUGAAAGGACGAAGAUGAGGUAGGUCUUUGGGUGGAAUUGCAUCUUGAAUGAUGAAGAGAGCAUUCUCAUUGAGAUCAUGAAGAUAAUGGUGUCAUGCCAGUGACAACGAUGAUCAUGGAGCCCCGAAGAUGGAGAUCAAAAGGAGCAAAAUGAUAUUGGCCAUAUCAUGUCACUAUUUGAUUGCAUGUGAGGUUUAUAAUGUUUUACAUCUUAUUUGCUUAGAACGACGGUAGCUUAAAUAAGAUGAUCCCUCACUAAAAUUUCAAGAAAGUGUUCCCCCUAACUGUGCACCGUUGCGAAGGUUCGUCGUUUCGAAGCACCACGUGAUGAUCGGGUGUGAUAGAUUCUAACGUUCGAAUACAACGGGUGUUGACGAGCCUAGCAUGUACAGACAUGGCCUCGGGACACAUGCGAAACACUUAGGUUGACUUGAUGAGCCUAGCAUGUACAGACAUGGCCUCGGAACACGGAAGACCGAAAGGUCGAACAUGAGUCGUAUAGAAGAUACGAUCAACAUGAGAUGUUCACCGUUGAUGACUAGUCUGUCUCACGUGAUGAUCGGACACGGCCUAGUCGAUUCGGAUCAUGUUCACUUAGAUGACUAGAGGGAUGUCUAUCUGAGUGGGAGUUCAUUAAAUUAAUUUGAUUAGAUGAACUCAAUUAUCAUGAACAUAGUCUAAAUUGUCUUCGCAAAUAUGUUGUAGAUAAAUAGCUCACGUUGUAGCUCCCUGUUUCAAUACGUUCCUAGAGAAAGAUUAAGUUGAAAGAUAUUGUAAGCAAUGAUGUGGACUAGGUCCGUAGUCCGUGGAGUGUCCUCACUGCUACACAGAAGGCUUACGUCUUUGAUGCACCGCUCGAUGUGCAAACCCCUACAACGUCGUCUGUGGAUGUUGUGAACACCUAACAGACACAUUUGAUGACUACCUGAUAGUUUAGUGCACCAUACUUUAUGGCUUAGAAUUGGGAUUCCAAUGAUGUCUUGAACGCCAUAGAACAUAUGAGAUGUUCCAAGAGCUGAAAUUGGGAUUUCAGGCUCAUGCCCGUGUUGAGAGGUGUGAGACCUCUAAAAAGUUCUUUUGCCAACAAGAUGGAGGAGAAUAGCUUAGCUAGUGAGCAUGUGCUUAGAAUGUCUGGGUGCUACAAUCACUUAAAUCAAGUGGGAGUUAAACUUCCAGAUAAGAUAGUGAUUGAUAGAGUUCUCUAGCCACUAUCACUAAGCUACUAGAUCUUUGUGAUGAACUAUGACAUGCAAGGGAUGGAAUUGAUCCCGGAGCUGUCGCGGUGCUUAAGACCGCAAAAGGUAGAAAUCAAGAAGGAGCAUCAAGUGUUGAUGGUUUAACAAGACCACUGGUUUCAAGAAGGGCAAUGGCUAGAAGGGAAACUUCAUGGAUGGCAAACCAGUUGCCGCUCCAGUGAAGGAACCCAAGGUUGAACCCAAACCCGAGACUAAGUGCUUCUAUUGUAAGGGGAAUGGGCACUGGUAGCGGAAUUACCCCAAAUGCAUGGUAGAUAAGAAGGCUGGAAACUUCAACAAAGUAUAUACGUGUUAUUAAUGUGUGCCUCCCUAGUACUCCUGGUAGCACCUGGGUAUUGGAUACCGGUUCAGUUGCUAUUACUGGUGACUUGAAGCAAAAGCUACGGACUAAACGGAGACUGGCUAAGGGCGAGGUGACGAUGUGUGUUGGAAGUGUUUCCAAAGUUGAUGAGAUCACCAUCGCACGCUCCAUCUACCUUCGGGAUUAGUAUUGAACCUAGAUAAAUGUUAUCAGGUGUCUACGUUGAGCAUGAAUAUGAUUAGAUCAUGUUUAUUGCAAUACGGUUAUUAAUUUAAGUUAGAGAAUAAUGGUUAUUCUGUUUACAUGAAUAAUACCUUCCAUGGUCAUGCACCCUAUGUGAAUGGUUCAAUGAAUCUCGGUCGUAGUAAUACACAUGUUCACGCCAAAAUAUGUAGAUAGUACCACUUUCUUGUGGCACUGCCGCUUAGGUCAUAUUGACGUAAGAUGCAUGAAGAAACUCCAUGUAGAUGGAUGUUUGGAGUCACUUGAUUUUGAAUUGCUUGACACAUGCGAGCCAUGCCUCAUGGGCAGGCUGACUAAGACCCCGUUUUCAGGUACAAUGAAACGGGCAAGUGACUUGUUGGAAAUCAUACAUGCUGAUGCGUGUGAUACAAUGAGAAUUGAAGCAUGCGGUGGAUAUCGCUAUUUUCUCAUCUUCACUGACGAUUUGAGUAGAUAUAGGUAUAUUUACUUAAUGAAGCACAAGUCUGAAACGUUUGAAAAGUUCAAGCGAUUUCAGAGUGAAGUUAAGAAUCAUCAUAACAAUAAGAUCAUGUUCCUAUGAUCUGAUCAAAAAGGGGAUUUUCUGAGUUAUGAGUUUGGCAAGCACUUAAGACAUUGUGGAAUUGUUUCACAGUUGAAGCCACCUGGAACACCACAAGGUAAUGGUGUGUCCGGACGUCGUAAUCAAACCCUAUGAGAUAUGGUGCGAUCUAUGAUGUCUCUUACCAAUCUACCGUUUUCAUUUUGAGGUUAUGCGUUAGAGACAGUUGCAUUCACUUUAUAUAGGACACCAUUUAAGUCUGUUGAGACGAUGUCGUAUGAACAUUGGUUUGGCAAGAAACCAAAGUUGUCGUUUCUUAAUGUUUGGGGCUGCGAUGCUUAAGGCUUCAGCCGGAGAAGCUCGAACCCAAAGUGGACAAACACAUCUUCAUAGGAUACCCAAAGGUGACAGGUGGGUAUACCUUCUAUCUCAGAUCCAAGGGCAAAUCGUUUGUUGCUAAGAACGGGUCCUUUCUCGAGAAGGAGUUUCUCUCGAAAGAAUUGAGUGGGAGGAAGAUAGAACUUGAUGAGGUUGUCGAACCUUUACUUCAACCAGAGAGUGAUGCGACACAGAAAGAUGUUUUCUGUGGCGCCUACGUCUGUUGAAGAGGAAGUUAAUGAUAGUGAUCAUGAAGCUUCGGAUCAAGUUGCUAUCAAACCUCAUAGGUCGACAAGGAUAUGUACUACUCCUGAGUGGUACGAUAAUCCUGUCUUAAAUAUCAUGUUGUUAGACAACAAUGAACCUACGACCUAUGGAGAAGCGAUGGUGGGCCCGUAUUCCGACAAAUGGUUAGAAGCCAUGAAAUCCGAUAGGAUCCAUAUAUCAGAACAAAGUAUGGACUUUGGUGGACUUGCCCGAUGAUCGGCAAGCCAUUGAGAUAAAUGGAUCUUUAAGAAGAAGACGGACAUGGGCGGUAAUGUUACCGUCUAUGAAGCUCGACUUGUGGGAAAGAGUCUUUUCACAAGUACAAGGAGUUGACUACGAUGAGAAUUUCUCACCCAUAGCGAUGCUUAAGUCCGUCGGAAUCAUGUUAGCAUUAGUUGUAUUUUUCGAUUUUGAAAUCUGACAGAUGGAUGUCAAAAACAAGUUUUCUUACCAGUUUUUGUAAGAAAGAGUUGUAUGUGAUACAAUCAAAGUUUUGUCGAUCCUAAGGAUGCUAAAAGGUAUGCUGGCUCCAGCGAUCCUUCUAUGGACUAGAGCAAGCAUCUCGGAAUCGGAAUAUAUGUUUUGAUGGAGUGAUCAAAGCUUUUAGGUUUAUGCAAUGUUUGCUAGAAACUUGUAUUUACAAGAAAGUGAGUGGGAGCACUACAACAUUUCUGAUAAGUAUAUGUGGAUGACAUAUUGUUGAUCCGAAAUAAUGUAGAAUUUCUGGAAAGCAUAAACGGGUGUUUGAAGAGUGUUUUUCAAAGGAAGACCUGGAUAAAGCUGCUUACAUAUUGGGCAUCAAGAUCUAUAGAGAUAGAUCAAGACGCCUGAUGGUACUUUCAAAGAACGCACACCUUGACAUGUUUUUGAAGGAGUUCAAAAUAGAUCAGUCAAAGAAGGGGUUCUUACCUGAGUUGUAAGGUGUGAAGUUGAGUAAGACUCAAAGCUUGACCACGGCAGAAGAAAGAGGAAGGACGAAGGUCGUCCCCUAUGCUCUUGUCAUAGGCUCUAUACGGUAUGCCAUGCUGAGUACCGCACCUUAUGUGUGCCUUGCCACAUGUCUGGCAAAAGGGUACAAAGGUGAUCUAGGACUGGAUCACCAUAUAGCGGUCAAAAUUAUCCUUAGAGGAAUAAGGAAAUGUUUCUCGGUUAUGGAGGCGAUAAAGAGUUCGACGUAAAGAGUUACGUCGAUGCAAGCUUAACACCUAUCCGGAUAGCUCUGAGUAGAGAUACCGGAUACGUAUAAUGGAGCAACAAUUUGGAAUAGCUCCAAGUGGAACGUGGUAGCAGCAUCUAUGAUAUGACAUAAAGUUUUGCAAAAUACAUAGGGAUCUGAAUAUGGCAAGACCUGUUGGCUACAACCUCUCUCACAAGCAUAACAUGAUCAAACCCAGAACUCAUUGAGUGUUAAUCACAUAGUGAUGUGAACUAGAUUAUUGAGUCUAGUAAACUCUUUGGAUGUUGGUCACAUGGCGAUGUGACCUGUGAGUGUUAAUCACAUGGCGAUGUGAACUAGAUUAUUGACUCUAGUGCAAGUGGGAGACUGUUGGAAAUAUGCCCUGGAGGCAAUAAUAAAUUGGUUAUUAUUAUAUUUCCUUGUUCAUGAUAAUCGUUUAUUAUCCAUGCUAGAAUUGUAUUGAUAGGAAACUCAGAUACAUGUGUGGAUACAUAGACAAGACCAUGCCCCUAGUAAGCCUCUAGUUGACUAGCUCGUUGAUCAAUAAGAUGGUUACGGUUUCCUGACCAUGGACAUUGGAUGUCGUUGAUAACGGGAUCACAUCAUUAGGAGAAUGAUGUGAUGGACAAGACCCAAUCCUAAGCCUAGCACAAGAUCGUGUAGUUCGUUUGCUAAAACUUUUCUAAUGUCAAGUAUCAUUUCCUUAGACCAUGAGAUUGUGCAACUCCCGAAUACCGUAGGAGUGCUUUGGGUGUGCCAAACGUCACAACGUAACUGGGUGGCUAUAAAGGUACACUACAGGUAUCUCCGAAAGUGUUUGUUGGGUUGGCACGAAUCAAGACUGGGAUUUGUCACUCCGUGUAAACGGAGAGGUAUCUCUGGGCCCACUCGGUAGGACAUCAUCAUAAUGUGCACAAUGUGACCAAGGAGUUGAUCAUGGGAUGAUGUGUUAUGGAACAAGUAAAGAGACUUGCCGGUAACGAGAUUGAACAAGGUAUCGGAUACCGACGAUCGAAUCUCGGGCAAGUACAAUACCGCUGGACAAAGGGAAUUGUAUACGGGAUUGAUUGAAUCCUCGACAUCGUGGUUCAUCCGAUGAGAUCAUCGUGGAACAUGUGGGAGCCAACAUGGGUAUCCAGAUCCCGCUGUUGGUUAUUGGCCAGAGAGUUGUCUCGGUCAUGUAUGCAUGGUUCCCGAACCCGUAGGGUCUACACACUUAAGGUUCGGUGACGCUAGAGUUGUUAUGGGAAAUAGUAUGUGGUUACAGAAGGUUGUUCGGAGUCCCAGAUGAGAUCCCGGACAUGACGAGGAGCUCCGGAAUGGUCCGGAGGUGAAGAUCGGUAUAUUGGACGAAGGGUAUUGGAGUCCGGAAUUGUUCCGGGGGUACCAGGUGAUGACCAGCGUGUCCGAAAGGAAUUUCAGAGGCCCCGACAAGCGUUGGGGGGCCUUAUGGGCCAAGGGGAGAGGGCACAUUAGCCCAGUAAGGGGUUGAGCGCCCCUCCCACCACAUCUCACGUAACCAGGAGAGGUGGGGGCGCCACCCCUAGGGCAGCCGCCCCUCCCGGCUUGGGGGGCAAGUUUCCUAGGGGGUGGGGGCGCCCAAACCCAUCUAGGGUUUCCCCUGUGGCCGCCGCCCCUUGUGACGCCCGGGUAAUUAAGCUACAGUAAUCCCCACUAAUGAUGCCACGUCACCUUUGUCACUGUAGUUAAUCUCGGGUUAGUUCAAAAACCGGUUCGAAUUUCAAAUACAAAAUCGAGCAAACAAUAAAAGUUUUCAAAUAUUAAAAUUUAAAUGUUCGGAGUGAACCAAAUAAUACAUAGGUAAUUAUGGAGGUGGAACCACAUUUUUAUAAAAUGUUUAAAUGCUCAAGGGAAAAUAAAACAGUAGCAAAAGAAAUUAAUUAAAUGCCUUUUGUGUUUUGUAAAAUAUUAAACUAUAUUAUUUAGGGAUGAAGCAUUUUGUGGUUGUGGCUUAAUUUGUAAGAACAAUUUAGGUGCCACUUUGGUAUUUACUAAAACAAAAAAAAAAAUAAACUGGAACUAAAAUAAAACAGAAAAGGUAAAGUAAAUAAAAAGUAAAAAUAAAACAAAAGAGAGUGGGGGAGGAAACCCCACUGGCCCAACUGGGCCAGCCCCUCCCCACCUGGCCCCCCUCACACCUGGCCCAGCCCCCUCCCCUGGCCCGGCCCAGCCGGCAGGCCACUUAUCCACCUCUUCCCCCGGUCGGGAACCCUAGCCGCAACCACUCCUCCCCCGAUCCCCUUUCUCCCUCCCGCGCCGAUCCGNNNNNNNNNNNNNNNNNNNNNNNNNNNNNNNNNNNNNNNNNNNNNNNNNNNNNNNNNNNNNNNNNNNNNNNNNNNNNNNNNNNNNNNNNNNNNNNNNNNNNNNNNNNNNNNNNNNNNNNNNNNNNNNNNNNNNNNNNNNNNNNNNNNNNNNNNNNNNNNNNNNNNNNNNNNNNNNNNNNNNNNNNNNNNNNNNNNNNNNNNNNNNNNNNNNNNNNNNNNNNNNNNNNNNNNNNNNNNNNNNNNNNNNNNNNNNNNNNNNNNNNNNNNNNNNNNNNNNNNNNNNNNNNNNNNNNNNNNNNNNNNNNNNNNNNNNNNNNNNNNNNNNNNNNNNNNNNNNNNNNNNNNNNNNNNNNNNNNNNNNNNNNNNNNNNNNNNNNNNNNNNNNNNNNNNNNNNNNNNNNNNNNNNNNNNNNNNNNNNNNNNNNNNNNNNNNNNNNNNNNNNNNNNNNNNNNNNNNNNNNNNNNNNNNNNNNNNNNNNNNNNNNNNNNNNNNNNNNNNNNNNNNNNNNNNNNNNNNNNNNNNNNNNNNNNNNNNNNNNNNNNNNNNNNNNNNNNNNNNNNNNNNNNNNNNNNNNNNNNNNNNNNNNNNNNNNNNNNNNNNNNNNNNNNNNNNNNNNNNNNNNNNNNNNNNNNNNNNNNNNNNNNNNNNNNNNNNNNNNNNNNNNNNNNNNNNNNNNNNNNNNNNNNNNNNNNNNNNNNNNNNNNNNNNNNNNNNNNNNNNNNNNNNNNNNNNNNNNNNNNNNNNNNNNNNNNNNNNNNNNNNNNNNNNNNNNNNNNNNNNNNNNNNNNNNNNNNNNNNNNNNNNNNNNNNNNNNNNNNNNNNNNNNNNNNNNNNNNNNNNNNNNNNNNNNNNNNNUCCUCGUCGGGCCCCCCCCUCCGCCACGCCGACGCGGGAUCGGGCGGGCGCCCACGCCCGCGUCCCCCUGGGUUGCGCCCGAACGGGCCACCCCGCACGCCCGCACGCCCGUUUGGCCCCCUGGGGCCUAUGACAUUGGGGCCCCACCCCCCACAGAACUUUUAAAUAAAAAGAAAAGGAAAAUGAGAUUUAUAUAAAUAAAAAAAAUGAAUAAAAACUAAUUAAUUAAUUAAUCAAUCAAUUAAUUAAGUAAAUAAUUAAUCUAAUUAAUCCUGGUUAAUUAACCUAAUUAACUACUGUUAAUAAAACUUAAUUAGGUUAAUUAGUUAACAGUGUAUGACGAACGGGACCCACCUGUCAGGGUUGACUCAGUCAACCCCUGUUGACUGCUGACGUCAGCAUGACAUCAUGCUGACGUCAUAAAUACAUUUUUUCGAAUUAAUUAAAUAAAUAAUUAAAUUCCAAAAUUGUUAAAAUCUUUUAAAAAUCAUAUCUUUUAAUCCGUAACUCGGAUUAAAAUAUUUUCAACAUGAAAGUUGCUCAGAACGACGAGACGAAUCCGGAUACGCAACCUGUUCGUCCGCCACACACCCCUAACCUAUCGAACUCGCAACUUUCCCCCUCCGGCUCCUCUGCCCGAAAACACGAAACACCGGGAAUACUUUCCCGGAUGUUUCCCCCCCUUCACCGGUAUCACCUACUACCGCGUUAGGGCACACCGAACACCGCGUAUUGCCUUGUUAUAUUUUGUGAUGCUUUGUUUGCUCUGUAUUCAUUAAUUCUUCCCCCUUUUCUCUCCGGUAGACUACGAGACCGACGCUGCUGCUGACCAGUUCGACUACGGAGUUGACGACCCCUCUCUCUUGCCAGAGCAACCAGGCAAGCCCCCCCUGAUCACCAGAUAUCGCCUAUUCUACUCUAUACUGCUUGCAUUAGAGUAGUGUAGCAUGUUACUGCUUUCGUUAAUCCUAUUCUGAUGCAUAGCCUGACAUUGUCGCUACAUCUGUUGAUACCUUACCUGCAAUCCUAUAUGCUUAGUAUAGGAUGCUAGUUUAUCAUCAUUGGCCCUACAUUCUUGUCAGUCUGCCUUGCUAUACUAUCGGGCCGUGAUCACUUGGGAGGUGAUCACGGGUAUAUACUAUACAUACAUACAUACUAUACAGAUGGUGACUAAAGUCGGGUCAGCUCAUUGAGUACCCGCAAGUGAUUCUGACGAGGGGGCUGAAAGGACAGGUGGCUCCAUCCCGGUAGAGGUGGGCCUGGGUUCCCGACGGCCCUCGACUGUUACUUUGUGGCGGAGCGACAGGGCAGGUUGAGACCACCUAGGAGACAGGUGGGCCUGGCCCUGUUCGGCGUUUGCGGACACUUAACACGCUUAACGAGAUCUUGGUAUUUGAUCUGAGUUGGCUACGAGCCUAUACGCACUAACCAUCUACGUGGGAGUAGUUAUGGGUAUCCCGACGUCGUGGUAUCAGCCGAAGCACUUCAGACGUCAGCGACGGAGCGGCGCGCGCCGAAUUGGACUGGAACACCACUAGGCUAGGUCUGCUUUCGGCCGCCCUCGCAACGUGCAGGUGUGCUAUGGGCGAUGGGCCCAGACCCCUGUGCGCUUAGGUUUAGACCGGCGUGCUGGCCUCUCUGUUGUGCCUAGGUGGGGCUGCGACGUGUUGAUCUUCCGCGGCCGGGCAUGACCCAGGAAAGUGUGUCCGGCCAAAUGGGAUCAAGCGUGUUGGGUAAGUUGGUGCACCCCUGCAGGGAAGUUAAUCUAUUCGAAUAGCCGUGAUCUUCGGUAACAGGACGACUUGGAGUUGUACCUUGACCUUAUGACAACUAGAACCGGAUACUUAAUAAAACACACCCUUCCAAGUGCCAGAUACAACCGGUGGUCGCUCUACCUCAGGGAUAUGAGGAGGGGAUCGCCGGGUAGGAUUAUGCUAUGAGAUGCUACUUGAAGAUGCUACUUGGAGGACUUCAAUCUACUCUCUUCUACAUGCUGCAAGACGGAGGCUGCCAGAAGCGUAGUCUUCGAUAGGACUAGCUAUCCCCCUCUUAUUCUGGCUUUCUGCAGUUCAGUCCACCGAUAUGGCCUCCUUACACAUAUACCCAUGCAUAUGUAGUUUAGUUCCUUGCUUGCGAGUACUUUGGAUGAGUACUCACGGUUGCUUUCUCCCCCCUUUUUUCCCCCUUUCCUUUCUUUCUGGUUGUCGCAACCAGAUGCUGGAGUCCAGGAGCCAGGAGCCAGCGUCGACGACGACUACUACAUUGGAGGUGCCUACUACUACGUGCAGGCUGACGAUGACGACCAGGAGUAGUUAGGAGGAUCCCAGGCAGGAGGCCUGCGCCUCUUUCGAUCUGUAUCCCAGUUUGUGCUAGCCAUCUUAUGGCAACUUGUUUAACUUAUGUCUGUACUCAGAUAUUGUUGCUUCCGCUGACUCGUCUAUGAUCGAGCACUUGUAUUCGAGCCCUCGAGGCCCCUGGCUUGUAUUAUGAUGCUUGUAUGACUUAUUUUAUUUGUAGAGUUGUGUUGUGAUAUCUUCCCGUGAGUCCCUGAUCUUGAUCGUACACGUUUGCGUGUAUGAUUAGUGUACGAUUGAAUCGGGGGCGUCACACCCCUCCCCUAGGGAACCCUAGGGUGCCUCCCCCUCCUCCCUUCCCCCUAUAUAUAGUGAGGGAGAGAGAGGGCAGCCGUACCUUUCCCCUGGUGCAGCCCUCUUCCUCCUCCAACACCUCAUCCUCCUCCGUAGUGCUUGGCGAAGUCCUGUCGGAGAACCACGAGCUCCAUCAUCACCACACCGUCGUGCUGUCGGAGUUUUCCCUCAACUUCUCCUCUCACCUUGCUGGAUCAAGAAGGAGGAGACGUCUCCCAACCGUACGUGUGUUGAACGCGGAGGUGCCAUCCGUUCGGCGCUAGGAUCAUCGGUGAUUUGGAUCACGACGAGUACGACUCCAUCAACCCCGUUCACUUGAACGCUUCCGCUUAGCGAUCUACAAGGGUAUGUAGAUCUCCUUCCCCUCGCUGCUAGAUUACUCCAUAGAUUGAUCUUGGUGAUGCAUAGAAAAUUUUGAAUUUCUGCUACGUUCCCCAACAGUGGCAUCAUGAGCUAGGUCUAUGCGUAGUUUCUAUGCAUGAGUAGAACACAAAGCAAUUGUGGGCGUCGAUAUUGUCAAUUUACUUGCCUUUACUAGUCUUAUCUGUUGGGGAACGUAGUAAUUUCAAAAAAAAAAUCCUACGCACACGCAAGAUCAUGGUGAUGCAUAGCAACGAGAGGGGAGAGUGUGAUCUACGUACCCUUGUAGAUCGACAACGGUAGCGUUUGGUUGAUGUAGUCGUACGUCUCCACGGCCCGACAGAUCAAGCACCGAAACUACGGCACCUCCGAGUUCUAGCACACGUUCAACUCGAUGACGAUCCCCGGACUCCAAUCCAGCAAAGUGUCGGGGAAGAGUUCCGUCAGCACGACGGCGUGGUGACGAUCUUGAUGUACUACCGUCACAGGGCUUCGCCUAAGCACUGCUACAAUAUUAUUGAGGACUAUUGUGGAAGGGGGCACCGCACACGGCUAAGAAUAUGAUCACGUGGAUCAACUUGUGUCUCUAGGGGUGCCCCUGCCUCCAUAUAUAAAGGUUCAAGAGGGGGAGGCCAGCCGGCCAUCAUAGGGCGCGCCAGGAGGAGUCCUACUCCCUUCGAGAGUAGGACUUCUCCCCCAAUCCUAGUUGGAAUAGGAUUCGCGAGGUGGGAACGGAGAGAGAGAAGGAGGGGGGCGCCGGCCCCCUCUCUCCUUGUCCUAUUCGGACUAGGGGGGAGGGGCGUGCGGCCCAGCCCUGGCCGCCUCUCCUCUUCUUCCACUAAGGCCCACUAAGGCCCAUGUACCUCCCGGGGGGUUCCGGUAACCUCCCAGUACUCCGGUAAAAUCCCGAUUUCACCCGGAACACUUCCGAUAUCCAAAUAUAGGCUUCCAAUAUCAAUCUUUAUGUCUCAACCAUUUCGAGACUCCUCGUCAUGUCCGUGAUCACAUCCGGGACUCCGAACAACCUUCGGUACAUCAAAACGUAUAAACUCAUAAUAUAACUGUCAUCGAAACCUUAAGCGUGCGGACCCUACGGGUUCGAGAACAAUGUAGACAUGACCGAGACACGUCUCCGGUCAAUAACCAAUAGCGGGACCUGGAUGCCCAUAUUGGUUCCUACAUAUUCUACGAAGAUCUUUUAUCAGUCAGACCGCAUAACAACAUACGUUGUUCCCUUUGUCAUCGGUAUGUUACUUGCCUGAGAUUCGAUCGUCGGUAUCCAAUACCUAGUUCAAUCUCGUUACUGGCAAGUCUCUUUACUCAUUCCGUAAUACAUCAUCCCCUAACUAACUCAUUAGUUGCAAUGCUUGCAAGGCUUAAGUGAUGUGCAUUACCGAGAGGGCCCAGAGAUACCUCUCCGACGAUCGGAGUGACAAAUCCUAAUCUUGAAAUACGUCAACCCAACAUGUACCUUUGGAGACACCUGUAGAGCACCUUUAUAAUCACCCAAUUACGUUGUGACGUUUGGUAGCACACAAAGUGUUCUUCCGGCACAUGGGAGUUACAUAAUCUCAUAGUCAUAGGAACAUGUAUAAGUCAUGAAGAAAGCAAUAGCAACAUACUAAACGAUCGGGUGCUAAGCUAAUGGAAUGGGUCAUGUCAAUCAGAUCAUUCAACUAAUGAUGUGAUCCCGUUAAUCAAAUGACAACUCCUUUGUCCAUGGUUAGGAAACAUAACCAUCUUUGAUUAACGAGCUAGUCAAGUAGAGGCAUACUAGUGACACUUUGUUUGUCUAUGUAUUCACACAUGUAUUAUGUUUCCGGUUAAUACAUUUCUAGCAUGAAUAAUAAACUUUUAUCAUGAUAUAAGGAAAUAAAUAAUAACUUUAUUAUUGCCUCUAGGGCAUAUUUCCUUCAUUAUCUUGAUUCGGCGGCAUCGUGGGAUGAAGCGGCCCGGACCGACCUUACACGUACGCUUACGUGAGACUGGUUCCACCGACUGACAUGCACUAGUUGCAUAAGGUGGCUAGCGGGUGUCUGUCUCUCCCACUUUAGUCGGAUCGGAUUCGAUGAAAAGGGUCCUUAUGAAGGGUAAAUAGAAAUUGGCAUAUCACAUUGUGGUUUUCGCGUAGGUAAGAAACGUUCUUGCUAGAAACCUAUAGCAGCCACGUAAAAACUUGCAACAACAAUUAGAGGACGUCUAACUUGUUUUUGCAGCAUAUGCCUUGUGAUGUGAUAUGGCCAAAAGGAUGUGAUGAAUGAUAUAUGUGAUGUAUGAGAUUGAUCAUGUUCUUGUAAUAGGAAUCACGACUUGCAUGUCGAUGAGUAUGACAACCGGCAGGAGCCAUAGGAGUUGUCUUAAUUUAUUUAUGACCUGCGUGUCAACAUAAACGUCAUGUAAUUACUUUACUUUAUUGCUAAAGCGUUAGCCAUAGUAGUAGAAGUAAUAGAUGACAAGACAACUUCAAGAAGACACGAUGAUGGAGAUCAUGAUGAUGGAGAUCAUGGUGUCAUGCCGGUGACAACGAUGAUCCUGGAGCCCCGAAGAUGGAGAUCAAAAGGAGCAAAAUGAUAUUGGCCAUAUCAUGUCACUAUUUGAUUGCAUGUGAUGUUUAUCAUGUUUUACAUCUUAUUUGCUUAGAAUGACGGUAGCUUAAAAAAGAUGAUCCCUCACUAAAAUUUCAAGAAAGUGUUCCCCCUAACUGUGCACCGUUGCGAAGGUUCGUCGUUUCAAAGCACCACGUGAUGAUCGGGUGUGAUAGAUUCUAACGUUCGAAUACAACGGGUGUUGACGAGCCUAGCAUGUACAGACAUGGCCUCGGGACACAUGCGAAACACUUAGGUUGAGUUGACGAGCCUAGCAUGUACAGACAUGGCCUUGGAACACGGAAGACCGAAAGGUCGAACAUGAGCCGUAUAGAAGAUACGAUCAACAUGAGAUGUUCACCGUUGAUGACUAGUCCGUCUCACGUGAUGAUCGAACACGGCCUAGUCGAUUCGGAUCAUUCUUCACUUAGAUGACUAGAGGGAUGUCUAUCUGAGUGGGAGUUCAUUAAAUUAAUUUGAUUAGAUGAACUCAAUUAUCAUGAACAUAGUCUAAAUUGUCUUCGCAAAUAUGUUGUAGAUAAAUAGCUCACGUUGUAGCUCCCUGUUUCAAUACGUUCCUAGAGAAAGAUUAAGUUGAAAGAUAUUGUAAGCAAUGAUGCGGACUAGGUCCGUAGUCCGAGGAGUGUCCUCACUGCUACACAGAAGGCUUACGUCUUUGAUGCACCGCUCGAUGUGCAAACCCCUACAACGUCGUCUGUGGAUGUUGUGAACACCUGACAGACACAUUUUGAUGACUACCUGAUAGUUUAGUGCACCAUACUUUACGGCUUAGAAUCGGGAUUCCAAUGACAUCUUGAACGCCAUAGAACAUAUGAGAUGUUCCAAGAGCUGAAAUUGGGAUUUCAGGCUCAUGCCCGUGUUGAGAGGUGUGAGACCUCUGACAAGUUCUUUUGCCAACAAGAUGGAGGAGAAUAGCUCAGCUAGUGAGCAUGUGCUCAGAAUGUCUGGGUGCUACAAUCACUUAAAUCAAGUGGGAGUUAAACUUCCAGAUAAGAUAGUGAUUGAUAGAGUUCUCUAGCCACUAUCACUAAGCUACUAGAUCUUCCUGAUGAACUAUGACAUGCAAGGGAUGGAAUUGAUCCCGGAGCUGUUCGCGGUGCUUAAGACCGCAAAAGGUAGAAAUCAAGAAGGAGCAUCAAGUGUUGAUGGUUUAACAAGACCACUGGUUUCAAGAGGGUCAAGGGCUAGAAUGGAAACUUCAUGGAUGGCAAACCAGUUGCCGCUCCAGUGAAGGAACCCAAGGUUGAACCCAAACUCGAGACUAAGUGCUUCUAUUGUAAGGGGAACGGGCACUGGUAGCGGAAUUACCCCAAAUGCAUGGUAGAUAAGAAGGCUGGAAACUUCAACAAAGUUUAUACGUGUUAUUAAUGUGUACCUCACUAGUACUCCUGGUAGCACCUGGGUAUUGGAUACUGGUUCAGUUGCUAUUACUGGUGACUUGAAGCAAAAGCUACGGACUAAAGGGACACUGGCUAAGGGCGAGGUGACGAUGUGUGUUGGAAGUGUUUCCAAAGUUGAUGAGAUCACCAUCGCACGCUCCAUCUGCCUUCGGGAUUAGUAUUGAACCUAGAUAAAUGUUAUCAGGUGUCUACGUUGAGCAUGAAUAUGAUUAGAUCAUGUUCAUUGCAAUACGGUCAUUCAUUUAAGUUAGAGAAUAAUGGUUAUUCUGUUUACAUGAAUGAUACCUUUCAUGGUCAUGCACCCUAUGUGAAUGGUUCAUUGAAUCUCGGUCGUGGUAAUACACAUGUUCACGCCAAAAGAUGUAGAGUUAAUAAUGAUAGUACCACUUUCUCGUGGCACUGCCGCUUAGGUCAUAUUGGCAUAAGAUGCAUGAAGAAACUCCAUGUCGAUGGAUGUUUGGAGUCACUUGAUUUUGAAUCGCUUGACACAUGCGAGCCAUGCCUCAUGGGCAGGAUGACUAAGACCCCGCUUUCAGGUACAAUGAAACGGGCAAGUGACUUGUUGGAAAUCAUACAUGCUGAUGUGUGUGAUCCAAUGAGAAUUGAAGCACGCGGUGGAUAUCGCUAUUUUCUCGUCUUCACUGACAAUUUGAGUAGAUAUAGGUAUAUUUACUUAAUGAAGCACAAGUCUGAAACGUUUGAAAAGUUCAAGCGAUUUCAGAGUGAAGUUAAGAAUCAUCAUAACAAGAAGAUCAAAUCCCUACAAUCUGAUCAAUGAGAAUAUCUGAGUUAUGAGUUUGGCAAACACUUAAGACAUUGUGGAAUUGUUUCACAGUUGAAGCCACCUGGAACACCACUGGGUUAUGGUGUGUCCGGAUGUCGUAAUCGAACCUUAUGAGAUAUGGUGCGAUCUAUGAUGUCUCUUAUCAAUCUACCGUUUUCAUUUUGAGGUUAUGCGUUAGAGACAGCUACAUUCACUUUAUAUAGGACACCAUCUAAGUCCGUUGAGACGGCGUCGUAUGAACAUUGGUUUGGCAAGAAACCAAAGUUGUCGUUUCUUAAUGUUUGGGGCUGCGAUGCUUAAGGCUUCAGCCGGAAAAGCUCGAACCCAAAGAGGACAAACACAUCUUCAUAGGAUACCCAAAGGUGACAGUAGGGUAUGUCGGCAUUCUGGGAACGGGGGUCCCCAGACUUGCCUGCCUGCGGCCUGCGGCGUGGCUCAAAUGGGGGCCCAGCACGGCCCAUCUUCAUCAGCAUAAGACUCAAGACCCUCGCGAGGGGACAAGCCUCGCGAGGCGGACGACAUGGCGCAUCCUCAGGCGAAGCCUCAUCAGGCUGGCUCGCGAGGAGGCGGAGACAUCAAGGCAGGGUACCUCGCGAGGUGCCCAUGACGUAAGCCGUGACGAAUCAGGGCACCAUGCGGGUGCCAGCGCGCGCAGCGUCCUUCUUUCCUCUUUGGUGCAAAGGGGACAAGCGCAGCCGCGGAGUACCAAGGCAUCACGCAAAGGUUGCCACUUCGGUGCAACGAGACCAAGGCCAGGCGGACUACGAGACGGAGGUCACCAUGGAGCCCAGCGCGGCGUCAUCGCCAGAGCCUUUGGCAGGCGAAGACUGCUUUUGUCAGGAUAGAUGUACUAGAUGUCCCCCUUCAAAUUAGCCCACCAUUGUUGGAUCCCUUCCCGUUCAAUAUUUGGGGAGAGGACCAGGGCCUCUAUAUAUAGGACUAGCCACCCACAAGGCAAGGGGUUCGUUCGGUUCGGCUCUUGGUCAUCAACAAGAGUGAGUAAGAGAGAGAGAGAGAGAGAAGGGUGACUGAACCUCCAAGCAGUUCAUUGCCCCAACCAAGAACAGACCCUCGCGUGUCUGUUCUUCCUUGUAUUGAUCAUCCUCACCAGCCCCAAGAGGCAAUCCACCAACCACACACUGGAGUAGGGUAUUACACCACAUCGGUGGCCCGAACCAGUAUAAAUCUUGUGUCUCUUGUGCAUUUCUUUCAGUAGUUUAGAUCCUUGUGAGACGGAGAGGUUGAAGGUGUAAUCUCCGCGCGCACCCCAGUGUUCGAACCUUAAGGGUCUGCCGGAACCCGAAAUCCGACAUUUGGCGCGCCAGGUAGGGGUGCGCCGGAAUUUGUAUUCCACCACUCCGCUCUCCUCCGACCGUCGCAUCCAUGUCUGACGCUCGUCGGGCUCGCGCUGAGCGCCGGGCCGCCAUCGCUUCUCGCGUCGCCCAGACGGCCCCCGUCGGUGGGCGUCCUCAUCGUUCCCCGUCGCCAGCCGUCAACGCCGCCACCGGCCCAGCGGGGGGCGAGCAGCAGGCAUCGUCUCAGCACAUGUCCGUGCGGCAAGAUGGCCGCACCGCUUCCCCAUUGCUCGCACCAGCCGGCUCUUUGUCCCGCGCGCUCCGCACCUUUGGAGGCUCGAGCUGCGCUCAUUGCGGCAAACGAGCUCCUGCACUACCGCCCCGUCGAUGACGUCUACGAGGAGUGGCUCGACCGCAUCGCCGAGCUCGUCCAGCGCAGCAAGAACGGAGCUGCCAAGAAAUCCCUCGCCCGUAAGGGGCUGCCCGGGCGCUCCCUGCUCCAGCUCCGGCACACCAAGACCCCGCUCUGCUCCUAGCUGCAGCGCGUGGGGACCCUCAAGACCGAGCUCUUCACCAACCGAAGCCUUUCAUGGCCACUGCGGGCUGCCUCGCCUACACCACCGAGCUGCACAGCGUCGCAUGGCCCAGCAAGUUCAAGCCAGACCUACCUCCUCGCUACGAUGGCACAACUGACCCCACUGAGUUCCUCCAGCUCUAUGAGCUAGGCAUCAAGGCUGCCGGCGGAGACGAGAGGUCAUGGCGAACUGGUUCCCCUUGGCGCUGAAGGAAGGAGCACGCACCUAGCUCCUGAAUCUGGCUCCAGGAAUGAUCUCUUCCUGGGACCAGAUGCGCACCCGCUUCAUCGCCAACUUCCAAGGUACUCGCGACCGGCCACCGGCCGUGAGCGACAUGCGCCGCAUCAAGCAGCAACCCGGAGAGACCCUGCAAAAGUACAUCCAGCGCUUCAAUAGCGCGCGCCUCAAGAUCCCCAGGGUGUCCGAGGAGGCCAUCAUCUCGGCCUUCUCUGAUGGCGUGCGCGACGUCAAGAUGAAGGAGGAGCUGGCGAUGCAUGAAGACCUCUGCACCUCCCUCGAGCUAUUCAACUUGGCGAACAGGUGCGCCAGGGCUGAGGAGGGAUGCCUCUCCCUCCUCGAGCUGCCUGCUGCAUACCCAGAAGAGAAGAAGCCCAAGGCCAAGGACGUGAAGCGCAAGGGGGCUGCCGUGCUCGCAGCCGAACCAGACACCAAGCGCGGCAAGGAUCUGCCCGACUCUUCCAGAGGCAGCCGGUACUGCGUGUACCACGACCUCCACACCCACAACACCAACGAAUGUCAAGAGCUCUGCGCCGUGCGAGAAGGAAGGAUUGGCUGUCGCCCUGACCGUGCUGACCAGGGCUACGGCCGAGGAGGAGGAAGAAACCCAGGGCGCUGGGAAGAUCGCGGCCCACGCCAGGGGUGGCGCGACCAACCUCGUGAGGACUGCUGGCGAGACCUGCCUCGCGAGGGAGACUGGAGGGAUCAGCCUCGUGAGGAUCGCCCUCAUGGCAACGCAGGCCUACCUCCUCUGCCGCCUCCACCAAGAAGGAACGAAGACCGCCAUCAGGACGAGGGGGCUGGGGGCUUCCAGGAGCCGCGCGCAAUCGCCUGCAUCCUGGGCGGAGCUCAAGCCCCAGCCUCCCAACGUAUCUUCAAGUAGUUCGCCCGCGAGGUGAAUGCAGUACUCCCCAAGCUCGAAGCAACGCGCCCCCUCAGGUGGUCGGCGUGCGCCAUCACGUUCAGCUCAGCAGAUCAGCUCAAGUGCUCGGCCACAGCCGGAGUCCUCCCGAUGCUUUGCUCCCCAGUCAUCAGCAACGUGCUGGUCACCAAGACCGGGCAGGGCUCAACGUCCUAUCCGUGGAAACCUUCAACAACCUCCAAGUGCCCUACGACCAGCUUCAGCCAACCAAGCCUUUCUCCGGAAUCACCGACGGCUCCACAGUCCCGAUCGGGCAGGUCCGCCUCCCUGUCACCUUUGGGGCUCGCAUCAACUACCGCACCGAGCUCAUCGGCUUCGACGUCAUCGACAUCCGCCUGCCGUACAACGCCAUCCUCGGGUACCCAGCGUUGGCCAAGUUCAUGGCCGUGACUCACCACGGCUACAACGUCCUCAAGAUCCCAGGAAGUGGCGGCGUCAUCACGGUACCCUGUGAAGAGAGAGAUGCAGUGUGUUCCUUGGAGCGAGCCUUUCAGGCCGCGUCACUUGAAGACCCAGAUCGCGGAAGCAGGAGGCUUCCUGAGACCGCCUCCAAGAAGAAGAAGAUGUCGCCAGGCUCAGCCCCUCCGGAGGCAGGCCCCUCAGGGCCCGUGUCUGCCCGGGAGGACCCUCCUUCCAUCGCAUAGGAAAGCGUGCCCGGUGCCCUCCUCAGGCAGGGCUCGGGGGCUCUCACCUGGAGGGCCACCGACCUAGCCAGGGUCACGAGGGAGGCGCUUGGGCACCACGUGGAGGCGUGCUUCGAAGCACGUUUCCCUCGAGGAGGAGCCAGGCAAGGAAGGCCAGACUAGCAAGAGUUCGUCAACGAGGCCAUUCAAGAGCUACAGGAGUCAAGGAUCAUGAGAGGUUGCCGUCGUCCACCAGCUGUGGCCCCACAUCCAGGCGAGGAUGGUGGGCUGCGCGUCUGCGUCGACAUACCAGGGCUUAAUCAGUUCGCCACGACGGAGCGCCUCUGGCCCUCAUGAGUGGGGCAUUGCGGAGAUCCACCCCACAGCCGUGUUCGCAUGCCUUACGGCCUGCCGAGCGUGGCUGCGGCGUGCCAGCGCCUCAUGAGGGGCAUCGUGGAGGCUCAGGAGGACAGGCGUUCCGCAGCACUGGCGGAGAUGAGGACAGCUCGCGAGGGGUCACCAGUGCCUCCGGAGCCUCCCGAGGCCCCGGGGCCUGGGGGCUCGUGAGGAUCAGCUUCUGCAGCCCACCGAGUCUACUGCACCGACGCCACUUCACCAACGACAUUCCCAGGUGACAUCUUCCAAGUUCCAUUCCUAGCUGGGGGCGCCCUCCCAGGGUUGCAUCACUCCUAGGCCGCAUGGGUCCGUCCCUGCGGCGUGUAUCUGCUUUUACCUUUCGGUCGUUGGUCUGCUUUGUUGGGGGCGCCCCUCGGGCUGCAUCAUCCCCAAGCCGCUGGGGCUAGGCCCAGCGGUGUGUAUCUCCAUCGCGCUUAUUUCCAACCUUGCAUUGCCUAUCACACUUGAUUGCUUGAUGCCCGUUCGCGGCAACCCUUAUUCUCCAUGUCGACUACUUACACGUUAAAGGGGGGGUUCCUGAGCAUCGCGACUCAGGGCUCUUAGUGGCUCUCCAGCCCUCACCCUCUGGCCUUGUCCACGGCAUCACGACCUGGCAUACCAGUGACGGCUGAGACAAGCUCGAGGGCCGGGACCCGAGGACGUAGAGUACCGGCAUCUAACCAAAUUUUGCAGGGACACAUUUCAAGAUACGGCCCAGUGCCGGGCGCAACCUGCCUAGAGGUAGGGCCUCGUGAGUCCCGCGCUGGCUCACGGGUGCCCAGAUACACCUCACCUACUCCAACCAGCAAGCUCUUGAGUGACUAACGAUCGACUAAUGGCCGUCAUGGCAACACCAUCUUCUUUCUGUGAUGACCCUGCAGGAUCCUUGGAGGGAACGACGCUAGCCAAGGCCCUCACGAGGUUCCCUUCGCCCUCGCCCGCGCGAACCGCUUGCACGUUAAAGGGGGGGCACCUGAGCAUCGUGACUCAGGGCUCUUACUGGCUCUCCAGCCCUCACCCUCUGGCCUUGUCCACGGCAUCGCGACCUGGCAUACCAGCGACAACUGAGACAAGCUCGAGGGCCGGGACCCGAGGACGUAGAGCAGAAGGGGAGCAGAGGCGAGGAAGAAGGGGCUCGCGAGGACCUUGCCGAGCAAUCCCGCUCCUGCCUACGCGCGGACCUGAUGGCGCAUCAGGAACGAUCCCUGGCUCUCAAGAUAAGUCACCCCCCCAAAACACUGGCUACCGUGGCACUACCCCCGCACUUAAAGCAACUCCGUACUAGCGACGUUGCUUCCCUUUCUCACUAAGCGACGGCUGCUUGGGCGCCAAAGGGGACCUCCUGAGCAUCGCGACUCAGGGGCUCUUACCGGACCCCGGGUCGCUCACCUCCUGGCCUUGACCACGGCAUCGCGACCUGGCAUACCAGCGACGGCUGACGCCGCCUUGGGACUGGGUCCUGUUGAUGCAGAGCACCAAGCCCUCGCGAGGUUCGAAAGGGAGGACCGGACUACGACAGAAUCAGCAACACGCACAGAUCCAUGUCAAAAGGUCAUAUAUAUUAACAAAGGGACUACAAACACCUUACAAGCCCCCGCGGGGCGCGUUUUCGGUUCCUCGCAGGGAACGAAUCAAAAGGGACGCUAACUACACGAGCUACAGCAAGAGACGCCAUCAUCAACAGUGGGCCGCCAGGCACCGGCGCCAACUCCAUCCAGAUCAGGGUCGGCGGCGGCCUGAUGAGUCCGCCCUGCUCCGGGAGCAACGCCGACUCGGGGGCUCGUAGUUGUCGUCGCUCAUCUCCUGAGUCGCGAAGCCUUCGCUGGAGUCGCUGGACCCUCCGGCGCCUCCACCGUGGGGGCGAUCAACGGGCCUAGCCCUCACCGGGGCAAGGUCCUGGCCACCUCUCCCGCGGCAGCACUCCAGCCGGCGCCCGUGCGCGUCGAAGGCCUUGAAGAACAUCACCGCCGCGCCGUCGUACUCCAGGUGGAUCGCAAAGACGCCCCUAUCCCUGCAGACCCGGGCGAUCUCCCUCCAGCUGCGGGACAUGAAGACCUCGCCCGGGGCUGCGACCACGACCUCUGCCUCGGUCGCGAGGGCGCUACAGUCGGCGUGCUGCAGCCAGCACUCCAGGGGCCCUCCUGGAGGAAUGAUGGAGGCGAAGAAGGGAGGCAGGAGAAUCCAGGACUGAAGAGGAAUGGCGACGCGGAGCACGCCCUCCUGGGAGGAGCCCUCGGUGUGGACUCCGGGAGGAACCACCCACGUCUUCGUGACCCGACGACGCCGACGACGGCGUUGGCCGCGGGGAUCAGCAUCAACACCUCCGGGGCCCUCGACGUGGGCAUACAAGGGGAGCGGGAACCCCGGCGGAACUCGCUCACCCCAGGGCGUCGCCGUCGCCUGACGAUCCUCCUCGUCCCGGCUGCAAAGGGCGAGUCGCUUCUUCGGCGGGAGAGGGUCUGGCCCCUCUCGAGGAGCCUUUCCCUUCUCCGCUGCAGAGAACCGACGAAUUGGAGCCAUCACACCAAGACGGAGCAAGAGCAGAGGCGAAGGAGACAGCAAGGAGAGAUGGACUGGAAGGGCACACGCGGAGCCGUACUUAUAGCCGGCGAAGGCCAACCGCCGGCCUCCACGAUCACAGGUAAUCAUAACACAUUCUGCAUGCAGGGACUUGUCCAACUCACGUGAUUACCAAGGCGUCAUGGGGAAGUGGAGAUGCCACGUCCAAUCAACCGCCACGCGGCGCCCAAGGCCGCAGGCUAUUAGGGCCCGCGGCGCUUCGCCCUUGCCCUUUCGCCUCUCGGCACGACCAAGUUCAUGCGCGCCUUGGGCCUGGGGGCUACUAUCGACGUUCUGGGAACGGGGGUCCCCAGACUUGCCUGCCUGCGGCCUGCGGCGUGGCUCAAAUGGGGGCCCAGCGCGGCCCAUCUUCAUCAGCACAAGACUCAAGACCCUCGCGAGGGGCCAAGCCUCGCGAGGCGGACGACAUGGUGCAUCCUCAGGCGAAGCCUCAUCAGGCUGGCUCGCGAGGAGGCGGAGACAUCAAGGCAGGGUACCUCGCGAGGUGCCCAUGACGUAAGCCGUGACGAAUCAGGGCACCAGGCUGGUGCCAGCGCGCGCAGCGUCCUUCUUUCCUCUUUGGUGCAAAGGGGACAAGCGCAGCCGCGGAGUACCGAGGCAUCAGGCAAAGGUUGCCACUUCGGUGCAAUGAGACCAAGGCCAGGCGGACUACGAGACGGAGGUCACCUUGGAGCCCAGCGCGGCGUCAUCGCCAGAGCCUUUGGCAGGCGAAGACUGCUUUUGUCAGGAUAGAUGUACUAGAUGUCCCCCUUCAAAUUAGCUCGCCAUUGUUGGAUCCCUUCCCGCUCAAUAUUUGGGGAGAGGAUCAGGGCCUCUAUAUAUAGGACUAGCCACCCACAAGGCAAGGGGUUCGUUCGGUUCGGCUCUUGGUCAUCAACAAGAGUGAGUAAGAGAGAGAGAGAAGGGUGACUGAACCUCCAAGCAGUUCAUUGCCCCAACCAAGAACAGACCCUCGCGCGUCUGUUCUUCCUUGUAUUGAUCAUCCUCACCAGCCCCAAGAGGCAAUCCACCAACCACACACUGGAGUAGGGUAUUACACCACAUCGGUGGCCCGAACCAGUAUAAAUCUUGUGUCUCUUGUGCAUUUCUUUCAGUAGUUUAGAUCCUUGUGAGACGGAGAGGUUGAAGGUGUAAUCUCCGCGUGCACCCCAGUGUUCGAACCUUAAGGGUCUGCCGGAACCCGAAAUCCGACAGGGUAUACCUUCUAUUUCAGAUCCGAGGGCAAAUUGUUUGUCGCUAAGAACGGGUCCUUUCUCGAGAAGGAGUUUCUCUCGAAAGAAUUGAGUGGGAGGAAGAUAGAACUUGAUGAGGUUGUCGAACCUUUACUUCAACCAGAGAGUGAUGCAACACAGAAAGAUGUUUUCUGUGGCGCCUACGUCUGUUGAAUAGGAAGUUAAUGAUAGUGAUCAUGAAGCUUCGGAUCAAGUUGCUACCGAACCUCGUAGGUCGACAAGGAUAUGUACUACUCCUAAGUGGUACGGUAAUCCUGUCUUAGAUAUCAUGUUGUUAGACAACAAUGAACCUACGAGCGAUGGAGAAGCGAUGGUGGGCCCGUAUUCCGACAAAUGGUUAGAAGCCAUGAAAUCCGAGAUAGGAUCCAUAUAUCAGAACAAAGUAUGGACUUUGGUGGACUUGCCCGAUGAUCGGCAAGCCAUUGAGAUAAAAUGGAUCUUUAAGAAGAAGACGGACGUGGGCGGUAAUGUUACCGUCUAUGAAGCUCGACUUGUGGGAAAGAGUCUUUUCACAAGUUCAAGGAGUUGACUAUGAUGAGAAUUUCUCACCCGUAGCGGUGCUUAAGUCCGUCAGAAUCAUGAUAGCAUUAGCUGUAAUUUUUGAUUAUGAAAUCUUACAGAUGGAUGUCAAAACAAGUUUUCUUACCAGUUUUCGUAAGAAAAGUUGUAUGUCAUACAAUAAAAGGUUUUGUCAAUCCUAAGGAUGCUAAAAGGUAUGCUGGCUCCAGCAAUCCUUCUAUGGACUAGAGCAAGCAUCUAGGAAUCGGAAUAUAUGUUUUGAUGGAGUGAUCAAAGCUUUUAGGUUUAUCCAAUGUUUGCUAGAAACUUGUAUUUACAAGAAAGUGAGUGGGAGCACUACAACAUUUCUGAUAAGUAUAUGUGGAUGACAUAUAGUUGAUCCAACAUAAUGUAGAAUUUCUGGAAAGCAUAAACGGUUGUUUGAAGAGUGUUUUUCAAAGGAAAGACCUGGAUAAAGCUGCUUACAUAUUGGGCAUCAAGAUCUAUAGAGAUAGAUCAAGACGCCUGAUGGUACUUUCAAAGAACGCACACCUUGACAUGUUUUUGAAGGAGUUCAAAAUAGAUCAGUCAAAGAAGGGGUUCUUACCUGAGUUGUAAGGUGUGAAGUUGAGUAAGACUCAAAGAUUGACCACGGCAGAAGAAAGAGGAAGGACGAAAGGUCGUCCCCUAUGCUCUUGUCAUAGGCUCUAUACGGUAUGCCAUGCUGAAGUACCGCACCUAUUGUGUGCCUUGCCACAUGUCUGGCAAGAGGGUACAAAGGUGAUCUAGGAGUGGAUCACCAGAUAGUAGUCAAAAUUAUCCUUAGAGGAAUAAGGAAAUGUUUCUCGGUUAUGGAGGUGAUAAAGAGUUCGACAUAAAGAGUUACGUUGAUGCAAGCUUAACACCUAUCCGGAUAGCUCUGAGUAGAGAUACCGGAUAUGUAUAAUGGAGCAAUAAUUUGGAAUAGCUCCAAGUGGAACGUGGUAGCAGCAUCUACGAUAUAAAGUUUUGCGAAUACAUAGGGAUCUGAAUAUGGCAAGACCCGUUGACUACAACCUCUCUCACAAGCAUAACAUGAUCAAACCCAGAACUCUUUGAGUGAUUAUCACAUAGUGAUGUGAACUAGAACAUUGAGUCUAGUAGACUCUUGGAUGUGGGUCACAUGGCGAUGUGACCUGUGAGUGUUAAUCACAUGGCGAUGUGAACUAGAUUAUUGACUCUAGUGCAAGUGGGAGACUGUUGGAAAUAUGCCCUAGAGGCAAUAAUAAAUUGGUUAUUAUUAUAUUUCAUUUUUCAUGAUAGUCGUUUAUUAUCCAUGCUAGAAUUGUAUUGAUAGGAAACUCGGAUACAUGUGUGGAUACAUAGACAACACCAUGUCCCUAGUAAGCCCCUAGUUGACUAGCUCGUUGAUCAAUAGAUGGUUACGGUUUCCUGACCAUGGACAUUGGAUGUCGUUGUUAACGGGAUCACAUCAUUAGGAGAAUGAUGUGAUGGACAAGACCCAAUCCUAAGCCUAGCACAAAGAUCGUAUAGUUGGUAUGCUAAAGCUUUUCUAAUGUCAAGUAUCAUUUCCUUAGACCAUGAGAUUGUGCAACUCCCGGAUACCGUAGGAGUGCUUUGGGUGUGCCAAACGUCACAACGUAAUUGGGUGGCUAUAAAGGUACACUACAGGUAUCUCCGAAAGUGUCUGUUGGGUUGGCACGGAUCGAGACUGGGAUUUGUCACUCCGUGUAAACGGAGAGGUAUCUCUGGGCCCACUCGGUAGGACAUCAUCAUAAUGUGCACAAUGUGAUCAAGGAGUUGAUCACGGGAUGAUGUGUUACAGAAUGAGUAAAGAGACUUGUCGGUAACGAGAUUGAACAAGGUAUCGUGAUACCGACGAUCGAAUCUCGGGCAAGUAUCGUACCGCUAGACAAAGGGAAUUGUAUACGGGAUUGACUGAAUCCUUGACAUCGUGGUUCAUCCGAUGAGAUCAUCGUGGAGCAUGUGGGAGCCAACAUGGGUAUCCAGAUCCCGCUGUUGGUUAUUGACCGGAGAGUUAUCUCGGCCAUGUCUGCAUGACUCCCGAGCCCGUAAGGUCUACACACUUAAGGUUCGAUGACGCUAGGGUUAUAGGGAAAGUAUGUACGCGGUUACCGAAUGUUGUUCAGAGUCCCGGAUGAGAUCCCGGACGUCACGAGGAGUUCCGAAAUGGUCUGGAGGUAAAGAUUGAUAUAUAGGAAGUAUGGUUUUGGCCACCGGAAGUGUUCCGGGCAUCACCAGUAGUGUACCGGGACCACCGGAGGGGUCCGGGGGUCCACCGGGAGGGGCCACGAGCCCCGGAGGCAUACCUGGGCCAAGUGUGAGAAGGGACCAGCCCCUAGGUGGGCUGGGGUGCCUCCCCACCAAGGCCCAUGCGCCUAAGGGGAAGAGGGGACAAACCCUAAGGGCAGAUGGGCCCUAAGGCCCAUGCCUGGUGCACCUCCCUCUUCUCCUCCCCUUGGCCGCCUCCCAGAUGGGAUCUGGGGGCUGCCGCCACCCCUAGGGAGGGAACCCUAGGUGGGGGCGCAGCCCCUCCCCUCCCCCUAUAUAUACUUGAGGUAUGGGGCUGCCCAACACAUGUGAUUUUGCACUCCCUGUUGGCGCAGCCCUACCUCUCUCCCUCCUCGUCUCUCGUAGUGCUUGGCGAAGCCCUGCUGGAGUCCCGCGCUCCUCCACCACCACCACGCUGUCGUGCUGCUGCUGGAUGGAGUCUUCCCCAACCUCUCCUUCUCCCCUUGCUGGAUCAAGGCGUAGGAGACAUCACCGGGCUGUACGUGUGUUGAACACGGAGGUGCCAUCCGUUCGGCACUAGGAUCAUCGGUGAUUUGGAUCACGACGAGUACGACUCCAUCAACCCCGUUCACUUGAACGCUUCCGCUUAGCGAUCUACAAGGGUAUGUAGAUGCACUCUCCUUCCCCUUGUUGCUAGAUUACUCCAUAGAUUGAUCUUGGUGAUGCGUAGAAAAUUUUGAAUUUCUGCUACGUUCCCCAACAACAACUACUUUGUGUCUACUCGUGCAUAGAAACUACGCAUAGACCUAGCUCAUGAUGCCACUAUUGGGGAACGUAGCAGAAAUUCAAAAUUUUCUACGCAUCACCAAGAUCAAUCUAUGGAGUAAUCUAGCAACGAUGGGAAGGAGAGUGCAUCUACAUACCCUUGUAGAUCGCUAAGCGGAAGCGUUCAAGUGAACCGGGUUGAUGGAGUCGUACUCGUCGUGAUCCAAAUCAUCGAUGAUCCUAGCGCCGAACGGACGGCACCUCCGCGUUCAACACACGUACGGAACGGAGACGUCUCCCACGCCUUGAUCCAGCAAGGAGGGGGGAGAGGUUGAGGAAGAGAGUCCAACAGCAGCACGACGGCGUGGUGGUGAUGGAGUGGCAGUUCUCCGGCAGGGCUUCGCCAAGCUCACGCAGAGGAGGAGAGGUAUUGGAGGGGAGGGGCUGCGCCAGGUUCAAGGGGUGGCCGCCCUCCCACCCCUCCACUAUUUAUAGGUCGGGAGAGAGGGGGCCGGCCCCCCUAGAUCCCAUCUAGGGUUGGGGGCGGCGGCCAAGGGGGGAGGAGUGCCUCCCAAGUCAAGUGGAGGCCCUCCCCCUUAGGGUUUCCCCUCUCCCAUGCGCAUGGGCCUUGGGGGGGCUGGUGUCCUUGUCCCAUUAAGGCUAGGGCGCCCCCCUAUAGCCCAUGCUGCUGUAUUGGACGUGGUGGAACAUUUUCCGGACCUCCGGACCCCUCCGGAAUCCUCUGGAACCUUCCGGAAGCUUCUGGGUACAAUACCAGAAAAAACCAAACUUUUCCCGGAACCCGAACAACAACUUUCCAUAUAUAAAUCUUUACCUCCGGACCAUUCUGGAACUCCUCGUGAGGUCCGGGAUCUCAUCCGGGACUCCGAACAACAUUCGAUAAUCACAUACAAGUCUUCCUAAUAACCCUAGCGUCAUCGAACCUUAAGUGUGUAGACCCUACGGGUUCGGGAACCAUGCAGACAUGACCGAGACAACUCUCCGGCCAAUAACCAACAACGGGAUCUGGAUACCCAUGUUGGCUCCCACAUGUUCCACGAUGAUCUCAUCGGAUGAACCACGAUGUCGAGGAUUCAAUCAAUCCCGUAUUCAAUUCCCUUUGUCCAGCGGUAUUGUACUUGCCCGAGAUUCGAUCGUCGGUAUCCGAUACCUUGUUCAAUCUCGUUACCGGCAAGUCUCUUUACUCGUUCCGUAACACAUCAUCCCGUGAUCAACUCCUUGGUCACAUUGUGCACAUUAUGAUGAUGUCCUACCGGGUGGGCUCAGAGAUACCUCUCCGUCACACGGAGUGACAAAUCCCAGUCUCGAUUCGUGCCAACCCAACAGACACUUUCGGAGAUACCCGCAAUGCACCUUUAUAGCCACCCAGUUACGUUGUGAUGUUUGGUACACCCAAAGCACUCCUACGGUAUCUGGAAGUUGCACAAUCUCAUGGUCUAAGGAAAUGAUACUUGACAUUAGAAAAGCUUUAGCAUAUGAACUACACGAUCUUUGUGCUAGGCUUAGGAUUGGGUCUUGUCCAUCACAUCAUUCUCCUAAUGAUAUGAUCCCGUUAUCAACGACAUCCAAUGUCCAUGGUCAGAAAACCGUAACCAUCUAUUGAUCAACGAGCUAGUCAACUAGAGGCUUACUAGGGACAUGGUGUUGUCUAUGUAUCCACACAUGUAUCUGAAUUUCCUAUCAAUACAAUUCUAGCAUGGAUAAUAAACGAUUAUCAUGAACAAGGAAAAAUACUAAUAACUAAUUUAUUAUUGCCUCUAGGGCAUAUUUCCAACACACACACACACACACACAUGAAUCCUCGCUUUUCUCACUCUGUCCCUUCGUCCUUGUUGUGUAUCCGCGUAGUCCGAGGUCCCCGUCCCCGAAAGAAACCUAGAAGAGAUCGAAACACAACUCUUUUCGCCGCCAGUGAAGCCUCGACGACUCAAGUCGCGACUCGCCUAAGACGAUGUAGAUCUUCAUGAAGACCCUGACAGGUAAAACCAUCAUGCUGGAGGUGGAGGGCAGCGACACCGUGGACAGUGUCAAGGGCAAGGUCUAGGAUAAGAAAGGGAUCCCGCCGGACCAGCAGCAGCUCAUAUCUUCGCCGAGAAGCAGCUGGAGGACGGUCGCUUGCUGGCAACUACAACGUGCACAAGGAGUCGACGCAUCCCCUGGUGCUCCGCCUCCGCAAUGGCACCACCAUCAAGGUCAAGACACCCACCGCCAAGGAGAUCGGGAUCAACAUCGAGCCCACGGACACGUCCGACAGGAUCAAGGAGCACGUCGAGGAGAAGGAGGGCAUCCCGCCCGUCCAGCAGAGGCUCAUCUUCGAUGGCAAGCAGAUGGCCGCCGACAAGACGGUGCAAAAGUACAAGGUCAAGGGCGGCUACGUGCUCCACCUCGUGCUCGCCCUCAGGGGCGGUGCCUGCUAGAAUUUGGGUCUUAUGGUCGCUCGCUUUUCCAUGAGGGUGUAGCUUUGGUUUUUUUUCUUGCGUAUGAUUUUGGUUGGAACUUUUUGAACAUUGUUUGAGUCUCUUUAAAGCCAUAAUGUUUGAGGCCAGGUUACAUGUACGUACAAUCACAACAGUUGUCUGCACAAUAAUCUUUUCCCAUCCGUUCAUAUAUUUUUACCACCAAUCCACUAAAUCAAAGAUAUGAAAAUUUGUUUUGAGGCAAACGUUGCCUCGCCGUUUGAAUAAAGAUACUUGCACUAACCAAUCAAAGAUAUGCAAUUUUUUACCGCUAUAAGGCACGGUGCUGACCGUCCGACUGGAUCGGACAGACGAGAACCACGCGGAAAUGUUGUCCAGAAUUCAGUCGUAGAAUGGACCAAUUUUGACCCGCAAAAAAAUAGAAUGGACCAAUUUCUCCUCCAGGCUAUGGCCUGGUUGACUCUAUAUCUAUGGUCGCACAAAAUGGUUUUUCUUUUGGAUGAAUUUAUUUGUUGGGCCAGUGAAGUUAAUAUAUAACACCAAUAGGUUUUGGGCCGAGUUAUGAAAAUGUUUUUCCAGUGUAUUUUCUGCUAUAUUAUGAAAAUAUAAAUUAUUUAUGCACUAUUCAAAUGAGAAAUAUGAGCCCAAAUUUAUUUGAAAGUUACUUUAAUGAUGAGAGAUUUUUAUAAUGUUUUUCCGUGGGUUAUAAUGGACCUAAUUAUGGUAUCAAUCAUUUUAUUUAUCUUUAGUGCUUUCUAAGUUGUUUCAGUUCCUUUUAUGUUUAUGCAUUGAAAAUAAAUCUAGUAUUAUGCUAAAAUCAUGUUUCAAUUUUUUGAAUACGGUUGAACCAAUUGGAAAUUGCAUUGAAAAUUCAUGUGGCAUUAAUGUUAAAUGUGAUUUCAUGGCAAUUUUUAAUGAUGAUCACCUUUUAGCAUCAUUUUAAUGUGAAAAUUCAUCUUGUAAAAUGAUAUAUUCACCAUUAUUACUCACUCACUAAAUUUUCCAAAAAAUAUUAUUUGAAAAAUUUAGUUUAGUGUGUUCUUUAUGUUGAUGUCAUCAUUAUCAACAAGCACAUGCCACCUAAGGAAAUGUUGAUUUUCGUGUGGUUUGGUUUUCCACACCCCACCAUGCGGCACAAUAUGUUUGGCCGGCAUGGCUAACGGGCAAAAUUAAUGUUUUCUGAUGGUGCAUUUUAUCUUAUUGAAUGCACUGUACAACUAGAAUGGCGUUGAUGAAAUUAUGGUUGAUUCUCUAAACUAGCUCGCUCCAGAAUAAGUAUAAUUGAGCAUGCUCAAAAUAAGUGCCUCAACUUUAUUAUAACUUUGUACUAACGUUAGUACAAAGUAUAGACACUUAUUUUAGGACGGAGGGAGUAUAAACUAGCUACAGUUGGUAAGUUCUUUGUCAAGUGAUUAGAGAUAAGGUUAUGAGGCGAAUAUUCUUUUCCCUGGUUAAAAUUUCAUCAAAAAGGGAGCUGACCUCGACACAAGAAGCCGGUCCAUAAAAGUUACGGUCUCGAAUGUAAGCAGUCCAAUACUGAACAAACACUUGUUUCAAAAAUGGCGCGACAAGUCGCGCAACCGCUUCUAGUAAGUACACUACCCUUCAACUAUCCAAAAUUUCAACCAGACUGUAGCCAAUCUGUUGAAAAUGGAACACAAAAUUUGACGACGAAAUCCACGUGACUUUUACAACCCCUGCGACCUUUCUGUGUUCCAUCCAAACACAAACAUGUGAGAGAAAAACAAGAAGCAAGCAAAAGAUGCUCCGCAAUUGCUUACCGAAAGUUGUUAUACAACUAUUGCAGCAGAUAAAAAAUCUCUUAAUUUUAUUAAACAAAGGUCAGCUGAUGUACAAAGCAUGCCAACAAUGUAAUCUGCAGAAACUAGUAUUCUUGUAGUGUUAUAUGGGAUCAAACCUGAAUUUUGUUCACAUGUUAUUCGGAAGAUUUACGACAUGUGCUAAACCAAAUAUACUCCGGGUGCGCAGCAAAAUGCAGCAAGUCGCCUGCAUUUUCAUUUUCUGAGUAAACAUGGGUGCAUUAGCAUCGCCAUAUUCAAAAUGAUAGGUGCUAAUGAAAAUGACUGAAACUUAUAGGUCGAGUGUCCGGGCACAUCAGCAUCACCAUGUUUAGAAUUCAACCUUUGUGAAAACACAAAUUCAUUUUCUACUGAUGGACUCAAACUUUCAGCAGAGUUUCAUCCAAGACACCACAUCUGUGCCAACACCAGAUGCUUCAUCUAAGACUAAGAGAAAUGCAGGUGGCAACGUUGAAGUAGUGUCCAUUGUCAAACACAUUACAGACUAAUGUCACUGCACCACUGAUCAAACAGUUUCGGAAUAUUAGAACCGUGAUGCCAACGCAAAUAGGUUUCUUAUUAUACUGUCUGGAGAACAAACCAAGUUUAGCUAGUAGAAACACAACAACUGCUUGGUUUUCUUGAACCCAUAUCUCAGUGGAAGGAACUGGGUUCUAAUGUGCCGCAGUCAUACCCAAAAUAUACAAUACUUGUGCCCUGUUUUAGGGCAACCCAAAACAAAAUUCAGCAACUUUUGGUUUUUGGGCAACUGUUUUGGCCGAAGAGGGACUUCAUCAAAUUCAUACUGACAUAGAUUUUGUUAGAUCUGGUAUAGGAGGCACUGCGGUGGCUGUAUGCAUGGACUCUUCUGGGAAUUACUUGCGAUCAUGUACGCUAGUAAUUCAUGGCAUGAGAGAAGUUUCAACUCUAGAGGUAUCGCUUGCAGGGAAGCUCUAUCUUUGGCGGAUGAUCUUCUACUUCACAAUUUUCUAGUGGCUACUGAUUCUAAGCAGGUGGCUAAUGAUAUCAACAUGGGCUGCACUGGUAUUCAUGGUCUGAUUGUAGCUGAGAUUAAGUUAAGGACAACCAAAUUUAAUUGUAGUUUUUGUUUCUGAGAGUCAGGCCUUGAAUAGAGAAGCCCAUUUACUAGCCAAGCUUUUUGAUUCUUUAGAUUGUGGUAGACAUGUCUGGUUGGGACAGCCUCAUGAUCACAUUUAUUUUCCCAGUUUUGUGAACCAUGAAUAACAAAGUUUGGUGGUUCUUAAAAAAUGAAGUUGCUGGAGCCGUUUUUUGCCCUCCAAGUAGUCAAAAAGCGACUGGGAUGCUCUGACUGAGCACAAACAACACUAUGUACAGAUACCAGAACCAGUGUACCCCAAAUGGCUAGGAUUGUCAGGUAAUAGUACUGAAACAUGUUAACCAGAAACAUGUAAAGAUACCCUAAACAGUUCAACAGUGUCCACGUACAACUCGCUCUAGACUGUUGACCGGGUCUUGGCCCAUUCCUCAGACACAACUUUUUGACAAACUUUAUUCAAGCCCUACAAUAAGCCUGGUACGCAGAGUCGACCAAGUCACCUUCACUGAGAUCAACCCAAAAUCAGUCUUUAUCUCUUGAGUAUCAAGUCCAUGCGUGUCUGCCUGGAAGGAACAACAUCGUUCCGCUGAACCAGAUGGCCCCGAGGCCGCCUUGAACUUCAAAACCAGAGUGGAACCAUCCACUACAGCAACCACAGACCUCUUUAAAUGACGUGACUCGCCAACUGUACCAUUGAAGAGCCGAAUUCCUUCGUUAUAACCACCGAUAAAACAGCGCAAGCGCAGAUGAAAACUGCUCUGCACUUCUGACACGGCAACUUCAAUAUUCGCCAUGACUGCGUCAUCAACACGUGCUAUGGUUAAGUCAACCGCACCACAGUCGCCUUGGAUGCGAUUUUUCAAUGCACGAUUCCAUGGGCCCACGUCGUCUAUGUCUGUUACACCAUCAAUCAGCUGGUAAUCAUCCCUUUCUUCCUCACCUACCUUGAUCCUCAUGUCAUAUUCCACUAGAAUACUGGAAAUCAAAUCUAUCCCUCGCUUAGGGCCAGCCAUGUCGAUGAGAGAACCCCACAAAUUUGUUACUGUUUAGUAGCUCUCCAUAUGGAAGUAAGAAACAACUAAAGCUUUAUACUACCUCUGUUUCUAAAUGUAAGACGUUUUGGCAAUUCAAAAAUUGAACUACCAAAACACAUCUUACAUUUAGGAACAGAGGGUGUACUUCUCUAAGCUGUUUUACUUGCAACAUUAAUUUUGUGAUACUUUACAAUUGCUGACCAACAUCUUUGCCACAUAUCAAACUGACUGGUUACAUAGUGUACACCAGUGUUUGGGAGGGGGGGAAAUUGGCCCUCGGUAUUUAUUUGACAUUGUUCAGAUCCCAAUUUUUACAUAAGCAUGUCGAAAUGAGAAGAGAAAACAAAAUGACUUAAUAGUGAUGCAAUGAUUCAUGCUGGUGUGUUAAGUAGCAACUAAGAGCCCGAACUAUUCUGUUUGAUUUUGUUUGGAAUACAUGAUAUACUCACUCAGUUCCAUAUUUUAUAAGUUUCUCAUAGUAAAUCACCUUUCCACAAUAUAAACUUGGUGUAAUGGUGGCCUAAACAAUCCAAACUACCAUUCUGCUAGGUCUGUACAGAUAAAUCACAAGACUUGAGAGUGCUUGCUGUUCCAUACAUACACUAGGUUUGGCCUUACAAUGUGAAAUGAAUAGAUUUGACAUAAGUCAGGUAUUUGACCCCNNNNNNNNNNUACUGUAUAAAUCAUUUCCUCAGAUGGUUUCGCCCACACUGCAACAUCCACCUAAUGUGAGAACUUCCCCAGUGGGUACUUAAAACCAUAUGGAAUGCUUCAAGGGGACAAAUACAUUGUUUUAUACUUGAGGGGGUUAUUAAGUAGACUUAUUGCUUGAAAUAAUCGCAGGUAAGUAUGGAUUCACACCUGCUUCACAAUGAUGGGAUCAUCCCUGCUUAUAUUGACAACAUAAUUACGCAAUGUAUCCAGAUAAUCCCGCACUGCUAUGUAUCCAUACAACUCUACUGGGCCAAGAUCCAGAGUAAGUUCAGCCAACUUUAAUGAGAAAAUUUGUAACACGCGAUUAGGUUGAUGCCGAAUGCAUUCUCCAUUGCGGAUGUCACAAUCUGUGGGAUCUGGUAGCCGAGCUUCAUAAAAAAAGUAAAGAAAUAAGUUAAAUUGUAAUGGAAAACAAUACAGGAAAAAAAUAGUCGUCAUACAAAAAGUAAGCGUGUCACUAGAGGAUUCCAUGGCCCUAUUGGAAGUUUCCUUUUCAUCCAAAUGAAAAUUAUCGAUGUUCUUUCUACUAUGAAUUUCACUCCAUCAAAGGUUUUUGUUUUAGGAAACCCAAAGAAAAGCAGGUAACAUUUCAUCAUGUCAGCAAGUAAAGGUCCAUUUCACCCUCCCAGAUUAUUUCAUAACCCCCUAAACUUAUUUAUUUGUUAUGUCUACCCGAAGAAUUACUAAAACAAGUCAAUUCAGCCCUUGAUGAAAAUAUUCUAUUGUUUCACUUUCUAGAAGUCUUAUUGUAAGUUAGUUUUUUUAUUUUGAUGGUAGAUAACAUCAGUCUGUAUAAUAAAAAAUCAUAAUUUUCGAUCCUGCAUACUUGGGAGCAACUAAACCUACUUCAAUGCUCAUGGUACAAAAAUAUGUGCUAAAAAUGCGGUUUAUGAACAUAUUUCUGUACGGUACAUGGUGACAACAAAAAGGAUAAAAACCAGUCAUGUGGCGAACCGGGGUGGGUUGGUGGAGGCCCAGGAUAACCAAACUAAGGUAAUGCAGGAAUCUGAAGAAUUUCCUCCCCUACUUUUGCAAAACCUAACAAAUGCAACUCCUGAAUGCCAAUGCAUCUACAUUUAACUUGUAAAAUUAAGGAAAGUAAAGAAAAAAAGCCAGAUGAUUUCAACAGAGAACACAUCAGUUGACACUAUAGCUUGAAAAAGGUGCUUGUAACAAAUUGAAAUAGGUAAAGAGAGAUUAUUUACUUACUCUCACUACAGUCAUCAACAUUAUACAUCCUUUUCCACGAAUGAGUGUUCCUGUAUAAAGAACCAUCACGGUGUGUGCUUUUUGGAAGAAAUCCCAGGUCAAGAAUAUCAUCUUCUUCGGCAUCGCUUGCUACCAAUGCGCUCCUUCUAUUGGUUGCACUCCUCCCGUUUUCAUCACAACCAGAGAUGUCCACAAUAUUCGAAGAUGCAUCAUGUUUGCCGGCUAUAGUAUUCAUAUCUUGCAAGGUUGUCCCACUAGUCAUGCUCCGAGAUCCAGGUGGAAAUCUAUCACCAAAGAGAAUAAAGAGCAAAUCUGAGCACCCGACAGAAAAUUCAAUUCUUUUUCGGUUCCCCUUUCAUUUUCGUCGGAUUAACUAUAAGACCCCACACCCCCUGCCUUAUUUACAAAAAUCAACACAUAAGGAUAAUUAAAAGGGAUUUUUCUCGAAUACGCUCGGAUAAUUAAAAGGGGUAAAAAACCACAGUUGGUCAGAAUCCAGAUCCAAAACUAUAAUAAUAAGAAACUAAAGGCGAAAAUUUUGGCAUCAGAUGAUGAGAGCAUACCGGGAAACACGACGGACAGGUAGAUCUGGAACCAUCAUGAGAGGGAAACUUCGCCGUGCAAGCGGUGGUGGCGACCAGUAAGGCGGGGCAGAGGCCAUGAAAGAGAGGAGAGGUCGCGAGGAAGAGGAGAGGCGGCGCAGUGGGUCAUGAGAGAUGGCGACGCCAGGUCGCCGGAGGAGACGAAAAAUCUGACGGAGGAUUGGCAUCUGAGCGCGCGGCGGCGGCAGAGGUGGGGUGUGCCGGUGUGGAGAAUGGGGAGAGGAAAGGGCUGAACGCACGGGGCCGGUCUUCUUUACUCUCUUAUAUCAG
This 129020-nucleotide long non-coding RNA is filed under the name Triticum aestivum (bread wheat). RNAcentral's name for it is "long non-coding RNA (TAES_LNC015205)". Lineage: Eukaryota; Viridiplantae; Streptophyta; Magnoliopsida; Poales; Poaceae. The record is from RNAcentral.